This 113659-nucleotide long non-coding RNA is filed under the name Vitis vinifera (wine grape). Its description in RNAcentral is "long non-coding RNA (VVIN_LNC001392)". The record is from RNAcentral. Lineage: Eukaryota; Viridiplantae; Streptophyta; Magnoliopsida; Vitales; Vitaceae.
GUGGUUUGUGGGGUGGCUUGUGGGGAGGAGUUGGAGGAGGCUUUAUUUUCUGAGGCGGCUUGUAUGAGUGUGCAGGAGGAUGCCCGGGAGUGUGACCAUAAUGUGGUGGCUUCUCUCCCGUAGGUGGUUUGCCAAAUGGGCUUGGUGGCUUCUCUCCCUUAGGAGGUUUACCAAUUGGGGUUGGUGGCUUGUGUUCUGGGAGUGGUUUCUCUCCCUUGGUAGGUUUGCCAAUUGGGGUUGGCGGCUUAUGUUCUGGGAGUGGCUUCUCUCCCUUGGGAGGUUUGCUAAUUGGGGUUGGCGGCUUAUGUUCUGGGGGCGGCUUCUCUCCCUUGGGAGGUUUGCCAAUUGGAGUUGGCGGCUUAUGUUCUGGGAGUGGCUUUUCUCCCUUGGGAGGCUUGCCAAUUGGGGUUGGCGGCUUAUGUUCUGGGGGUGGCUUCUCUCCUUUAGGAGGUUUGCCAAUUGGAGUCGGCGGCUUAUGUUCUGGAAGUGGCUUUUUUCCCUUGGGAGGUUUGCCAAUUGGGGUUGGCGGCUUAUGUUCUGGGGGUGGCUUCUCUCCCUUGGGAGGUUUGCCAAUUGGAGUCGGCGGCUUAUGUUCUGGGAGUGGCUUCUCUCCCUUGGGAGGUUUUGUUGGUGGCUUGUGUUCUGGAGAUGGCUUCUCCCCUGGAGGCUUGUGCUCCGGAGGUGGCUUCUGAAAUGGCGGGGGCUUGGGGUAAUGAGCAAGAGAUGGAGUACUGGUGAGAACCACCAUUCCAAGCAACAAUACUAGCAAGCAUGUGGGAGACAUCUUUGAGUAGUUGUAGCUAAGAUGGCGCAACACUGUAGGCAUUGGGUGGCCUUUUAUAAAGGGCUGGACCCAACAGCCAUAUGACACGUGUCAUGAUGACAAAUGAAGUUGAGGGGAUCCAGAUGGGUCCUACUGAGUCGAAAACUUGCACUAAUUGAUCUGGUGAGAUGACUAUUUCUGUCCUUUUGCCCUUCUCGGCCACCCUGUGCUGUUUUCCUUUUGCACGAUUUUCGUUGCCAAACAAGCAAAUAAUAUUUCGCCAAGAAAGAGGAGAGUGAAUGUGGAAUGCAUCAAGUCCCAUCAAGGAUGGCAGAGAAGAAAUAGAAGAUUGCCCAACUGUGAUAAACAUAGCAUACACGUAGCACCAGGAACUUCAUUUACUUCCAUCUAAUGGAACAUAACAAUCUUCUAAAGUUUUUGCAUGAUUUUGUUAUAUGUCUCUUAGCCUAAAGUUGGAAAUGCGCAACAAAUUUUGUCACUUCUCUAUUUCCCACUGAUGAUGUUAAUUAGCCUUCAUAGAUAUCAUCCUUUCUACAAAGUGCUUCAUUUGUGUGUUAUUGUAAAGUGUAAGAAAAGUAAUUGAACAUGUUCUUUUUCCUUUCAUAGAUGACUUUUGAUGUGCAUUUUAAAAGCAGCGCUGUGAGUCGGUGACCUUGAUUCACACGGAAACUAAGGCUCCUAUAGGACCCACUUUUAGCUGGUUAGGGGUGAAGAAAAUAUCAACUUUUCAGAGUGAUUUAAGUCAAGGCCAAGCCUCACUGUGUCAUUACUCGUGUGAAUUUUAUAUGCACAUACAUACAUAAAUAAAGUAUGAGACCCAAAUAACACCUUCCCUUUACAAACUUAACCCCAGCCGCUCUCUUUCAAUUCUUUUCACACAAGGGUAUUGACUCUAUAAAGGUCAAGAAAAUCAUAAUUUCCUAGGGUUUACAAGGUAAUUGGCUUAAUGCUAAUGUGAAAACAUAAAAGAUAAUAGUAUAUUGUAAGCUAACGAAUAUUCUAUAGUUAUAAUUAUUUGUGAUGUGCAUAAAUAAAUCUUCAUAUAUAUAAUGGAACAAUGAAUAAAGAACCAAUGAAAAAAUACUAUAUAUCAUUGCUUGGCAUUUAAACCGUAUAUGCUGCUCUUUCUAGCUACUCCAUCCACUGAAAGACAACAAGGUAAUCCAUGUUAUAAUGAUAGAAGAUACUGUCUCUAGGCUUUUUGUGAUGAAAAAUAUAAGAUAUGGGUAGGGUUGACCCUUGUAUGUUUGUCCUAUAAACACUUCAAAGUAACAUAUUUUUCUUCUUUAGCAACUCAUAAUGAUGGGGUUCAUUUGCAUGUCACUGAGUUGAAAAGUUGGACAAUUGCCCAUGUCGCCUUCCUCCUAGAUUCCGUAGUUCACGGGAAGGUAACUCAAGUUUGACAUAUUUUGAAUUCUUUUCACUCGGACGUCUUCAUAACCUGACAAAACAAAAAUGAAAAACAGAGGAUUGGUAUAUUAUUCAUGGUAAGCCUCAAAUUAUAGUAGUAUGAGAAAGGAGAAAAAGAUUUUGGGAACUCCAAUCUGGAUAAUUCUCGUUUCUUCUCUUGAAUAAAAAUUUCACUUACCUAACUUCGUUUGGAGAAAUGGCAUAUUUUAAUUUUGUACGUCAUUGCUAAUAAAUGGAGCAAUUUAGCAUGUUUUGUGACUGAAACUGCAAAUGUCCAAUUGGCAUUUCUUCAUUUCCCACUUAGGAUCUGAUCUUGUAGACCAUAUAACGAUAUGUAUCUGUGCAAGCAUUGAAAACUAAUGUGAACUAUGAGGAGUUACAAGCCACUGGACUGUAGAGCGAGUGCCAAGAUUUAAAUCUUCAGGCUCUAUCUGGGUAAGGGGAGGAUAGCGACCUAACCUUUUACCAAAGGCUUAGAAUUUAGACUUUUGGAAAAAAAUUUCUCAUGUUUUGGCUGGAUUUCUUGUGCUUGGCGCAAAAAGGAGAUGGCCUCAAGAAAUAGCAGACUCACUUUUGUUUUCAGCCCUUAAUAAUUCUCCACUGCUUUCCAUAACUACAUGGGUUAUACAUGCAGUCUGCUGCAAUAUUCCAGUUAUAUUUAUUAUUUCAAAGAGGGUGAAUGACUUCACAUGCAAUAUGUUGCAGUAACAACCCAAAUUUUGGCACACCAUCUUAAGAAUAGAAAAGUAUAAUAAAAGAAAUCAAUCAGAGAAUCACUUUGCAUGCAGUUCAUAGAGUUCGCCCAAAAUGGAGCCACAUGUACGGACAACCCCACAAUAGACAAUCUUCUCUAUACAGUAAUAAAAUACAGAAAUGGUUAAUGAAGCUCUGUAUUUCCUUAUCAUAUAUGACCGGUUGAAAACUCAGCAAGUCUUCCUCAAUCACAGACAGUUGGAGUUGCUUCAUCAAAAUCAUGCCUUCAUUACUGGCUUCAUUUUGGUUUCAAUGUCUGUUCUACCCUUAAAUUGGGUCUCUGCUUACUACCGGGAUAUCCUUUAGCGUCCUGCAAUUCUACUAGAUUAAAGAGAAUGACUUAAUUCUGCAUUCUGCCGUCCCUAGUCCAAGUGGUACUAGAAUUGAUGUUUCCUUUAGUGUCCUUUCUUCAUACUUUCAGGUUCUUCCCUUGUUUCAAUAAUGCUGUUUUCCUUCAUGUUUAACCUCUGUUGAACCACUUAAAACAACACAAUUUGCACACCAAUGUUUCUUUACAGAAAAGACUGUUUGCAAAAAUGCACAUGUUAUAAGGUUAAUGGAAGAAUUAAUUUGGGGAUAAGGGACUAGGAUUGGGCCAAUGAAGUUUGGUGUUAAAUUUUGAUUAUGAUUGCUUUUCAUUAUCAGGUACCUUAUAUUUGCUGAUGCUAUCUGGAACUAAAUUCAAAUCAGACAUUAUCCGAUUACUAACAGGACAUAUCAUGUCCCUCUGCAGAGUUUCUAAACUAACAUGUAUCGAAAUGUGGCCCCAAAAGGAAGGCUAGGAAGAUGGAGGAUUUUGUAGGAAUCGACCAGAAUCAGAUGGAAGAGAGAUAGUCCUGUUGACUUUAAUGGUUGUGAUAGGAACAUGCAUCAUUAUAUGAGAAGUUGCAUGAAUUUAUGUAUCCUGUUAUCGUUCCUUGACGAUUUCCCAAUGCAAUUUCACUGUCCACAAGACUAACCUCUCCAUGCAGUCAAAUGAAUUGUAAUUUCUCUAUUGGUACCAGUAGUACAUUUCAUACCAAACAUAUAGUAAAUAUAAAAUAUAAAUAGAUCAAGGAAAUCUGAAUUGUAGAUAGCACUGCAAGUAACACUCAAUAUUCUCUAUAUAUAAUAAAAUAAACAGUGUCACAAUACUCAUCACCCAGUGGCAAGGGAGAAAAACCUACAAUGAGUACUCAAAUCACCAUUCUCAAACAGAAACAUAGCAGUGACUGAUACAUAGAACCUAUAUGCUCACAGGGAAAGAAUAAGAUGACCAGUGCACAGCGGGCAGCAGCUCUUAUUUUACGUACAACUCAAAUCCCAAACUAACCAAAGUCGCUCAGUUGGGAUGGGUGGGAGAUGGUGGUUUGUGGGAUGGCUUCUGGGUAGGAGCUGGUGGCUUCUGUCCCUUUGGUGGUUUGCCUAAUGAGCUUGGUGGCUUGUGCUCCGGGAGUUGUUUCUCUCCCUCGAGUAGGUUUCGAGUCUUGUCAGAUGGCUUGUGUUCUGGUGGUGGCUUCUCUCCCUGGGGUGGUUUGCCGAAUGGGCUUGGUGGCUUGUGUUCGGGGAGUGGCUUCUCUCCCUGGAGAAGGUUACGAGUUUUGUCAUAUGGCUUUUGUUCUGGUGGUGGCUUCUCUCCCUGGGGUGGUUUGCCGAAUGGGCUUGGUGGCUUGUGUUCGGGGAGUGGCUUCUCUCCCUGGAGAAGGUUACGAGUUUUGUCAGAUGGCUUGUGUUCUGGUGGUGGCUUCUCUCCCUGGGGUGGUUUGCCGAAUGGGCUUGGUGGCUUGUGUUCGGGGAGUGGCUUCUCUCCCUGGAGAAGGUUACGAGUUUUGUCAGAUGGCUUUUGUUCUGGUGGCGGCUUCUCUCCCUGGGGUGGUUUGCCAAAUGGGCUUGGUGGCUUGUGUUCGGGAACUGGCUUCUCUCCCUUGGGAGGUUCAGUUGGUGGCUGCUGUUCCGUAGGUGGUUUCUUCACCGGCGGCUUGUGCUCCGGAAGCGGCUUCUCUACCUGGAGAAGCUUACGAGUUUUGUCCGAUGGCUUGUGUUGUGGUGGUGGCUUCUCUCCCUGGGGUGGUUUGCCAAAUGGAGUUGGUGGCUUGUGUUCGGGGAGUGGCUUCUCUCCAUUGGGAGGUUUAGUUGGUGAUUGGUGUUCCGUAGGUGGUUUCUGAAGUGGGGGAUGCUUGGGGUAGUCAGCAAGAGACGAGGUAGUGAGAACCACCAGUCCCAGCAGCAACACUAGCAAGCAUGUGGAAGACAUCUUUGAGUUCAGGCUGAGAUCUGUGCAAGGAUAACAGAAUUAGGUGGCCUUUUAUAGAGGCCUGGACCCAACACCCAUAUGACACGUGUCAUGCACUCAUGGUGACACAUAAUUCUAUGGGACCAUUUGGGUCCUACAGAAGUUGCAAAGUUGGACUACUGAGGUGUGAUCACAACUUUUGUCCUUAUUGCUUUCUCUGCGGCCAUUGCACGAUUUCCUUUAGCAUCAUUUUCUUGGCUAAAUAAGCGUAUUAUAUUUGUGGCAGACCGUCCACGUGUCAUAAACAGAUAUAUUAUAAUAAUGUAGUAUGCUUUUCUCCAAUGGAACAUGACACUCUUCUAAGUCUUGUUUUAAAUAUUGUGCAGGAUUACUUUAUACGUUGCAGUUCCAAGUCAAAAUUGGUGGGCAAACGUUGGCCUUUUUUCAUUUCACCUAAGAUUAAUGCUCACCUGGGAUAGGCACUACAUGACUUAUCUGCUCUUUUACUGUAAAGUUGCUUUGUGUAUGAGAUACACCUCCCCUGCACACCCUCAACAUUCGUUGCUCUGUUUUCCUUGUGUCCAGACGAGGAUAUUAAUUGGAGGCUGACAAAACGACUGCUAGCCCAGGAUUUACAAGGUCCUGGUUUGAGGCUUCGGUGAAAGUAUUUUUGAAAAGACACACAUAGAGAUAGUGCGUUUGGUGCAAUGCAGCACUGUGAGCCAUUCUGACGCGUUCUUAAUUUCAAAACUAAUGAAUGCUUCAAAAUUUUAAGAAGUGACAUUUCCAAAUAUUUGAGUUCGUUUAAUUGAACAUUGGAUAACUAGUGAUCAUAGAUUAUUAUCUGUGCUUGGCACUAUAAGAGGGUAUAUGCUUCUUUUUCUGGCCCCUCCUUCAAGGGAGGAGGGACAAUGUGAUCUGUAACGUUAGAAGCUAUUCCAUGUCAUCUUUGGGCUCAGUUCAAAACUAAAAGAUAAUGGGGGGGGGGGGGGGGGGCAUAUCAUUUUAUAUUUCUUCUAGAAGGUUUGUUCUGGAAAUAUUUCACAGGAGCAUAUCUUUUUCUUCUAUUACGUCAUCCGCAGCCUCCAAUAGGUCGGUUAACAAGCCACCGAGUUGAAAAGUUGGAAAAAUGGGAACACAGCCCGCCUCUUGUAUUCAGUAGUUAAAUAAAAGGUCACUAGAAGUGAGAUCCCUUUUGGCGUCUUGAUUUUCAAUCCAGCACCUCUGUGACCUGACAAACCAAAAAAACUAAAAAAUAAAAAACAGUACGUGGGUUGGUGUUAAGCAUCAAGACAUGUUAAUGAAAGAAGGUAGAGAAUAGGAUAUUGAAAUCCCAAUCCUGAUAACAUGAUUUUCUUUGCUAACAACCAUAUUAUAUUUUAUCAAGAAAGAGUAAUGCAUGUGGCGUCCAUCAAGACCCAUUAGAGUUCCGCUAAAGCUAUAGUUCUGUCAACGUUAUCAUUUACGUUUCCUCUAGAUAAUGGCAUUUUCCUCUAAAGCUCUUGCACCAUUAGGCUUCAAGUCAAAAUUUCACAUGUGAACUUUGGAAAUUUUCUCCAUUUGCCCCUAAGGAUACAGUUAGAAUUGACUUAAAAUCCUGAUUGAUAUGUACUAUUAACCAAAGAAUAUUGUAUAUAAUAAUUGAAAUAUUGUUGAUUCAUCGUGGAAAUACAUUUUGUAAGGAAAGUUGUUGAGAAUUUAGUAUGCUAUAUGGAGAAAAAAGUCAUGACUUAAGGUUGUGUAUGUAUAUUCUAUAUCAAAUAUUAGGUAGGAAUGUGGGAAAGAGCAGAGUGUAAUGAUAAGAAACAAAGAAAUAUAAGAUAUUCUUGAAAGUGGAAAAUAUAAAAUGGCUAACGAGUCAAAUUUAUGAUGCGUAAGGGGGAUCAUGUCACAUAAGAAAACCAUGGCAUACUAAAGACGUACGUGUGGUAUGGAGUAAUAAUUUUGUUAAAAUAAGUUUCUUGUUGGAGUACAUUAGGUGACUAUUCAUAACGUAUCAAAUUAAAGAGUCAAGUGCAUCAAUGAAGGCAUAUGUAGAAAAUUUGUUUGUGACAUGUACCAUAAAGAUAAGAUUGACUUGAUAGAAUUUAGUCUAAGUAGGAGUUGUUAAAGGUGUCUUAAAUUUCUAAUUGAUGUAUAUUUUUUUCUAAAAAAAUAUUAUAUAGAUAUUUUAAUAAAUGAUUAAUUCUUUGUAAAAAUACUUACAUAAUAAAAAACAUCAUUAAAAAUAUCUUUAUAAAUAUUUUAAGUUACAAGAAGGAAAAAAACCACUGUGAGAUAAUGAUGAACAUGCAACACUGUACCAAGUAAAUAAAAAUGUGAUAAAAAAAAAAGAGAAACACUCGAUAAAGGAAGGCUCGUAUAUAAAGAGUAAUAUUUUUAAUCAUAUGAUAGAAUGAUUUUCUCUCAUUCAUGAAUAUAGGCAAGAUUGGGGAACCAUUAUAAAAUUUUGUACACCUCGUGUAAAUUGAUGUUUGUCUUCAUAUUUUACACCAACAAAUGACAUUGAAGUUGUCAUUGAUAAAAGGGAAAAGGCAUGCCUCCACACCAUGUGCUUGAUUCGAAUGGUUCAAGUUUGAAGAAUUUUCUCCGGAAGAUCUAAAACAUUUUCGCCUUUAAAUUUCAUUUGAUUAUUAAUAUCCGAAAAAAUAGUUAAAUACUCUUUCUAUUUUUGAGUUGUUGAAUUUUUUGAAAGUUUUUAUAUUUGUUAUCAAGAAUUUCUAUUUUAUUAAGGGUGAAUAUUUAUAAAUAAGAUAUUAUAUAAUAUUUGGAUAAGAGAGAAUGGUGGAAUAUAAUAAAGUUUUAAUCCUUCCCAAUUUUGAACCUUUUUUUUUUUUUUUGAUAUAAUCGCCUUUCUCUUGCAAUCCUAUUAUCAGGUACCUUAUAUUUGCUGAUGCUAUCUGGAACUAAAUUCCAAUCAGGCAUUGUCCAAUUACUAAUAGGACAGAUCAUAUCUCUCUGUUUCUAAACUAACAUGUAUCGUAAUGUGACCUCAUAAGGAAGGCUAGGAAGAUGGAGGAUUUUGUGGGAAGCGACCAGAAUCAGAUGGAAGAGAGAUAGCCCUGUUGACCUAAUGGCUGUAAUAGGAGAAGCGUGUGGUUUUAUGGGACUUAACUGAUACUAAACCUGUAUGAUGCUUGGAGUGGUGUUUCUUUCAUUUUGUUAAGAAAAUAUGGCAGCAUACAUGCUUUCAACUGAGUGCAUCAGAGCAUCCAUAACAGAUGGUCUGCAACCCUAGGUGCAUGCCACUUUCUGACUGAUAAUGAAAUUGUCAGGUACCUGGCCUUGACUAAGCUCAACAGCAUCACAUAAAGAGAAGCUUUCAUACUUAGAUUACUGUUUAAAGUUUUUGCUUAUUUGAUUUCUUAAUGCCAUUAUGACAUUAUUGAUUCAAUUCUGCUUCCGAUUUUCGAAGUUCUGGGCAUCUACUGAUUGCAUCAUUAUAUGAGAAGUUGCAUGAGUUUAUGUAUCCUGUUAUUGUUCCUUUGCGAUUUCACUGCUCACGGGACUAACCUCUCCAUUCAGUCGAAAUGAAUUGUAAUUUCUUUACUGGUAGCAGUAGUACUUUUCAUAGCAAAGAUAAUAGAAAAUAUGAAAUAUAAAUAGAAGGAAAUCUGGAUUGUAGAUAGCACCAUAAGUAACACUCAAUAUUCACUACAUAAUAAAUAGACAGUGUUACAUAGGUAGAGAAACCUACAAUGAGUACUCAUCACCAUUCUCAAACAGAAACAUAGCAGCGACUUAUACAUAGAACCUAUAGGCUCGCAGGGAAAGAGUAACAUGAUAAGUUCACAGCGGGUAGCAGCUCUUAUUUUACGUAUUACUCAAAAUCUCAAACUAACCAAAGUCACUCAGUUGGGAUGGGUAGGAGAUGGUGGUUUGUGGGGUGGCUUCUGGGUAGGAGCUGGUGGCUUCUUUGUUGGAGUUGAAGGAGGCAUAUUCUUCUGAGGUGGCUUGUAUGACUCUUCGGCACUCUCUGCAGGAGGGUGCCCAGGGUUGUGACCAGAAGGAGGUGGCUUCUGUCCCUUUGGUGGUUUGCCUAAUGGGCUUGGUGGCUUGUGCUCCGGGAGUUGUUUCUCUCCCUCGAGUAGGUUUCGAGUUUUGUCAGAUGGCUUGUGUUCUGGUGGUGGCUUCUCUCCCUGGGGUGGUUUGCCGAAUGGGCUUGGUGGCUUGUGUUCGGGGAGUGGCUUCUCUCCCUGGAGAAGGUUACGAGUUUUGUCAGAUGGCUUUUGUUCUGGUGGCGGCUUCUCUCCCUGGGGUGGUUUGCCAAAUGGGCUUGGUGGCUUGUGUUCGGGAACUGGCUUCUCUCCCUUGGGAGGUUCAUUUGGUGGCUGGUGUUCCGUAGGUGGUUCCUUCACCGGCGGCUUGUGCUCCGGAAGCGGCUUCUCUACCUGGAGAAGCUUACGAGUUUUGUCAGAUGGCUUGUGUUGUGGUGGUGGCUUCUCUCCCGGGGGUGGUUUGCCAAAUGGACUUGGUGGCUUGUGUUCGGGGAGUGGCUUCUCUCCAUGGGGAGGUUUAGUUGGUGGUUGGUGUUGCGUAGGUGGUUUCUGAAGUGGGGGAUGCUUGGGGUAGUCAGCAAUAGACGAGGUAGUGAGAACCACCAGUCCCAACAGCAACACUAGCAAGGAUGUUGAAGACAUCUUUGAGUUCAGGCUGAGAUCUGUGCAAGGAUAAAAGAUUUAGGUGGCCUUUUAUAGAGGGCUGGACCCAACACCCAUAUGACACGUGUCAUGCACUCAUGGUGACACAUAAUUCUAUGGGACCAUUUGGGUCCUACAGAAGUUGCAAAGUUGGACUAUUGAGGUGUGAUCACAACUUUUGUCCUACUUGCUUUCUCUGCGGCCAUUGCACGAUUUCCUUUAGCAUCAUUUUCUUGUCUAAAUAAGCGUAUUAUAUUUGUGGCAGACCGUCCACGUGUCAUAAACAGAUAUAUUAUAAUAAUGUAGUAUGCUUUUCUUCAACGGAACUUGACACUCUUCUAAGUCUUGUUUUAAAUACUGUGCAGGAUUACGUCAUAAGUUGCUUGUUCCAAGUCAAAAUUGGUGGGCAAACGUUGGCCUUUUUUCAUUUUCCCUAAUAUUAAUGCUCACCUGGGAUAGGCACUACAUGAUUUAUCUGCUCUUUUACUGUGAAGUUGCUUUGUGCAUGAGUUACACCUCCCCUGCACACCCUCAACAUUUGUUGCUCUGUUUUUCUUGUGUCCAGACGAGGAUAUUAAUUGGAGGCUGACAAAACGACUGCUAGCCAAGGAUUUACAAGGUCCUGGUUUGAGGCUUUCACGAAAGUAUUUUUGAAAAGAUACACAUAGAGAUUGCGCGUUCGGUGCAAUGCAACAAUGUGAGCCAUUCUGAAGUCUUAAAUUUCAGAUUAAUGAAUGCUACAAAAUUCUAAGAAGGGCCGUUUCCAAAUAUUUGAGUUCAUUCAUCCGAACAUCGGGUAUAUGCUUCUUUCUCUAGCCCCUCCUUGAAGGGAGGAGGGACAAUGUGAUCUGUAUCGUUAGAAGCUAUUCCAUGUCGUCAUCUUUGGGCUCAGUUCAAUACUAAAAGAUAUGGGCGGGGCCCUUAUCAUUUUAUAUUUCUUCUAGAAGGUUUAUUCUGGAAAUCUUUCACAGAAACAUAUCUUUUUCUUCUCUACGUGAUCCGUGGUUUGAAAGUUGGAAAAAUGGGUCCGUUAACAAGCCACCGAGUUGAAAAGUUGGAAAAAUGGCAACACCGCCAACCUCUUGUAUUCGAUAGUUAAAUAAAAGGUCACUGGAAGUGAGAUCCCUUUUGGCCUCUUGAUUUUCAUUCCAGCAUCUCUAUGGCCUGAUAAAUUAAAAAACUAAAAAAAAAGACAGUACGUGGGUUGGUGUUAAGCAUCAAGAGUCAAGACAUGAUAAUGGAGAGAAAGGAUAUUCAAAUUCCAGUUCUGACAACAUGAUUUUCUUUGCUGAACUACCAUAUUAUAUUUGAUCAAGAAAGAGUAGUGCAUGUGGCCAGGAUCAAGACAUACAUUAAUUUCCACAUGAUGAAGACAGUUUCUGAGAGUUUCUUCUAAAGCUCUUGCGCGAGUAGGCUUCAAGUCAAAAUCUCCCAUGUAAACACUGGUUUUUCUUUCAUUGCCACUAAGGAUGCAGUUAAUAUUGACUUAAGAUCCUACGUGAUAUAUUUUUUUAAAAGAGCUAUAUUGUAGAUAAUAUUUGAAAUAAUGUUGAUUCGUUGUGGAAAUAUAUUUGUAAGGAAAGUUGUUGACAAUUUAAUAUAGUAUAAGAAGAAAAAAGUUAUCAACUAGCUAGAGAUGAGUAUGUAAAGUGAGGCUCACGAUUCAACGCGUAAAUAUAAGAUAUUUUAAGGCUCAAUAGUUAUGAUAUCUAUUUUAUUUUUUGUAUCUCAUAUAUUCAAAGAUAUAGUAAAAUGAUUUUACAUAUAUAUAUAUAUAUAUAUAUGAACAUAACUAUUUGUGCCAAUUGAUUUUUAUCUUUAUUUUGUAUAUUAGUAAUUAUAUUAAAGUUUUUACUAAUAUAAUAACUAAUAUAAAAGCUUUUUCUAAAAGAGUCAACAGAGCAAAACACUUAUUAUAAAAAAUAAUUUUGAUUGAAGGUGGAGUCAAUUAUUCUUUAUUUAACAUGUAAUGCAUACGGCGUGUACUUCAUAACUAAAGUAUAUAAGUGUAACAUCUCUUAUAUAUUCUCAUUCAAUCUCGAAAGUGGAAAUUUUAAAAAGAUUAAACGGUUCAAAUUUGUCGUGCAUAAAGGGGAUCAUGUCACAUAAGCAAACCAUGGCAUACCAAAGACAUAGGUAUGGACUAAGAAUUUUUUUCAAAUAAGUUUCUUAUUAGGGUACAUUAAUAGGUGACUUUUUAUGACAUAUCAAAGGAGUCAAGUGCACCAAUAAAAACAUAUAUAGAAAAUUCAUGCAUGACAUGUAUCACUAAGAGAAGAUUGACUUGAUAGAGUUUAAUCCAAAUAGGAGAUUGUUAAAAGGUGUCUCAAAUUCUUGAUUGAUAUAUAUUUUUUUUAUUAAAAAGGUUAUUAUAUAGAUAUUUCAAUAGACUAUUAAUUCUUUGUAAAAAUAGUUAUAUAAUGAGGAUGGUGAUUAAAAAUAUCUCUAUCAAUAUUUUGGAUUAUAAAAAGAAAAAAAAUGAGAUAAUGAUAAACAUAUAAAACUUGUACAAGUAGAUAAAGAUGUGAUGAAAGACACUUGAUGAAUGAAGGCUUUGUAUUUCAAGAUAUAAAUAUAUGGAGCAAAACUCUUAAUUAUAUGAUCAAAUGAUUCUCUCAUAUUCAUGAAUAUAAGCAGGAUUGGGGAACCAUGAUAGAAUCUUAUAUGCCUCUCCAUGUAGAGUGAUCGAUGUUUAUCUUCAUAUUUUACACCAGUGAAUGACAUUGAAACUCUUAUUGAUAAAAGGGAAAAGGCAUGGCCUCCACCCCAAGAAAAACAAGUAACCUCGGUUUAAAUCACUAGUCUACACCCCGAAGAGAGAACUAGCCAAACCUACUAAAAGAGAAACUUAACAAUUUAGAAAGAAACCGUCCAUGAUAAAGGGCCCCUAAAGGUCCAAUUCAGUGAGGUCGUGAACAAAAACACUUUCAUGUCAAAACAGAGAUAGGUACCACCAAAAUGUAAAGGGAAAGAUGUAAACCACGUCGAACUUUGGUAAUCAAUGGUAAAGAUAGCAUGAUAGCUAAAAGCACUAAAGCUGUGCUUGGUAUGCAAAAAUGAAAAGUGGAAAUCAGCGUCUUAUUCUUUUUCACCUUUAUUCACAUAUUAGGAUAACUAAUAUCUAAUGUUUUUUAUGUCUCAAAUUCUAUUCCAUGUUAUGGUAAACUUUCAUCUUGUUUAGAUCACUUUUGUCUGGUUUGGGCUCAAGACGAUAAGCCUAUAGAGACUUCAUAUUGGGUUGAAUCGAUGCCCUUGAUCUGAUCUGUUCGUUAGAAAAAUCUGAAUUAUUAUAAGCAUUUAGAUAAAAAAUAAAUAAAUGUGAAACACAAACUACUCCCUGCACAACCUUGACCCUAGUUACUCAGUUUCACUGCUCACAGGACUAACCUCUCCAUUCAGUCGAAAUGAAUUGUAACAAGAAGAUUUUUGACAGGAGGACGGUAGUUUAAAAUAAUAAUUUCUAAAGUACUUUUGUGAAAAAAAAUAAUUCCAAACGUGGAUUUUAUCAAGUAAAAAGAAAAAAAAAAGUUAUUUUCUUUUAAAAUCUGUUCUUCUAAAGAUGAUAUAUAUACCAAAAAAAAAAAUUGUUUUCUGAAGGUAAAAUUUUUAAAAUUCAUUUUUAAAAAAAUUUACACACUAAAAUUAUCUUUUCAAGAGAAGAUUUUUUUAAUUUUAAAUAAUUAUUAAUUUAUAAUUAAUUUGUUAUUAAUUAUUUAUUAAUUUUUUUAUUUGAAAAAUGCAUUUAUAAAAAACAAAUUUGUUAUUAAUUUAUUAAAUAAUUUUUACAAAAUAAAUAAUUUUUUUUUAUUUUAAUUUUAAAAUUAAUUUUAUUAUAUAAAUUUUAAAAUUAAAAAUAUUAAUAUUUAAUUUAAAAUUUAACUAUAAAAGGAAUAAAAUAUAGAAAAAUAAAUUAAUUUAUUAUUCAAUAAAUUAAUUUUCAAUAAAAUUUUCAGCAUUAAGAGAUAAAUUUUUAAGUAUUAAUCAAUUUAAAAAGAAAUAAUGAUCAUUUGUAUAUUAAGAUAUUUUAUUUAGUAAUUAUGAAUGAUAAACAACUAAAGUAAUUUGAAAAAAUAAUAAAAUAUUUAAAAAAUAAUAAUUUAAUACACGUAAAAUUAGAAAUGAUUAACUAUUUUUUAUUAAGAAAAAAUUGAGGAAAUAUUUUGUUAUUUAAAAUUUUUUAUUUGUUUUCAAUUUUUAAUGUUAUAGGUUUCAAGAAAAUUGAUCAAAUAAAAAUUAAGAAGUCAUUUUUUCAAAAACUAUAUAUCUAAAUAAAAGCCUUGAAAUUCAAAUACACAAUAUCAUAAAUAUAAACACCAAGUCAAUCCUUAAUUAUCAAAUGUUUUUAAUAUUAAAGAAUCAAAAUCACCUACUAUCAUGAUAAUAAGAAAACCAAUAAUAUUGUUCAUAUAAAUACUAAAAAGCUAACAAAUAUCCCAAACAAUUAAUAAAGUAUCAAACAUGAUAAAAAGUCAAUUAUUAUCAUGAAUGCAAAAAAUCAAUAAUUUUGUUUAUAUGAACCAUCAACAAAGAAAAAAAAAAUCAAUAUCUAAAUAUUAAACAUAAUUUAUAUUUUUAUAAAUAUUAUUGUUGAUAAAUAUCUUAACAAUUAUAAUUUUAGUAAAUAAAAUUAAUUAAUUUUAGUUUAAGAAUUAUUUUUUUAUACUUUCGUAUUCUUAUCAAAAAUCCCCAUUUUGCAUGUCUCCUUUGGCAUGACUUUCUUACCUAAACAAGCAUAUAUAUAUAUAUAUAUAUAUAAAAUAUUUGGUUAAGAAAGAGUACUAAAGUUUAUAUGGCACACAUCAAGAUAGAAACAGAAGUGGAAGAUAAUCCAAAUGUAUGAACAGAUAUAUUAUAUCCAUGUAGUGGUAGUGACUUCAUUAUUUACUUUUAUCUAAUGGAGCAUGACACACUUCUUCUGAAUAUUUUGCACGAUUAUGUUAUGUGUCAGCUUGUUCUAAGUCAAAACUAGUGAUAAAAAUCGGUUUUUUUUGCAUUUCCUUCAUGAAGAUGGCACCUGGAUGGGGCACUACAUGAGUGGCAUAGCACGAAGUGAUUUAUCUGCUCCCUUUACUAUAAAGUGCUUUGUGUAUAAGUUACACCUCCCCUGCACUGCCUCAACAUUUGUUGUUCUGUCUUCCGUCUGUCCAAACGAGGACAAACGUAUGUUGUAGGUUGACAAAACCACAGCUAGCCUAGGAUUUGCAAGGAUCUAGUUUGAUUCGUAUGCAAAAGGAUUGGUGAAAAGAUUCACAAAGAUAAUGCUUUUUGCAAUGCAAUCUUGUUCUAAUUCAACAGUGUGGACCAUUUUCAUGUAAUGCUUCAACUAGAUGUCAGUUUCAUGAAUUUUUGUUCAUCUAAUUGAUCACUGGAUAGGCCAUAACCCGAAGAAAUUCAAAAUUCCCUUCAGUACUGUAGCUAAGGAAAGAUCCCUAUCUACCACUGGGAUUUUAAGAGGGUAAAAAUGUAGGUGGGUGCCUAUAUCAUUUGCACUUCACUAUAGGCCUCUUUGGGAAGAUUUCUUCUGAAGACAUUUCAAAGAAACAUAUUUUUCUCUUCUCUCCGUAAACGGCAGCUGCAAGUCAGUCCAUUCACAGGCCACCGAGUUGAAAAGGCUGGAAAAUUGGCCAAAGCACCCGCCUCCUGGAUUCCAUGGGUAAGGAAAAGGUCACUGGAGGUGUGAUCCCUGUUGGCCUCUUGAUUUCCAUUCCGCCAUCUAUAUGACCUGAUAACCCAAAAACACAGAAGGAAAACGUCACCUGGGUUCAUAGUAAGCAUCAAGUCAUGAUAGAGACCAGACAACAUGACCAACAAAGAGUAGCGAAUGGGGCCAACAUCAAGCCCCAUUACGGUUAGAAGAUGGAAGAAGUAGAAGACAAUCCAAUUCUGAUAGAUUCGGGCAAAUGUAGUGCUGUUCAAACUUAAUCAUUUACUAUUUCUUCAUGAAUCACGGCAUUUUUCUUCUGAAAAUUUUCCAAGAUUAGGCCUCUGAAGAAAAAUUUCAUAUGUAAAUUGGUAUAUUAAGGAAAAGGCGUUACAAAGGUGAAAAAAAACCAAUCAAAUCUUAUAUAUGACAUCUCAAAAAUAUGAACUUGCUAUAAAUAUUUAAAAUCAAAAUCUUGCACAUCACCUCGUAGUACGAACUUGCUAUAAAACUUGAAAAUCAAGAAGAAAGGGGCAGUAUUGGACGAGACUACUUAGCACAUAUUAUUAUGAUGUUUUUUCAUUUUCUUAAUGUUGUUUUUAUGUCUUAAAUUCUAUUAUUCUAUGUUACGGUAAACAUUCAUCUUGUUUGUGUGGAAUAGGAUCACUUUUCUCUGGGUUGAGUCGAUGCCCUUAGUUAAUUUGUUCAUUUGAAUAAACUAAAUUAUUAUAAGUAUUUAGAUAAGAAAAACGUGAUACAUAAAUUACGCCUCUCGGCACAACUUCAACACUGGUUACUCUGUUUCAGUUUCCUCACACAAGAUUAUUGGUUCUAGGGUUUAUUUGGUUUUGGUUUGAUUCUAAUUGCUAAACUUUCUCAAGGAAGAUGUUAUAUAGGGAGUGAGAAACCUUCACUCUUGGCUACCUCCAAGAGAAGAGCAAGUGGUCUGAAUCAAAGAUAUACUGCUCACUUUUUCUUCUUCUAAGGACAGCUAUGACCUUGCUUUAAGGUUCGAAUAGCCUAAUGCAACCUCCCAUUUCUCAAGUCAGCUGAUGAUGUAAGUCACCUUGGCUUUCCACAUUCAUACGGUGAGGACGUUUGUGGGUGUAAUUCUCUUAACAGUUUUCAUUUUAUAUGGAAAAAUUCAUAAUUAAGGGUAAUUACUGAUUCCAUUUGACAGUGACCAAGUUUAAAAUAUUAAUUCAUAUAUUAAAUGCACAUUAAAAAAUCAUGGAAUAAAUAUAUUUACUAAUAUAUAGUUCUUUUGCCAUGUUCUGUCACAGAAGCAUCGAACUUUCCCUAGAAAUUUUUGCAUGGUAUUCUACUUAUGAUUUUGAAAACUCUAGGCACCUGAGGCCACUAAUUGCAUGGUUGGAUGAGGAGCUGCAUGAGAUUAUGUAUCGUGUUGUUCCUUAACUACAAAUAUCAGUUUUAAGUAGCAUCUCCAUGUGACAUUUUCCUGAUGCAAUUUCGCUGUCCACCAACAAAUUUCACCAUGCAGCAAGAUGAAUUGUAAUUUCUUUAUUGUUAUCAACAGCUUUAAUUAAUCUUGAUAUAUAUAUAUAACUUAGUAGAAGUAUAUUAAUCUAGAUUGUAGUUGCACUAAGAUAAUAGGCAAUAUUAUAACAGUGCCACAAUGCUCAUCGCCAAAUAGAAAGGUAGAAAAACUACAAUGAGUAACUCACAACAUUCUCAAACAGGACAUAGCGGCGACUGAUACAUAGAACACUAUUGGCACUCAGGAAAUGAUAAGAUCAGUGCCCAGCAGGCAGCACGUCUUAUUUUACAUACUACUUAAAACUAACCAAAGUCAUUCAGUUGGGAUGGGUGGGAGAUGGUGGUUUGUGCGGUGGCUUUUGGGUAGUUGGUGGCUUCUUUCCUGGAACUGAUGGUUUUUUUGUUGGAGUUGAAGGAGGCUUAAUCGUCUGAGGUGGCUUGUAUGAGUCUUCAGCACUCUCUGCGGGAGGGUGCCCAGGGUUGUGACCAUAAUGGGGUGGCUUCUCUCCCUUAGUUGGUUUGCCAAGUGGGCUGGCUGGCUUGUGCUCCGGGAGCGGCUUCUCUCCCUUAGGUGGUUUGCCAAAUGGGCUUGCUGGCUUGUGCUCUGGGAGCGGCUUCUCUCCCUCAAGAAGUUUACGGGUUUUGUCAGAUGGCUUGUGUUCUGGUGGUGGCUUCUCUCCUUGGGGUGGUUUGCCAAAUGGACUUGGUGGCUUGUGUUCGGGGAGUGGCUCCUCUCCCUUGGGAGGUUUAGUUGGUGGCUGGUGUUCCAUAGGUGGUUUCUCAACCGGGGGCUUGUUCUCCGUUGGUGGUUUAUGAACUGGGGGAUGCUUGGGGUAGUCAGCAAGAGACGGGGUGGUGAGAACCACCAGUCCCAGCAGCAACACUAGCAAGUAUGUGGAAGAGUACAUCUUUGAGUUCAGGCUGAGAUUUGUGCGAGACUUGAAGAAUUAGGUGGCCUUUUAUAGCUGGCUGCACCCAACACUCACAUGACACGUAUCAUGGUGACACAUGUGCUAUGGGUCCAUUUGGGUCCUACAGAAGCUGAAAACUUUUGACUAUUGAGGUGUGGUCACAACUUUUGUCCCUAUUGCUUUCUCCGCAACCGUUUUACAUGUUUCCUUUGGCAUAAUUUUCUAAGCUAAACAAGCAUAUAUCAUAUUUGGUUAAGAAAGAGUAAAGUGUAUAUGGCACACAUCAAGGAAGAGAAACAGAAAAAGUGGGAGACAAUCAAUUGUGAUAAACAGAUAUAUUAUAUUCAUGUAGUACUAGUGACUUUAUCAUUUACUUUUAUCCAAUAGAUCAUCACUCUUUCUUCUAAAUAUUUUGGAGGAUAAUGGUACAUGUUGCUUGUUUCCAAGUCAAAAUUGGUGGCAAAAAUCGGCAUGAUACGAAAGGAUUGGUGAAAAGAUUCACAUAGAUGGUGCUUUGUGCAAUGCAGUCUUGCUCUAAUUCAACAGAGUGGACCAUGGUGAUGUAUUUUAAAUUUUAAAUUUUAAAUUAAUGCAUGCUUCAAAGUUUUAACUAGAUGUCACUUCCAUGGAUUUUUGUUCAUUUAAUUGAGCACAGGAUAGGCUAUCAAACUUGAAGUAAUAUAAAAAUCCCUUCAUUACUGUAACUAAUGAAAGAUCAUUAUCUGCGCUUGGUAUUUUGCCAAGGUAUUUGCUGCUCUUUCUAGCCCUGUCUUACAGUUAAGGACAAUGUGAUCUAGUUAACCUUAGAAGCUAUUCCAUGUCAGAUACAAGAGAUCAAGCACAUUAUCUUUGGGCUCAGUUCAAAACUAUAAUAUAUGGGUGGGGUGGAGGCCCAUAUCAUUUGCAUAUCACCACUAUUGGUUUAGUUUGGAAGGUUUCUUCUGGAAGAUUGCUGCUUUCUGGAAUCAUUUCAAAGAAAUAUAUCUUUUUGUUCUCUUGGUGACGAGCAGCGGCAAUCAAGUCUGUUGACAAACAACCGAGUUGAAAAGUUUGAAAAUUGGUCACAGCCCACGUCCAUGGUUAAGGAAAAGGUCACUGGAAGUGAUCCCUUCUGGGCCUCUUGAUUUCCAUUCUGACAUCUAUAUGACCUGAUAAAUAGAAAGAAAAAAAAACAGAAGAAAAGCGGCACCCGGGUUCAUAGUAAGCAUCAAGACAGGAUACUGAAAGAAGGGAGAAAGGAGAUUGCAAGUCCAAUCCUGAUAAAAUGAUCAACAAAGAGUAUCAAAAUGGGGCCAACAUAAAGACCCAUUGAGGUUAGCAGAUGGCAUGGCAUUUUUCUCCUUAAGUUUUCCAUGAUUAGACUUGAAGUCAAAAUUUCACAUGUAAAUUUGUAUUUCUACAUUUCCCACUGACGACACCCAACUUCAACUUGAGUUAGAAUAACAUUGUGUGAACUUAUCUGGCCCUCAAAAUUUACUGUGAAGUGCUUUCUGCGUGUGAAGAUUCAGAAAAGCACCAAGGGAACAUGUAUGGUCUGCCUUUUUCUGAUGUUAUGUUUGUCUCUAAUUCUGUUCCAUGUCAUGGUAAAUGUUCACAUUGCUUGUAUGGAACACACCAGGAUCACUUUUUCGGGUUUAUUUUGAGGCUUCAUAUUGGGUUCAUAUUGGGUUCAAUGCUUUUAAUGUGUUCAUUAGACAAAUCUGAAUUAUCAUAUGCAUUUAGAUAAGAACAAUAAUGUGAAACCCUAGUUACACCUCCCCUGCAUAACCCCAACCCUGCUUACUCUAUUUCAGUUUACUCACACAAGUUUUACCGGUUCUUAUAAGUCAAGAAAAGGCAACUGAUGUUGGAUUGACUCUCUUCCAUGUAUAAAAAGCAACUUUUAUAUAUACAUAAAAUAACUUCUUCCCCUCACCAAUGUGGGAUAUCAUGGAUUUAUUCUGGAAACACAUCAAAGGAACAUCUUUUCUCUUGGGUGACCCUAAGUGGUGAGUCAGACCAUUUGCAUGCCAUUGAGUUGCACAGUUGGAUAAAUGCACCUACCUCCUGGGCUCCAGAGUUAAAAGGGUGGAUCCCUGGAUCGCAACCCUCUUGGCAUCUUGGUUUCCAUUCCAACAUCCACAUGACUUGACAAAACAAAAAACAGAAUAAAAUCAUCACUAUUUUCAUGCUAAGCACCAAUACAUGAUGGAAAUCAUUGCUUAAAGAUUUGGGGUCAUUUAGGUUUUGACUGCCUCCUAACACCUCACCUAAUCACAAGUUUUUAUGCUUACAAAUCAAAUAUCGUUCUUCAUUAUAUUAAAAUCAUUUUAAGAUUUCAGAUCCAUCUGCUAAUUAUGAUUAUGAUAACAUUAAUUCACCUGUGCUUCUCAUUUUCGACACACAAGGCAUCUAGGUUUGCAGGAUUUCCUUAUUAGAUGAGAUAAAUGAGUACGCAUGGUUAUGUAUGCAGCAUUCAUUAACCAUGGUAUGUGACAUUUAGAAUUAAGAUAGCAAGCAAACUUUCCCUGCAGCUUGAGUAAAUUGUGAUUUCUUAGCCUCUAUGAGUGGUUCCCAAAUCAAAUUAACAUAGUGAAAUAUACGUAGUCCAGUGAAAGGAAAUGUAAAUUAUAAACUAACAGCACUACACUACUGGUAACACUCGAUACUCUCUAUAUAAUGCAAUGAAAUAUACGUUAUACGUUGCUUGUUCCAAGUCAAAAUUUGUGGCCAAACGUUGGCCUUUUUUCAUUUUCCCUAAGAUUAAUGCUCACCUGGGAUAGGCACUACAUGAUUUAUCUGCUCUUUUACUGUAAAGUUGCUUUGUGUAUGAGUUACACCUCCCCUGCACACCCUCAACAUUUGUUGCUCUGUUUUCCUUGUGUCCAGACGAGGAUAUUAAGUGGGGGCUGACAAAACGACUGCUAGCCAAGGAUUUACAAGGUCCUGGUUUGACGCUUCCGCGAAAGUAUUUUUGAAAAUAUACACAUAGAGAUUGCGCGUUCGGUGCAAUGCAACAAUGUGAGCCAUUCUGAAGUUUUUAAUUUCAGAUUAAUGAAUGCUACAAAAUUCUAAGAAGGGCCGUUUCCAAAUAUUUGAGUUCAUUUAUCCGAACAUCGGAUAAGUAAUGAUCAUAGAUUAUUAUUAUUAUCUGACGUUCUUAUAAUGGUUGGCAUUAUAAGAGGGUAUAUGCUUCUUUCUCUAGCCCCUCCUUCAAGGGAGGGACAAUGUGAUCUGUAUCGUUAGAAGCUAUUCCAUGUCGUCAUCUUUUGGCUUAAGUCAAUACUAAAAUAUAUGGGCGGGGCCCCUGUCAUUUUAUAUUUCUUCUAGAAGGUUUGUUCUGGAAAUCUUUCACCGAAACAUAUCUUUUUCUUCUCUACGUGAUCCGUGGUUGGAAAGUUAGAAAAAUGGGUCCGUUCACAAGCCACCGAGUUGAAAAGUUGGAAAAAUGGCAACACCGCCAACCUCUUGUAUUCGAUAGUUAAAUAAAAGGUCACUGGAAGUGAGAUCCCUUUUGGCCUCUUGAUUUUCAUCCCAGCAUCUCUAUGUCCUGAUAAACUAAAAAACUAAAAAAAAAACAGUACGUGGGUUGGUGUUAAGCAUCAAGAGUCAAGACAUGAUAAUGGAGAGAAAGGAUAUUCAAAUUCCAGUUCUGACAACAUGAUUUUCUUUCCUGAACAACCAUGUUAUAUUUGAUCAAGAAAGAGUAGUGCAUGUGGCCAGGAUCAAGACAUACAUUAAUUUCCACAUGAUGAAGACAGUUUCUGAGAGUUUCUUCUAAAGCUCUUGCGCUAGUAGGCUUCAAGUCAAAAUUUCCCAUGUAAACACUGGAUUUUCUUUAAUUGCCACUAAGGAUACAGUUAAAAUUGACUUAAAAUCCUACGUGAUAUAUAUCUUUAACAAAAGUAUAUUGUAUAUAAUAUUUGAAAUAAUGUUGAUUCGUUGUGGAAAUAUGUUUGUAAGGAAAGUUGUUGACAAUUUAAUAUAGUAUAAGAAGAAAAAAGUUAUCAACUAGAGAUGAGUAUGUAAAGUGAGGCUCACGAUUCAACGCGUAAAUAUAAGAUAUUUUAAGGCUCAAUAGUUAUGAUAUCUAUUUUAUUUUUUGUAUCCCAUAUAUUCAAAGAUACAGUAAAAUGAUUUUAUAUAUAUGAACAUAGCCGAUAGUAUCAUGUUAAAACCUUAUAUGACUCUUUGUGCCAAUUGAUUUUUAUCUUUAUUUUGUGUAUUAGUAAUUAGUAUUAAAGUUUUUACUAACAUAAUAAUUGAUAUAAAAGCUUUUUCCAAAAGAGUCAAACAGAGCAAAACACUUAUUAUAAAAAGAAUUUUGAUUGAAGGUGGAGUCAAUUAUUCUUUAUUCAACAUGUGAUGCAUACAGCGGGUACUUCAUAACUAAAGUAUAUAAGUGCAACAUCUCUUAUACAUUCUCAUUCAAUCUCGAAAGUGGAAAAUUUUAAAAGAUUAAAUGGUUCAAAUUUUCCGUGCAUAAAGGGGAUCAUGUCACAUAACCAAACCAUGGCAUACCAAAGCCAUGAUAUGGACUAAGAAUUUUGUUAAAAUAAGUUUCUUAUUAGGGCACAUUAUGUGACUAUUUAUGACAUAUCAAAGGAGUCAAGUGCAUCAAUAAAGACAUAGAAAAUUCAUGCAUCACAUGUACCACUAAGAGAAAAUUGACUUGAUAGAGUUUAGUCCAAAUAGGAGAUUGUUAAAAGGUGCAUCAAAUUCUUGAUUGAUAUAUAUUUUUUUUAUUAGAAAGGUUAUUAUAUAGAUAUUUCAAUAGACUAUUAAUCCUUUGUAAAAAUAGUUAUAUAAUGAGGAUGGUGAUUAAAAAUAUCUCUAUCAAUAUUUUGGAUUAUAAAAAGAAAAAAAAUAUGAGAAAAUGAUAAACAUAUAAAACUUGUACAAGUAGAUAGAGAUGUGAUGAAAGACACUUGAUGAAUGGAGGCCUUGUAUUUCAAGAUGUAAAUAUAUGGAGCAAAACUCUUAAUUAUAUGAUCAAAUGAUUCUCUCAUAUUCAUGAACAUAAGCAGGAUUGGGGAACCAUGAUAGAAUCUUAUAUGCCUCUCCAUGUAGAUUGAUCGAUGUUUAUCUUCAUAUUUUACACCAAUGAAUGACAUUGAAACUCUGAUUGAUAAAAGGGAAAAAGCAUGGCCUCCACCACAAGAAAAACAAGUAACCUCGGUCUAAAUCACUAGUCUACACCCCGAAGAGAGAACUAGCCAAACCUACUAAAAGAGAAACUUACCAAUUUAGAAAGAAAUCUUCCAUGAUAAAGGGCCCCUAAAAGUCCAAUUCAGUCAGGUUGUGAACAAAAACACCUUCAUGUCAAAACAGGAAUAGGUACCACCAAAAUGUAAAGGGAAAGAUGUAAACCAAGUCGAACUUUGGUAAACAAUGGUAAAGAUAGCAUGAUAGCUAAAAGCACUAAAGCUGUGCUUGGUAUGCAAAAAUGAAAAGUGGAAAUCAGCGUCUUAUUCUUUUUCUCCUUUAUUCACAUAUUAGGAUAACUAAUAUCUAAUGUUUUUUUUAUGUCUCAAAUUCUAUUCCAUGUUAUGGUAAACUUUCAUCUUGUUUAAGUGGAAGAGUAGGAUCACUUUUGUCUGGUUUGGGCUCAAGACGAUAAGCCUAUAGAGACUUCAUAUUGGGUUGAAUUGAUGCCCUUGAUCCGAUCAGUUCGUUAGAAAAAUCUGAAUUAUUAUAAGCAUUUAGAUAAAAUAAAUAAAUAAAUGUGAAACAGAGACUAUUCUCUGCACAACCUUGACCCUAGUUACUCAGUUUCACUGCUCACGGGACUAACCUCUCCAUUCAGUCGAAAUGAAUUGUAAUUUCUUUACUGGUAGCAGUAGUACUUUUCAUAGCAAAGAUAAUAGUAAAUAUGAAAUAUAAAUAUAUAGAAGGAAAUCUGGAUUGUAGAUAGCACCAUAAGUAACACUCAAUAUUUACUACAUAAUAAAAGAGAUAGUGUUACAAAGGUAGAGAAACCUACAAUGAGUACUCAUCACCAUUCUCAAACAGAAACAUAGCAGUGACUUAUACAUAGAACCUAUAGGCUCGCAGGGAAAGAGUAACAUGAUAAGUGCACAGCGGGUAGCAGCUCUUAUUUUACGUAUUACUCAAAAUCUCAAACUAACCAAAGUCACUCAGUUGGGAUGGGUAGGAGAUGGUGGUUUGUGGGGUGGCUUCUGGGUAGGAGCUGGUGGCUUCUUUGUUGGAGUUGAAGGAGGCGUAAUCUUCUGAGGUGGCUUGUAUGAGUCUUUGGCACUCUCUGCAGGAGGGUGCCCAGGGUUGUGACCGGAAGGAGGUGGCUUCUGUCCCUUUGGUGGUUUGCCUAAUGGGCUUGGUGGCUUGUGCUCCGGGAGUUGUUUCUCUCCCUCGAGUAGGUUUCGAGUUUUGUCAGAUGGCUUGUGUUCUGGUGGUGGCUUCUCUCCCUGGGGUGGUUUGCCGAAUGGGCUUGGUGGCUUGUGUUCGGGGAGUGGCUUCUCUCCCUUGGCAGGUUCAGUUGGUGGCUGGUGCUCCGUAGGUGGUUUCUUCACCGCCGGCUUCUCUCCCUGGAGAAGGUUACGAGUUUUGUCAGAUGGCUUCUGUUCUGGUGGCGGCUUCUCUCCCUGGGGUGGUUUGCCAAAUGGGCUUGGUGGCUUGUGUUCGGGAACUGGCUUCUCUCCCUUGGCAGGUUCAGUUAGUGGCUGGUGUUCCGUAGGUGGUUUCUUCACCGGCGGCUUGUGCUCCGGAAGCGGCUUCUCUACCUGGAGAAGCUUACGAGUUUUGUCAGAUGGCUUGUGUUGUGGUGGUGGCUUCUCUCCCUGGGGUGGUUUGCCAAAUGGACUUGGUGGCUUGUGUUCGGGGAGUGGCUUCUCUCCAUUGGGAGGUUUAGUUGGUGGUUGGUGUUCCGUAGGUGGUUUCUGAAGUGGGGGAUGCUUGGGGUAGUCAGCAAGAGACGAGGUAGUGAGAACCACCAGUCCCAGCAGCAAUACUAGCAAGGAUGUGGAAGACAUCUUUGAGUUCAGGCUGAGAUUUGUGCAAGGCUAGAAGAAUUAGGUGGCCUUUUAUAGCGGGCUGGACCCAACAACCAAAUGACACGUAUCAUGAUACACAUAUGUGUUAUAAGAUCCUUGUGGGUCCUACAGAAGUUGAAAACUUUGACAAUUGAGGUGUGAUUACAACUUUUGUCCCUAUUGCUUUCUCGUCAGCCGUUUUGCAAGAUUUUUGACAGGAGGACGGUAGUUUAAAAUAAUAAUUUCUAAAGUACUUUUGUGAAAAAAAAUAAUUCCAAACGUGGAUUUUAUCAAGUAAAAAAAACAAAAAAAAGUUAUUUUCUUUUAAAAUCUUUUCUUCAUGAUUCAUAUACCAAAAAAAGAAUUGUUUUCUGUAGGUAAAAUUUUUAAAAUUCAUUUUUAAAAAAAAAAAAUUACACACUAAAAUUAUCUCUUCAAGAAAAUAUUUUUUAAAUUUUAAAUAAUUAUUAAUUUAUAAUUAAUUUUUUAUUAAUUAUUUAUUAAAUUUAUAUGUGAAAAAUGCAUUUAUAAAAAACAAAUUUUUUAUUAAUUUAUUAAAUAAUUAUUUACAAAAUAAAUAAUUUUGCUUUAUUUUAAUUUUAAAAUUAAUUUUAUUAUAUAAAUUUUAAAAUUAAAAAUAUUAAUAUUUAAUUUAAAAUUUAACUAUAAAAGGAAUAAAAUAUAGAAAAAUAAAUUAAUUUAUUAUUCAAUAAAUUAAUUUUCAAUAAAAUUUUCAGCAUUAAGAGAUAAAUUUUUAAGUAUUAAUCAAUUUAAAAAAUAAUAAUAAUCAUUUGUAUACUAAGAUAUUUUAUUUAGUAAUUAUGAAUGAUAAACAACUAAAGUAAUUUGAAAAAAUAAUAAAAUAUUUAAAAAUAAUAAUUUAAUACACUUAAAAUUAGAAAUGAUUAACUAUUUUUUAUUAAGAAAAAAUUGAAGAAAUAUUUUGUUAUUUAAAAUUUUUUAUUUGUUUUCAAUUUUAAAUGUUAUAGGUUUCAAGAAAAUUGAUCAAAUAAAAAUUAAGAAGUCAUUUUUUCAAAAACUAUAUAUCUAAAUAAAAGCCUUGAAAUUCAAAUACACAAUAUCAUAAAUAUAAACACCAAGUCAAUCCUUAAUUAUCAAAUGUUUUUAAUAUUAAAGAAUCAAAAUCACCUACUAUCAUGAUAAUAAGAAAACCAAUAAUAUUGUUCAUAUAAAUACUAAAAAGCUAACAAAUAUCCCAAACAAUUAAUAAAGUAUCAAACAUGAUAAAAAGUCAAUUAUUAUCAUGAAUGCAAAAAAUCAAUAAUUUUGUUUAUAUGAACCAUCAACAAAGAAAAAAAAAAUCAAUAUCUAAAUAUUAAACAUAAUUUAUAUUUUUAUAAAUAUUAUUGUUGAUAAAUAUCUUAAUAAUUAUAAUUUUUUAUAUAUUAAAUUUAGUAAAUAAAAUUAAUUAAUUUUAUAAUAUAAGAUAUAUAUAAUAAUUAAGAGACUAUUUGUCCCAAACAAUUUAUUUAUUUUUUUUUUAGGAAAUUGUCUCUUCAAGAGACGACUUCUCCCAACAUUUUUAAAAAAAAAAAAAAAAACAUCUAUUCAAAAGACGAUUUCUCCUCAUUUUUUAAAAAUGAAUUUUAGAAAUCAUAUUUUCAAAAAUGAAUUUUAGAAAUCAUAUUUUCAAAAGACGAUUUUUUUUUAUAUAAAUUAUUUUUUAAAAUGACGAUUUUAAAAGGAAAUAACGAUCUCUCUCCUACUUGGCAAAAACUAUGGUAAAUUUGGAAUUAUUUCUUCCACAACCAUAGUUUAAGAAUUAUUUUUUUAUACUUUCGUAGACUUAUCAAAAAUCCCUAUUUUGCAUGUCUCAUUUGGCAUGACUUUCUUACCUAAACAAGCAUAUAUAUAUAUAUAUAUAUAUAUAUCACUUUUGUCUGGGUUGAGUCAAUGCCCUUAACUAAUUUGUUCAUUUGAAUAGUCUAAAUUAUUAUAAGCUUUUAGUUAAGAAAAAUGUGAAACAUAAAUUACACCUCUCGGCACAACUUCGACACUGGUUACUCUGUUUCAGUUUAUUCACACAAGAUUAUUGGUUCUAGGGUUUAUUUGGUUUUGGUUUGAUUCUAAUUGCUAAACUUUCUCAAGGAAGAUGUUAUAUAGGGAGUGAGAAACCUUCACUCCUGGCUACCUCCAAGAGAAGAGCAAGUGGUCUGAAUCAAAGAUAUACUGCUCACUUUUUCUUCUUCUAAGGACAGCUAUGACCUUGCUUUAAAAUGUUCGAAUAGCCUAAUGCAACCUCCCAUUUCUCAAGUCAGCUGAUGAUGUAAGUCACCUUGGCUUUCCACAUUCAUACGGUGAGGACGUUUGUGGGUGUAAUUCUCUUAACAGUUUUCAUUUUAUAUGGAAAAAUUCAUAAUUAAGGGUAAUUACUGAUUCCAUUUGACAGUGACCAAGUUUAAAAUAUUAACUCAUGUAUUAAAUGCACAUUAAAAAAUCAUGGAAUAAAUAUAUUUACUAAUAUAUAGUUCUUUUGUCAUGUUCUGUCACAGAAGCAUCGAACUUUCCCUAGAAAUUUUUGCAUGGUAUUCUGCUUAUGAUUUUGAAAACUCUAGGCACCUAAGGCCACUGAUUGCAUGGUUGGAUGAGGAGCUGCAUGAGAUUAUGUAUCCUGUUGCUCCUUAACUACAAAUAUCAGUUUUAAGUAGCAUCUCCAUGUGACAUUUUCCUGAUGCAAUUUCGCUGUCCACCAACAAAUGUCUCCAUGCAGCUAGAUGAAUUGUAAUUUCUUUGUUGUUAUCAACAGCUUUAAUUAAUCUUGAUAUAUAUAUAACUUAGUAGAAGUAAUUAAUCUAGAUUGUAGUUGCACUAAGAUAAUAGGCAAUAUUAUAACAGUGCCACAAUGCUCAUCGCCAAAUAGAAAGGUAGAAAAACUACAAUGAGUAACUCACACAACAUUCUCAAACAGGACAUAGCGGCGACUGAUACAUAGAACACUAUUGGCACUCAGGAAAUGAUAAGAUCAGUGCCCAGCAGGCAGCACGUCUUAUUUUACAUACUACUUAAAACUAACCAAAGUCAUUCAGUUGGGAUGGGUGGGAGAUGGUGGUUUGUGCGGUGGCUUCUUUCCUGGAACUGGUGGUUUUUUUGUUGGAGUUGAAGGAGGCUUAAUCGUCUGAGGUGGCUUGUAUGAGUCUUCAGCACUCUCUGCAAGAGGGUGCCCAGGGUUGUGACCAUAAUGAGGUGGCUUCUCUCCCUUAGGUGGUUUGCCAAGUGGGCUGGCUGGCUUGUGCUCCGGGAGCGGCUUCUCUCCCUUAGGUGGUUUGCCAAAUGGGCUUGCUGGCUUGUGCUCUGGGAGCGGCUUCUCUCCCCCAAGAAGUUUGCGGGUUUUGUCAGAUGGCUUGUGUUCUGGUGGUGGCUUCUCUCCUUGGGGUGGUUUGCCAAAUGGACUUGGUGGCUUGUGUUCGGGGAGUGGCUCCUCUCCCUUGGGAGGUUUAGUUGGUGGCUGGUGUUCCGUAGGUGGUUUCUCAACCGGGGGCUGGUGCUCCGUAGGUGGUUUAUGAACUGGGGGAUGCUUGGGGUAGUCAGCAAGAGACGGGGUGGUGAGAACCACCAGUCCCAGCAGCAACACUAGCAAGUAUGUGGAUGACAUCUUUGAGUUCAGGCUGAGAUUUGUGCAAGACUAGAAGAAUUAGGUGGCCUUUUAUAGCUGGCUGCACCCAACACUCACAUGACACGUAUCACGGUGACACAUGUGCUAUGGGAUCCAUUUGGGUCCUACAGAAGUUGAAAACUUUUGACUAUUGAGGUGUGAUCACAACUUUUGUCCCUAUUGCUUUCUCCGCAACCGUUUUACAUGUUUCCUUUGUGGUGUUUAAUAGUGUUUUUUUCCUUAAUUCUAAAUAAACCUUAAUACUUAAUAAUGUUAAAUAUUAGGUUAUUUAUUUUUAUAAUAUUUUAUUUAUAUUAAGUAUUAAAAAGUAAAGAAAAAUCAAUAUAUUUAUUUUUCUAUUUAGAAAAAACUAUAUAUUUUUAAUUUUUUUAUUUAAUAAAAAAUUUAUAAUAAAUCAUGAAAAAAUAGAAAAACAAACAACCUAAAUUUUAAAAAUAAAUUGUUUUUAGUAAAAACCCAAAAAAACAAACACCACCUUAACUAAACAAAUAUAUAUUAUAUUUAGUUAAGAAAGAGUAAAGUGUAUAUGGCUCAAAUCAAGGAAGAGAAACAGAAUAAGUGGAAGACAAUCAAUUGUGAUAAACAGAUAUAUUACAUGCAUGUAGUACUAGUGACUUUAUCAUUUACUUUUAUACAAUAGAUCAUCACACUCUUUCUUCUAAAUAUUUUGGAGGAUAAUGGUACAUGUUGCUUGUUGCCAAGUCAAAAUUGGUGGCAAAAAUCGGCAUGAUACGAAAGGAUUGGUGAAAAGAUUCACAUAGAUGGUGCUUUGUGCAAUGCAGUCUUGCUCUAAUUCAACAGAGUGGACCAUGGUGAUGUAUUUUAAAUUUUAAAUUUUAAAUUAAUGCAUGCUUCAAAGUUUUAACUAGAUGUCACUUCCAUGGAUUUUUGUUCAUUUAAUUGAGAACAGGAUAGGCUAUCAAACUUGAAGUAAUAUAAAAAUCCCUUCAUUACUGUAACUAAUGAAAGAUCAUUAUCUGCGCUUGGUAUUUUGCCAAGGUAUUUGCUGCUCUUUCUAGCCCUAUCUUACAGUUAAGGACAAUGUGAUCUAGUUAACCUUAGAAGCUAUUCCAUGUCAUAUACAAGAGAUCAAGCACAUUAUCUUUGGGCUCAGUUCAAAACUAUAAUAUAUGGGUGGGGUGGGGGCCUAUACCAUUUGCAUAUCACCACUAUUGGUUUAGUUUGGAAGGUUUCUUCUGGAAGAUUGCUUUCUGGAAACAUUUCAAAGAAAUAUAUCUUUUUGUUCUCUUGGUGACGAGCAGCGGCAAUCAAGUCUGUUGACAAACAACCGAGUUGAAAAGUUUGAAAAUUGGUCACAGCCCACGUCCAUGGUUAAGGAAAAGGUCACUGGAAGUGAUCCCUUCUGGGCCUGUUGGAAGCAGGGGAGGUUAACACACCAAGCAACAAAGAACAGAGAUAUGCUGCUACUGAUCUAUAUUUUUUAUUUGAUCAUAAGGCUAAAUUUAUACAGAUUGUGUAACAGAUAUGACCUCAAAAAAAAGCAUCAAAUCAAGCUACUUGUUGAACAAACAACUACCUUCUACAAAAUAACAUCAAAAUUUAACUUAAAAGCAAAAACAUAAAAAUAGCAACAGCAAAAAUAGAAACAUAAAAAUAGCUUCAGCAUUCUAGUAAUCUCGUUGACUUCAAUUGCAUGUGGUUGACGAUUUCAGCCUUUUCCUCAGCAGCUACUAAGGCAUAACUCUCAACACUCCUCCUUGACUUAGGAGGUGCAAACUCCAAGUCUUUCUCAUAGAAACUCAAAUCUUAUUUUAGGAAGAGCUUUAGUCAGAAUAUCUACAUUUUGACUGUCUGUAUUGCAGUAGACUAGUUGUAUAUCUCCUUCUUUCUGUACUUCCCUCAAAAAUUACAAUUUAAUCUUGAAGUGCUUUGUUUUACCAUGAAAAACUGGAUCAUUUGCAAUAGAUAUAGUGGCCUGGUUGUCUACAAACACCUUUGUACUCACUUCUUGCUUCAUAUCCAAAUCUGUCAGCAACUUUCCAAGCCAUAAGGCUUGAUUUACAGCUGUAACAGCAGCAAUAUACUCUGCCUCAGCUGUGGAUUGAGCCACGACUUCUUGCUUCCUUGAACUCCAUGAAAAAACACCAGAACCAAAACUAAAACAAUAGCCUGAAGUACUUCUCAUAUCGUCAACACAACCAGCCCAAUCACUAUCAGAAAAUCCAUGAAAAUUGAAACUUUGAACUUGACUGAACUUAAUGCCAUAAUCCACAGUGCCUUUAACAUUUCUUAUCACACGCUUUGCUGCCUGGAAAUGAAUUUCACUAGCACAAUGCAUGUAUCUCGAAAGUAGACUUACAGCAUGCAUUAUAUCGAGUCUUGUUGCAGUCAAGUACAUUAAGCAUCCAAUCAUGCUUCGAUAAAGUCCUUCAUCUACCUUUUUAGCACCGUCCUCCUUACAGAACUUCUCUUUCUGGUUCAUAGGGGUAGAUGUAGGUUUGCAUUCCUCCAUUUUGAAUUUCUUCAUAAUUUCUUUGGCAUAUUUUUGUUGGCAGAUGAAAAUCUCAUUCUGCUUCUGGUGUACUUCCAUUCCCAAGAAGUAAGACAUCUCAUCUAGGUCUGUCAUCUCAAAAACCUGCUCCAUUUCAGCCUUGAAUUUGUUCACAAACCCUGCAUUACUUCCUGUUACAAGCAAAUCAUCAACAUAUAGAGAAACAAUUAAUAUAUCUUCUUCAAUCUUCUUAAUGUAGAGUGUAAAUUCACUCAAGCUCUUGUGAAAGCCUAAAGUUAGCAGGUGAGUGUCAAUCCUGCUGUACCAAGCUCUAGGGGCUUGUCUUAACCCAUACAAGGCCUUCUUAAGAAGGUAUACUUUUUCUUCUUUUCCUUUGAUAGCAAAACCUUCUGGUUGUUCGACAAAAAUCUCUUCCUCUAAGUAGCCAUUCAAAAAUGCUGACUUCACAUCUAGUUGAUAAAUCUUCCAUUUUCUUUGAGCUACAAGAGCCAACAACAUCCUGAUUGUAUCCAAACGAGCUACUGGUGCAAAGGUUUCCGAAAAGUCAACACCAAACAUUUGUGCAUACCCUUUGACAACCAGCCUUGCUUUAUGUUUGUUUAUAGAACCAUCAGAGUUGAGUUUGGUUCUGUAAACCCACUUAACCCCAAUAGGUUUUUUGUGUGAAGGUCUAUCUACUAGCUCCCAAGUGUUGUUCUUGUCAAUCAUAUCUAGCUCCUCCUGCAUUGCAACCCUCCAUCUUUUAUUUUCAGCAGCUUCAACAAACCCUGCAAGUUCAAGAACAGCUAUAUUACACCUUUGAUAAAUAUCAAAAAGUGUCAUGAAACCUCUAACUGGAAGUUCAUCAACAUCUUCAUCAAUAUAUUGCUGAUUCUGCUCAUCCCAACUCCAUUUCUCCGUUUCCAAAAACUUAACAUCUCUACUUACCACAAUUUUACUAUUUUGUGGCAAGUAGAUUCUGUAAGCUUUUGAGGUGCUGUUGUAUCCAAUGAAAAUUCCUGGUUCUGACUUUUUAUCUAGCUUGUCUCUUUUCACCUGAGGAACAUAAGAGAAACACAAGCAACCAAAGGUCUUUAAAUUCAUUAGCAUAGGCUUAUAAGCAAACCAGGCCUCAAAAGGUGUCUGUUUCUGCAAUGCUUUUGUUGGUAGUCUAUUUAGCAAAAAUACUACUGUAUUUGCAGCUUCAACCCAAAAACUUUUUGGCAGCUCUUUCUCAUGCAAAAGACAUCUUGUCAUUGAUUACUACUCAAAAAGUGCUAUUUGAUAGCCUUUAAUUAAUCCUUUUUAACACUUUUGAGUAGUAGUUUAGGCCUUUUAACUCAAUUGGCAUGUUAAGGAUCCUUUAAAGCAAUUUUGAUCACUUUGUGCAAGUUUUGGUGUUUUUGUUAGUAUUUCGAUCACCAAAGCAAGUCAAGAAUGAGGAGAGCUAUGAGGAAUCUUGGGCAAAGCUUAGAAUUCAAUUGCCAAGAGUGAAUCCGGAUUGCAAGGAGAAAAAGCAAAGAGGAUCAGUCAUGGAGCAUAUUCUUGAUGACAGUCGUAGCAGCCACUUUUGGAUCACUUUCUGAAGUCCAAAUGAUGCAAGCUAUAUACCAUUUCAAAGCUCAGGAAGUCAACAAUCCAAUGCUUCAAACGGUGUGCGAUUCGGAAUUGAAACGAAGAAGUUGCAGCCAUUACAAGCCAGACACUCUAAAGUGUUGCGGAAUCAGCCAUGUGUUGCGAGAAUUUCGCAGCACUUUUGUACAGUAAGGUGUUUCUCCUUCUAACGAUGCACGAACCAUGCCGCGAGAAGGGAGCUGGAAACUUCAAGAUGGAAGCCAACUUUGCAGCCUAGUGAAGAUAGCUCGGUCUUGCAAGAUAAUUUCGCAGCCCUCUUGGGUGUCUGCGAAAUUUCGCAGGCCUCAUUUUUCACCUGCGAAAUGGCUCUUGAAGCCUCCCGAAGCUUGCUACCGACAUUGGGAGAUAUUUUCCAUUAGAUUUUUGUUGUCUAAAUCCCAAAAUACUCCUUGUAAACCACCAAUUACAUGAUUCCUUAGUUUUUAAGUUAGUAAAAAGACCAAAUAUCUUUGUAACAAUUAGUUUUAUAUUUUGUUGUUAUAAAUACCUCUCGGGAGCCUGUUCUCAGGGAGGAGUUCCUUCUGUAAACGUUUGGUAAGCAAGUAAAGUCUAUUUUCUUUCUACUGCCUUACCUUCUCACUUUGUAUUUUCAUUUUAUUUCUAAGUUAUGAAUUCUCUGAGGAGUUUUCCCCAAAGAAUGAGUAACUAAACCUCCAAUUCCUUGGAGCUAAGGUUGCCGGGGAAGGUUCCAAGUGCAAGAAUGCAAAGCUCUGUGGUUUUAGCUAGUAAUGAAGAGGAAGUGAAAUCCUUUAGUGAUUUCAAUGUUUUUAGUUAACUUAAAACACUUUGGAGUCACCUGGGCCAACACUUGGUAAGGCAAGUGAUUUCCAACCAUGGAAAUGCACUAGUUUACCCCUUGCGAGCCUCUGGUAGGUGACUUCAAGGUAGGAUUUUCUGGAAUUACCAACACUUGGUAAGCUUUUGGACUCCUAGGAGACAUCCAUUAGUUAUCUCUUGCGAGUUUGUGAAGGGAAUCCAAGGUUAAAGAUCACCUUGAAUGGUAAGUGCUCGUGAGAGGCAUGAACCAUUGCAAGUUGUAUCAGUGAGAGAAUUAAAGUGAAAUCUAAUUGAAGGAGUCUUUGUACAUCACCGGUUAGAGAAUUGACUAUAAGUUGAAUCUCUAAUGCGAGGAAAUGAACCAACUGACCAGAGCCGUGUCUUUUGCAUGAGGAACCACCCCAGUGAACCUAAAUCUCCAAGGAAUGUUUUUUUCUUCCUAAAUUAUUCCAAACUUCUGUUAAGUUAGUUAGUUUAAAUCUCAACCUUUACAAAUCAAAGUUUGUGUUUUAUUCCUUAAGCUAACCGUGAAAUGAAACAAGACCAAUUCACUUGGAAUUGGUAUCAUUGAUUGCCUGCAAAUCAUUCCCAGUGAACGAUCCUAGAGCCACUAUACUAUAGUAGCUUUGUAUUUGCUACCCUAGUGUAUGGUGUUAUAGGUAUAAAUUUUGUUGAUCACUUCCUCAAUCAAGGAGCACCAGCUGAACACAAAUCAGCUGAGACACCAAUUAGGCAUGAGUCAAAUGGCGCCGUUGCCGGGGAAUGAAUGUCAAGUUCAUUGUGAUACCAUUGUUGAGCACUUGUGAUUUUCAUCACAAGUUGGUAAAGUUUCUUUCACUUUACUAAUUUUCAUUCUUUCUUUGUUUAUUUACAAUCUAAGUUUAUCUUUUUAAAUUUUAGUCUAGUUUAAUUUUGUUGUUGUAGCCCUGUUUUUCUUGUUGUCCUCUGUUUUCAUUUUUUUUUUCAGGUAGAUACUAGUUGUGUAUGCCCAAGUGGAUACGAGACAUAGGAGGUAGGCUUGUUAAGUGUGAUACACCUCAGAAAGGAGAAUUUGAAGUAAUCUUGAAUAUCAUGGAGGCUGCACCUGAAGAUCAGCAUAGUCACCAAGGUCGUCAAGACAAUCUCAAUGAAUUCAGAUCAAUGAGGGACCGUAUGCAUCCACCUCGUAUGAGUACACCAUCAUGUAUAGUGCCCCCUACAGAGCAGCUAGUGAUCAGACCAUAUCUUGUUCCACUUCUACCAACUUUCCAUGGGAUGGAAAGUGAGAAUCCGUAUGCACACAUCAAGGAAUUUGAAGAUGUUUGUAAUACAUUCCAAGAAGGAGGAGCUUCAAUUGACUUGAUGAGGCUUAAGUUAUUUCCUUUUACUUUAAAGGAUAAGGCCAAAAUUUGGCUUAAUUCUUUAAGGCCAAGGAGUAUCCGCUCUUGGACUGAUUUACAAGCUGAGUUCCUUAAGAAAUUUUUUCCUACUCAUAGAACAAAUGGCUUGAAAAGGCAAAUUUCAAACUUCUCAGCUAAAGAGAAUGAGAAAUUCUAUGAGUGUUGGGAAAGAUACAUGGAAGCUAUAAAUGCUUGUCCUCACCAUGGCUUUGAUACUUGGCUAUUGGUGAGCUAUUUUUAUGAUGGUAUGUCCUCCUCAAUGAAGCAACUCCUCGAGACAAUGUGUGGAGGAGAUUUCAUGAGCAAAAAUCCAGAGGAAGCUAUGGAUUUCUUGAGCUAUGUAGCUGAUGUUUCAAGGGGAUGGGAUGAACCAACUAAAGGAGAAGUGGGAAAGAUGAAGUCUCAGUUGAAUGCUUACAAUGCAAAGGCUGGGAUGUAUAAUUUGAAAGAAGAUGAUGACAUGAAAGCAAAGUUGGCAGCUAUGACAAGAAGAUUGGAGGAGCUGGAGCUGAAAAGAAUGCAUGAAGUGCAAGCUGUUGCUGAAGCACCAGUGCAAGUGAAGCUGUGUCCCAAUUGUCAAUCAUUUGAACAUUUGGUGGAGGAGUGCCCUGCAAUUUCAGUUGAAAGGGAAAUGUAUAGAGAUCAAGCAAAUGUUGUUGGACAAUUUAGGCCCAAUAACAAUGCUCCUUAUGGAAAUACCUACAAUUCAAGUUGGAGGAAUCAUCCAAAUUUCUCAUAGAAGGCCAGAGCAACUCAAUACCAACAGCCGGAUCCACCAUCUCAGCAAUCUUCAAGUAUUGAACAAAUAAUAGCCAAUCUCAGCAAGGUAGUGGGAGAUUUUGUGGGAAAGCAAGAAGCCACCAAUGCUCGAGUUGAUCAAAGAAUGGAUAGAAUGGAGAGUGUGUUGAACAAAAGAAUGGAUGGAAUGCAAAAUGAUAUGAACCAAAAGUUUGAUAACAUCCAAUAUUCAAUUUCAAGGCUUACAAAUUUGAAUACACUGCAAGAAAAAGGAAGAUUUCCUUCUCAACCUAACCAAAAUCCCAAAGGUGUCCAUGAAGUGGAAAGCCAUGAGGGAGAAUCAUCACAGGUGAAAGAUGUGAAAGCUUUGAUCACUCUAAGGAGUGGUAAGAAAAUUGAGCAGCCAACACCCAUGCCACAUGUUGAGAAAGAAGAAGGGAUAAAGAAAGGAAAGGAAAUAGAAGAUAAAGACAGUGAGAUCAGUGAAGAAAAGAAGGACUCUGAUUCAACAAUCAAAGCAAUUCCAGAGAAAGAGCUUCUGAAGGAAGAAAUGCUGAAGAAAUCAACUUUUCCACCUUUUCCUCAAGCAUUACAGGGGAAAAAGGGGGUUAGAAAUGCAGCUGAAAUCCUUGAAGUCUUAAGACAAGUAAAAGUUAAUAUUCCACUGCUGGAUAUGAUCAAACAAGUUCCAACGUAUGCAAAAUUCCUAAAGGACUUGUGUACUAUCAAAAGAGGGGUUGACUGUAAACAAGAAAGCCUUCUUGACUGAGCAAGUAAGUGCAAUCUUACAAUGCAAGUCUCCUUUGAAGUACAAAGACCCUGGAAGUCCUACCAUUUCAGUCAUGAUUGGAGGAAAGGUAGUGGAGAAAGCCUUGCUAGACUUGGGAGCAAGUGUGAAUUUGCUUCCAUACUCUGUCUACAAGCAACUGGGACUUGGAGAGUUGAAGCCAACAGCAAUCACUUUAUCUUUGGCAGAUAGAUCAGUGAAAAUUCCAAGAGGAGUAAUUGAGGAUGUAUUGGUUCAAGUGGAUAAUUUCUACUAUCCAGUAGAUUUUGUUGUUCUUGAUACUGAUCCAACUGUAAAGGAAGCUAAUUUAGUUCCUAUCAUCCUUGGAAGGCCAUUUCUUGCAACUUCAAAUGCAAUCAUCAACUGUAGAAAUGGGCUUAUGCAACUCACUUUUGGUAACAUGACACUGGAUCUCAAUAUUUUCUAUAUGUCUAAAAAGCAAAUCACUCCUGAGGAAGAAGAAGGUCCAGAAGAGCUAUGUAUUAUUGAUACUUUGGUGGAGGAGCACUGCAAUCAGCAUAUGCAAGAUAAGUUGAAUGAAAGUCUUGUGGAUAUUGAGGAAGGUUUUUCUGAAUCUCCUAUUGGGCUUGCUACUCUACAAAGUUGGAGAAAGAUAGAAGGAAUUCUACCUUUGUUCAAUGAAAAAGAGGAGGCAACUGUUGAAGAAGAAAUUCCAAAACUCAAUUUGAAGCCUUUACCUGUGGAGCUGAAAUAUACAUAUCUUGAAGCAAAUAAUCAAUGUCCUGUUGUGAUAUCCUCAUCUCUGACCAGUCAUCAAGAGAAUUGUUUAAUGGAAGUUCUCAUGAGGUGUAAGAAGGCAAUAGGAUGGCAAAUAUCUGACUUGAAAGGCAUUAGUCCUUUAGUUUGUACUCAUCAUAUAUAUAUGGAGGAGGAAGCAAAGCCAAUUCGUCAAUUUCAAAGAAGGUUGAAUCCUCAUCUACAAGAGGUGGUGCGAGCUGAGGUGCUGAAGCUACUUCAAGCAGGAAUCAUUUACCCUAUUUCUGAUAGCCCUUGGGUGAGUCCUACUCAAGUGGUACCAAAGAAGUCAGGGAUCACAGUGAUUCAAAAUGAAAAAGGGGAAGAAAUUACUACACGCCUCACUUCAGGUUGGAGGGUGUGUAUUGAUUAUAGAAAGCUGAAUGCUGUCACCAGGAAGGAUCAUUUUCCAUUGCCAUUUAUUGAUCAAGUGCUGGAGAGAGUCUCUGGACAUCCAUUUUAUUGUUUCUUGGAUGGGUAUUCAGGCUAUUUUCAAAUUGAAAUUGAUUUGGCAGAUCAGGAAAAGACCACUUUUACAUGUCCAUUUGGAACAUUUGCUUAUAGAAGAAUGCCUUUUGGUUUAUGCAAUGCACCUGCUACAUUUCAAAGAUGUAUGUUGAGUAUUUUCAGUGAUAUGGUGGAGAGAAUUAUGGAGGUUUUCAUGGAUGACAUCACCGUAUAUGGAGGUACAUUUGAGGAGUGCUUGGUUAAUUUGGAAGCAGUUCUUCAUAGAUGCAUUGAAAAAGAUUUGGUGCUGAACUGGGAGAAAUGCCAUUUUAUGGUACGUCAAGGAAUUGUCCUUGGCCAUAUCAUCUCUGAAAGAGGCAUUGAAGUUGAUAAAGCAAAGGUGGAGCUUAUUGCCAAAUUACCAUCUCCAACAACUGUGAAAGGAGUAAGACAGUUCCUUGGCCAUGCAGGGUUCUAUAGGAGGUUUAUAAAAGGUUUUUCAAGUCUUUCAAAACCUCUUUGUGAGCUGUUAGCUAAGGAUGCUAAGUUUAUAUGGGAUGAAAGGUGUCAGCAUAGCUUUGAUCAACUGAAGAAGUUUUUAACAACAACUCCAAUAGUGAGAGCCCCUAACUGGCAAUUACCUUUUGAACUGAUGUGUGAUGCCAGUGACUUUGCUAUAGGAGCUGUGCUUGGCCAAAGAGAAGAUGGGAAGCCCUAUGUGAUUUACUAUGCAAGUAAAACACUAAAUGAAGCUCAGAGGAACUACACAACUACAGAGAAAGAAUUGUUAGCUGUGGUAUUUGCUUUGGACAAAUUUCGAGCUUAUUUAGUGGGGUCUUUCAUCAUUGUCUUCACUGACCAUUCAGCCUUGAAGUAUUUAUUGACAAAGCAAGAUGCAAAAGCAAGGUUGAUUAGAUGGAUUCUAUUGUUACAAGAGUUCGAUCUUCAAAUCAAAGAUAAGAAAGGAGUGGAGAAUGUAGUAGCUGACCACUUGUCAAGGUUAGUUAUAGCACAUAAUUCCCAUCCCUUGCCUAUCAAUGAUGAUUUUCCUGAAGAAUCACUCAUGUUCCUAGUGAAAACUCCUUGGUAUGCUCAUAUUGCUAAUUAUUUAGUAACUGGGGAAAUUCCAAGUGAGUGGAAUGCACAGGACAGGAAGCACUUCUUUGCCAAAAUUCAUGCUUAUUAUUGGGAAGAGCCCUUUCUCUUUAAGUAUUGUGCAGAUCAGAUUAUUAGGAAGUGUGUCCCUGAAGAUGAGCAGCAAGGGAUUCUAUCUCAGUGUCAUGAGAAUGCAUGUGGAGGCCACUUUGCCUCUCAGAAAACAGCCAUGAAGGUAUUACAAUCAGGGUUUACUUGGCCAUCUCUUUUCAAAGAUGCCCACAUCAUGUGUAGAAAUUGUGAUAGAUGCCAAAGGCUUGGAAAGCUAACAAAAAGAAAUCAAAUGCCUAUGAACCCCAUUCUGAUAGUUGAGAUAUUUGAUGUUUAGGGCAUUGACUUCAUGGGACCUUUCCCAAUGUCUUUUGGUAAUUCUUACAUUUUGGUGGGGGUAAAUUAUGUUUCUAAAUGGGUUGAGGCAAUCCCCUGUAAGCAAAAUGAUCACAGGGUGGUUCUCAAGUUUCUUAAAGAGAACAUUUUCUCAAGAUUUGGGGUGCCCAAGGCCAUAAUCAGUGAUGGAGGAGCUCAUUUUUGCAACAAACCUUUUGAAGCUCUGUUAUCCAAGUAUGGAGUGAAGCAUAAGGUAGCCACACCUUAUCAUCCUCAGACAUCCGGGCAAGUUGAGCUAGCUAACAGGGAAAUAAAGAACAUUUUGAUGAAAGUGGUGAAUUCCAACAGAAAAGAUUGGUCUAUUAGGCUUCAUGAUUCAUUGUGGGCAUAUAGAACAGCUUAUAAAACUAUUCUUGGGAUGUCUCCCUAUCGUCUUGUCUAUGGCAAAGCAUGCCAUCUCCCUGUGGAAGUUGAAUACAAAGCUUGGUGGGCAAUAAAGAAGCUGAAUAUGGACUUGAUCAAGGCCGGAGAAAAGAGAUUUCUAGACCUUAAUGAGAUGGAGGAAUUAAGAAAUAAUGCUUAUAUCAAUUCCAAAGUUGCAAAACAGAGGAUGAAGAAGUGGCAUGAUCAACUCAUCUCCAACAAGGAAUUUCAGGAAGGGCAAAAAGUUUUGAUGUAUGACACAAGACUCCAUAUCUUUCCUGGGAAGCUCAAAUCAAGGUGGAUUGGUCCAUUUGUUAUUCACCGAGUAUAUUCCAAUGGAGUGGUGGACUUAUUGAAUUCCAAUGGCAAGGAUAGCUUUAAAGUCAAUGGAUAUCGUCUCAAGCCGUUCAUGGAGUCAUUCAAAUCAGAAAAGGAGGCAAUCAACCUCCUUGAACCUCAAAAAGCCUAAGUGAAAAGGGUUUGCUGGACGUGGCUUUACCACAGUCCAAAAUUUUUGUAAAUUUUGUAAAUUUUCAAGUUGUUUCUAUACUUUUGAUUUUAGUUUUUGAUCUUAAAUCAUGUUUUUAGGUGUGUUUUAAUCGUUUUAAAUGAUCCCAGGUGGAAGAAAUUUCAAGGGGAUUGAAAGAAAAAAAAUCGGGUCGAAAUUGGAGCCGAAACAGAGCAAAAACAGGGGAAAAACAGAGCUCUGCGAAAUUUCGCAGGGUGAAGGAAACCUCUGCGAAAUGAGCAUUUUGUUGCGAAACCAUUCCGCAGCACUGUAGAAGCCUCUGCGAGUGUAUUUCGCAGCUGCGAAAGUGAAUUUGGCACACGAGUGCCACUUCGCAGUACAGUAGCAUCCAUUUGGCAGCUGCGAAACUCAUUGCGAAAUGGAAAAGCGUGAUUUCGCACCAAAAGUCCCAUUCCGCAGGGUAUUUCGCAAUUGCGAAAGUGGUUUUGGCACACGAGUGCCACUCCGCAGCACAGUAACAUCAAUUUCGCAGCUGCGAAACUCACUGCGAAGUUGCUGCGAAAAUGGCAAGUUGCUGCGAAAUUGGCGUUUAGUUGCGAAACUUAAACUGACCCCUGAGCUUCCGUUUUUCCUAUUUAUACCGGUCAAAAGUGCUGCGAAAAGGGUUUCAAAAAUCAGAGCACCAUUCUCGCAGCCCCUUCAUCUUCUUCGCCAAGCCACGCCGUCCGAACCUCCGGUCGUCUUCUCCGUUUAGCAGCGCCGGCCAAAGAUCGAUAUUCCAAAAUGGCACGAACGCGAGGGGCAAAAUCUUCAUCCCCUUCGAAUCGCAAAAGGAGUCUGCGAAAGGAGCCAAGUCCAGGUUCUGCUCCAGAACCUGCUCCAAAGCCUUCGCCGUCGAGACCACAACCUUCUCCAGUGAAGCCGGCGCCACUAAAGCCGCCGGCAAGACGAUAUUUGACAAGGUCAGGCGGUUGGCCAUUGAAGAAGAAGCCCAGGGUUGAGAGCUCUGAACCAAUUGAUUUGACUGAGCAAUCCCCUGAGCAGUCCCCAAAUCCUUCACCAGUUCAAACUCCAGUGCCGUCACCGGUUCCCUCGCCAAUUCCCUCACCUGAAGCAACUCCAAUUCCAUCGUCGGUACCAUCUCCGGCACCCCAAGAAAAAGCUCAGGAGCCUCAAGCGCCAAUUCCAGAGCCCCAAAUUGCAGCUGAAGCACCUCUGGAAGAAGUGAUCCGAAGGCCAAUGCUGCCCCAGCCCCCAAUCGAAGGAAACUUGGAUUGUCGAACACGGGCAUUCCAUUCUGAGCUUUGCUUCGAUUUAACAGCAUUCAGAGUGAGGCCAGAGCUUGCCCAAUCCUUCCAGCUGCUGAGGAGAUAUCAUAUGGAGCAUCUGCUAGCUCCAAGGGAUUUUUUCUAUCCCCGGGUAGUCACGGACUUCUACCAGACCAUGACAACCAAAGAAGUAAGAAAUCCAACUCUGAUCCAUUUCAUAAUUGAUGGAAGGCAUGGUAUUUUGGGAGCAAGACACAUUGCUGAAGCUCUGCAAAUUCCUUUUGAGCCAACCCAAUUCGACAAUUUUAAAGCUUGGGUAAAUCCUACUGAGUUAGAGAUGGUUCGCACACUAACCAGAGGAGCUGCAAAUCGAUCACACCUGUUGAGGGGGGAGCUACCUCCAGUGAUGUUUUUGAUUGAUGCCUUUUUGAGGCAUAAUAUCUAUCCCCUGCAGCAUUGGACCCAAAGAAGGGGAAUUCUCCUGGAAGCUUUGUACAAGAUGUCAGAAGGAUUCUUCUUUGGGCCCCAUCAUCUUAUCAUGGCAGCCCUUCUAUACUUUGAGGAAAAGGUUCACAAGAAGAAACUUCAAAGAGCAGAUUGCAUUCCACUCCUCUUCCCAAGGCUGCUAUGCCAAGUUUUGGAGCAUCUCGGAUACCCCUCUGAGCCUCAGCAGGAAAGAAAGAGAAUAUGCCGUGAGCCAUUUACUCUUGAUAAAUGGAAUAAUAUGACGGCCUACAAAAUUGAUCAGCCUGGGCAGCCUCAGCCAGCAGCAAGGAGAGCCUCCCCAAGACAUGCACCUGAAGGUAUAACACUUGCUACUCCUGCCAUCCCUCGAGCUUCACCAGCUGCACCUGCUGCAUCACAGCCAUCCACAUCAGCUGAGCCGAGGAUGGCCAUCCCUAUAUCCGAAUAUCGAGAGCUGUGCCGAGCAUUGGAGACUCUUACAGCUUCCCAGAGCAAUCUUGCUCAAGAGUUGGCAGCCAUCAAAGCAUGCCAGGAGCAGAUGUUAGCCUCUCAGGCUCAACAAGCUGCCAUCCUAAGGCAGCUUCAAGUCCAUUUCGAUCUGCCACAAGCUGUAGAGCCCUCCACUGAGACUCCACCAGAGCCACACUCUCAGCCUUCAGAGUCUCUUCCUCCAGAGCCAGAAGCCCCAACUGAUCCACCUACAGAGGAGGCGGAUCCUUCUGCUUAGCACCAUCACCCCACUCAUCAGACAUUAUAUAUAUUUGCUGUUUAUGUUUUUAUGCAUGUUUGUUUUGUUUUAGUUGAAAUGAAAUCCCAGUAUUUUGGUACUAUAUAUGGGAUUCCUUGUGAUUACUUGUCCUUAGCAUUGUACUCGAAUGAAUUGAAAGUAAUACAAGUUGAAUUUUUCUUGUUAAAAGUUAGCAUUAAAAUUCUCCUUAUUUCCUUUUCUCACAUAUUCUAUUCUUUUUGAAACAUGUGGUUUUCCCCAAUCAAUAUUCGAAUUUGAUAUCAGCAUGGAGGUACCACUUCCUCCCUUUUAUUACAGUCACUCAAAUCACAUUGAGGACAAUGCUCAGUUCGGUUGGGGGGUAUGAGGAAGGAAGUAUUCUAAAUCUUUUUGGUAUUGCAAUUAUAUUGGUUAAUUAGUUGUAGAUUUUACGUUUUACUCUUGUUACUCUAUUCUCCAUGAAUUUUGAGGAAAAAUUUUCAAAUUAAACCAAGAGAAAUUGAACUGUUGUUUUUCACUUGACUUAGAGUAUGGAUUAUGCUUACUAAAGUGGUUCAAUUGUUGAAACUUCUACUGAAAUUGAAUUGAGUUCUUCCAUUUUAAGCUAUCCACACACUGUGCACAUUAGUUUCUGAUUAUAAGAUGAAAAGCUAUUUCCCUCUUGACUUAGGAUAAUUUUGGGACUUGGUAUAUUUGACCUCAUUUGAUAAAAAUUGAAACACCCUGCAAAAGGCCAAUGAGCCUUUGAAAUAAAGAAAGAUGUUUGCUUGCCUUGAAACCCGAGCAAGGUCUGAGGGGCAUAUGGUGAAAGCCUUUAAAGCCUGGUGCCCUAAGCCUUAAUUGGUUGGGAGUCACCGACCUCAAUGCUCGUUACAAGGGUGAAUAGGUAGAGCUAGCAUAUGGUAGAUGCUUGGGUAUUAGAAAUUCAUUCUUAAAAGUCCAGGGAAAAAUCCGAGGAGUUAGUGGUUGAAAGAUCCUUAAAACUUGGUGCCCUAAACCUUAAUUGGUUGGGAGUCAUCGAUGGACCCCCAUUACAUGGACAAGUCAGAAAGAGUACCCCAUAAAGCUACUUUAAAAAAAAAAAAAAAAAAAAAAAAAAGAUGAUGAAAGUGUGUUCUUUUCUUAUUGAUUUUGGUCAGAUUGCUAAAGUGUUGAAAAGAGAUAGGUUGGGGGGGGAGACUAGUUUAGCAUAUUAUUCUCGGAAUCUAAGGAACCAAUACACAUAGAUUUUUGUGGAAGAUUGAAGUUUAGUUCUUAGAAAGUGAAAUGAUUUUAAAACUUCAGUUUGCAUAAUGCACUCCCUUGAUUGACAGUGUUUAGCAUAGGUGUUAUGACUCUUGUUGAGAUUUGGGUUUGUAUUUCUUUAAUGAUUCAUGUGAGAAGUAAAUCAUCAUGCCACUUAAGAAUUAUUUUCCUUUCAGCAUGAUGUUGUAAAUUUUAGAUUAGUUUGCUAUUUAUUUUUAUUUUUCUCUCCUUUAUUGCUAAGGGACUAGCAAUAUGUCGGUUGGGGGGAGUGAUUACUACUCAAAAAGUGCUAUUUGAUAGCCUUUAAUUAAUCCUUUUUAACACUUUUGAGUAGUAGUUUAGGCCUUUUAACUCAAUUGGCAUGUUAAGGAUCCUUUAAAGCAAUUUUGAUCACUUUGUGCAAGUUUUGGUGUUUUUGUUAGUAUUUCGAUCACCAAAGCAAGUCAAGAAUGAGGAGAGCUAUGAGGAAUCUUGGGCAAAGCUUAGAAUUCAAUUGCCAAGAGUGAAUCCGGAUUGCAAGGAGAAAAAGCAAAGAGGAUCAGUCAUGGAGCAUAUUCUUGAUGACAGUCGUAGCAGCCACUUUUGGAGCACUUUCUGAAGUCCAAAUGAUGCAAGCUAUAUACCAUUUCAAAGCUCAGGAAGUCAACAAUCCAAUGCUUCAAACGGUGUGCGAUUCGGAAUUGAAACGAAGAAGUUGCAGCCAUUACAAGCCAGACACUCUAAAGUGUUGCGGAAUCAGCCAUGUGUUGCGAGAAUUUCGCAGCACUUUUGUACAGUAAGGUGUUUCUCCUUCUAACGAUGCACGAACCAUGCCGCGAGAAGGGAGCUGGAAACUUCAAGAUGGAAGCCAACUUGGCAGCCUAGUGAAGAUAGCUCGGUCUUGCAAGAUAAUUUCGCAGCCCUCUUGGGUGUCUGCGAAAUUUCGCAGGCCUCAUUUUUCACCUGCGAAAUGGCUCCUGAAGCCUCCCGAAGCUUGCUACCGACAUUGGGAGAUAUUUUCCAUUAGAUUUUUGUUGUCUAAAUCCCAAAAUACUCCUUGUAAACCACCAAUUACAUGAUUCCUUAGUUUUUAAGUUAGUAAAAAGACCAAAUAUCUUUGUAACAAUUAGUUUUAUAUUUUGUUGUUAUAAAUACCUCUCGGGAGCCUGUUCUCAGGGAGGAGUUCCUUCUGUAAACGUUUGGUAAGCAAGUAAAGUCUAUUUUCUUUCUACUGCCUUACCUUCUCACUUUGUAUUUUCAUUUUAUUUCUAAGUUAUGAAUUCUCUGAGGAGUUUUCCCCAAAGAAUGAGUAACUAAACCUCCAAUUCCUUGGAGCUAAGGUUGCCGGGGAAGGUUCCAAGUGCAAGAAUGCAAAGCUCUGUGGUUUUAGCUAGUAAUGAAGAGGAAGUGAAAUCCUUUAGUGAUUUCAAUGUUUUUAGUUAACUUAAAACACUUUGGAGUCACCUGGGCCAACACUUGGUAAGGCAAGUGAUUUCCAACCAUGGAAAUGCACUAGUUUACCCCUUGCGAGCCUCUGGUAGGUGACUUCAAGGUAGGAUUUUCUGGAAUUACCAACACUUGGUAAGCUUUUGGACUCCUAGGAGACAUCCAUUAGUUAUCUCUUGCGAGUUUGUGAAGGGAAUCCAAGGUUAAAGAUCACCUUGAAUGGUAAGUGCUCGUGAGAGGCAUGAACCAUUGCAAGUUGUAUCAGUGAGAGAAUUAAAGUGAAAUCUAAUUGAAGGAGUCUUUGUACAUCACCGGUUAGAGAAUUGACUAUAAGUUGAAUCUCUAAUGCGAGGAAAUGAACCAACUGACCAGAGCCGUGUCUUUUGCAUGAGGAACCACCCCAGUGAACCUAAAUCUCCAAGGAAUGUUUUUUUCUUCCUAAAUUAUUCCAAACUUCUGUUAAGUUAGUUAGUUUAAAUCUCAACCUUUACAAAUCAAAGUUUGUGUUUUAUUCCUUAAGCUAACCGUGAAAUGAAACAAGACCAAUUCACUUGGAAUUGGUAUCAUUGAUUGCCUGCAAAUCAUUCCCAAUGAACGAUCCUAGAGCCACUAUACUAUAGUAGCUUUGUAUUUACUACCCUAGUGUAUGGUGUUAUAGGUAUAAAUUUUGUUGAUCACUUCCUCAAUCAAGGAGCACCAGCUGAACACAAAUCAGCUGAGACACCAAUUAGGCAUGAGUCAGUCAUCUCCAUUAUUGUUUUAUUUUUUCUUUCCACCACCCCAUUUUGUUGUGGGGUGUAUGGUGCAAUGAGCUGGUGAUCUAUGCCUGCAUCUUCACAAAAUUUGUUGAAUUUUUCUGAAGUAUAUUCUGUACCAUUAUUCGACCUUAUAACCUUGAUUCUGUAUUCACUUUGAUUUUCAACCAUGGCCUUAUAUCUCAAAAACACAUCAGCAACCUCAGCUUUGUAAGUGAGAAAAUAAAUCCAACAAAAUCUUGUGAAGUCAUCAAUAAAUGCAAUAUAGUACUUACUCCCUUUCAAAGAUGGUGUCUUUUGAGGUCCACUCACAUCUGUGUGAACCAAUUGUAGUUUCUGUGUUGAUUUCCAUGCUGCUUUUUGAGGAAAAGGAAGUCUUGUUUGCUUCCCAUAUUGAUAGGCUGCACAUAUAGGAAGUUCUUCUUCCAAAUCAGGGAGUCCUUCUACAAUCUAAUUCUUCUUCAUGUAGAGCACGGUAUUGUGGUGGAAAUGCCCUAAUCUUUUAUGCCAAAGCAUUGUAUUGUUCUCGUGUUGUGCAGCAGUAAUUUGCUCAUCUUCUAACAUAUUUAAGGCAAAACUUUUGCCUUUCAUUUUUAUGUUGAACACCUCUUUGCCUUCAGCAUCCUUGAUUAUGCAAUUUUUGUCUUCAAAACAAACUUUAAACCCUUUCUCAACAAGCUGUCCAACACUUAGCAAAUUUUGGUCAAUGUCAGGCACAAACAAAACAUCAGAAAUGAGCUUUAAACCUGUUAGGCUUUCAAUAGCUAAUGUUCUUUUACCUUUUACUGGAAUAUACUCACCAUUUCCUAUUCUAACUUUGGAAAUAGUUGUCCUAUCAAUCUCCCUAAAGCGAUCUUGAUCAUGUCAUGUGGUUUGUGCAACCACUGUCCACGAGCCAGCUUUCAGAGGUGCUACCGUUUGCAAAACAUGUUGCUGAAAAUAGUUGUUCCUCCUGGUAUUGUUCAGCUGCUACAUUGGUUUCUCCCUGCUGCUGCUGAGUUCUACAGAUCCUUUCUAUGUGUCCAUGUCUACCACAUUUGUUGCAUUUCACAUCUGGUCUCCACCAACAUUUUUGUUGAGGAUGAUUUGUUUUCUUGCAAUGAGGACAGGGUGGAUAGGUUCCAGUUUUUUUAUUGUUGUUGUUGCUUGGCUUAUUGUUGUUCUUUUUGUUCUUCCUCCUUCUUGUGUUACCUUCAUUGGUCUGUGUCUUUGCUUGAAAAGCUCCUUCUACAGAACUUCCUUGCCUCAUGAGUCUUCUUUGUUCCAAAGCUUGUAAAGCAUUUAGUAGUUCUGCCAAGGUGAUACUUGACAAAUCUUUUGUGUUUUCCAAAGAAGAAAUUGUAGCUUCAUAUUUUUCAGGAAUUGUGACAAAAUUGUUUUGAACAACUCUUUCAUCAGAAAACUCUUUACCUAGCAACCUCACCUUGUUUGCUAUGGUAAGAAGUUGUUCUGCAUAAUCUUUUAUGGUUUGAGACUCUUUCAUCCUCACCAUUUCAAAUUCUCGAAUUAGAUUCAUUACCUGCACAUUUCUGACUCUUUCAUUGCCUUGAUAUUCUUCCCGUAGAUGCUUCCAGAUUUCUGCAACAGAUUCAAGUUGCAUGAUUCUGGUGAGAAUUAAUGGUGAGACUACAGAAAAUAAGCAAGCCUUGGCCUUAGCCUUCCUCGUCUUUUUCUCCUUAUGGUUUUUCAUCUGUGACACAGUUGGAUUGGCUCCAAGUGGAGAAAUUUCAUAAUCUUCCUCUAUUGCUUCCCAGACAUCAAGAGCCUGUAGAUGAACAGUCAUCCUGACAGCCUAAGUUUGGUAAUUUUCUCCAUUGAAGACUAGUGGUGCUGCUGUGAAGCUUGCUUCUUCCAUUUCUGCAAGGUUUUCAGAUUCAGGUUUGGUAUACGGUGUUUAGGCUCACACACCUCACUGGUCCCUCAAGACAAAAAUUGCUCUGAUACCAAACUGUUGGAAGCAGGCGAGGUUAACACACCAAGCAACAGAGAACAGAGAUAUGCUGCUACUGAUCUAUAUUUUUUAUUUGAUCAUAAGGCUGAAUUUAUACAGAUUGUGUAACAUAUAUGACCUCAAAAAAAGCAUCAAAUCAAGCUACUUGUUGAACAAAAAACUACCUCCUACAAAAUAGCAUCAGAAUUUAACUUAAAAGCAAAAACAUAAUAAUAGCAACAGCAAAAACAGAAACAUAAAAAUAGCUUCAACAUUCUAGUAAUCUCAUUGACUUCAAUUGCAUGUGGUUGACGAUUUCAGCCUUUUCCUCAGCAGCUACUAAGGCAUAACUCUCAACAGGGCCUCUUAAUUUCCAUUCUGGCAUCUAUAUGACCUGAUAAAUAGAAAGAAAAAAAAACAGAAGAAAAGCGGCACCUGGGUUCAUAGUAAGCAUCAAGACAGGAUGCUGAAAGAAGGGAGAGAGGAGAUUGCAAGUCCAAUCCUGAUAAAAUAUCAACAAAGAGUAUUAAAUGGGGCCAACAUAAAGACCCAUUAAGGUCAGCAGAUGGCAUGGCAUUUUUCUCCUUAAGUUUUCCAUGAUUAGGCUUGAAGUCAAAAUUUCACAUGUAAAUUUGUAUUUCUACAUUUCCCACUGACGACACCCAACUUCAACUUGAGUUAGAAUAACAUUGUGUGAACUUAUCUGGCCCUCAAAAUUUACUGUGAAGUGCUUUCUGCGUGUGAAGAUUCAGAAAAGCACCAAGGGAACAUGUAUGGUCUGCCUUUUUCUGAUGUUAUGUUUGUCUCUAAUUCUGUUCCAUGUCAUGGUAAAUGUUCACAUUGCUUGUAUGGAACACACCAGGAUCACUUUUUCAGGUUUAGGGGGAUACAAAAGGCUUCAUAUUGGGUUCAAUGCUUUUAAUGUGUUCAUUGGACAAAUCUGAAUUAUCAUACGCAUUUAGAUAAGAACAAUAAUGUGAAACCCUAGUUACACCUCCCCUGCAUAACCCCAACCCUGCUUGCUCUAUUUCAGUUUACUCACAAGUUUUACUGGUUCUUAUAAGUCAAGAAAAGGCAACUGAUGUUGGAUCGACUCUCUUCCAUGUAAAAAAUGCAACUUUUAUACAUAUAAAAGAACUUCUUCCCCUCACCAAUGUGGGAUUUCAUAGAUUUAUUCUGGAAACACAUCAAAGGAACAUCUUUUCUCUUGGGUGACCCUAAGUGGUGAGUCAGAUCAUUUGCAUGCCAUUGAGUUGCACAGUUGGAUAAAUGCACCUGCCUCCUGGGCUCCAGAGUUAAAAGGGUGGAUCCCUGGAUUGCAACCCUCUUGGCAUCUUGGUUUCUAUUCCAACAUCCACAUGACUUGACAAAACAAAAAACAGAAUAAAAUCAGCACUAUAUUCAUGCUAAGCACCAAUACAUGAUGGAAAUCAUUGCUUAAAGAUUUGGGGUCGUUUUAGGUUUUGACUGCCUCCUACCACCUCACCUAAUGACAAGUUUUUAUGCUUACAAAUCAAAUAUCGUUCUUCAUUAUAUUAAAAUCAUUUUAAGAUUUCAGAUCCAUCUGCUAAUUAUGAUUAUGAUAACAUUUAUUCACCUGUGCUUCUCAUUUUCGACACACAAGGCAUCUAGGUUUGCAGGAUUUCCUUAUUAGAUGAGAUAAAUGAGUACGUAUGGUUAUGUAUCCAGCAUUCAUUAACCAUGGUAUGUGACAUUUAGAAUUAAGAUAGCAAGCAAACUUUCCCUGCAGCUAGAGUAAAUUGUGAUUUCUUAGCCUCUAUGAGUGGUUCCCAAAUCAAAUUAACAUAGUGAAAUAUACGUAGUCCAGUGAAAGGAAAUGUAAAUUAUAAACUAACAGCACUACACUACUGGUAACAAUCGAUACUCUCUAUAUAAUGCAAUAAACAAUGUCACAAUUGCCUACAAGCAAGGCACAAACACUAGAACAAGUAAAGCACAAACCUUUCCCAACAGUUCCCAGUGACUGAUGCAUAUCAUACCCUCAACUCACAGAAGGGGAUGAUAUCAGUGCACUGCAGCACUUAUUUUACACAUACUACCACUACUACUACUACUACUACUACUCAUUAGCCAAAGUCACUCAGUUGGGAUGAGUGUGAGGUAGAGGUUUGUGGGGUGCUAUGUGGAAAGGAGUUUGGCUUCUUCUCAGGAGAUGGUAGCUUCUUUGCAGGAGUUGAAGGAGGCUUAAUCUUCUGUGGUGGAUUGAUUGUAUGAGUCUUUGGCACUCUCUUCUCUAGUACAGGUGAAUACCCAGGGGUGCAUCCAUAAUGCGGUGGCUUCUAUCCCUUAGGUGGUUUGCCAAAUUCAAAAUCGAAGGAUUUUUUUUUUUUAAGUAUACGUAUCUUUGAAAGCUUUUAUUUUGUAUGGCAAAUGGAAUGAGAGGAGCAGUCAUAUUCUAUUUGGCCAGAGCAACAUAUCACAAAUGAACAAGCUAUUUACUGCCACACUGGGCAAAACAUACAUAAUCCUUGUACUUCAAACAUCCAUGAAUUCUCAUCAUUUUCAGGACACGUUGCAUGGUCUAUCAUUCUAUAUGUCGGCAUAGUAAGUGCAGCUAAUAAGCCUAUUCAGAGCUGAAAUUCAAAAUCUAUUCACAGGAUAAUGACCUUAUUAUUGGAUUUUGCUCACUGUCAUACACACAUAUCAGAUAAAGCCCCACAUGCUCAUAAGCUACAAGCAACCUACAAGCACUAAAAUGAGUGUUAGACGUAUGAAACAUUCCCCAAUACUAGUAGUAUUACCUGUUCCAUAGAACACUAAAUUAGAAGAGAGAAGAUGUGAGACUCCAGCUUUUCUUUCUACAUAUUACUCAUAUCAAGUUGGAAUAGUUAGGCGGUAGAGGCUUGGGGUGGCUUGUGUAGGGGACUAGGCAGCUUCUCUCAGGAGUUGAUUUCGUCUUAUUCUGGAUGUCCAGGUUUCGUCCUUUCGAAUUUCCCAUGCAAAUCAGCAUUCUCCUUGGGAAACUUCACUCCGUUGGGAAACUUGUGUGAAUCUUUGGCAUUCUCUACCAGAGAAGGCCCAGGGCAGUGACCAUAAGGUGGUGGCCUUUUUUCAGGUGGUGGCUCCUCUCCCACUGGAGGCUUGUGGUAAUCAGCAAGAGAGGCAGUGGAGAGAAUCAUCACCCCAAGGAACAGCACUAGCAAGUAUUUGUGAGCCAUAUUUGGGAUCUGAUGAUGAAGACUAGAAGAUAGGAGUUGCCUCAUAUAAUGGGUUGGAGACUAUAUCUCAAGGGGACGUGUAUUUAUGCAUAUGAUCUAUAUAGGACCAUCCUCCUAAUAUUUUCAAAAUAAUGUUAUUGUCUCUCUUGGGUGACAGUUUGAUUUGGUCUAUUUCCAUGCCACUGAGUAGAAAAGUUUGACAAUUGGCUACACCACCUACCUGGAUUACAUGGUUGAAAGUGAAGAUCAGUACAGUGUGAUCACACUUGACCUCUUGUUCCCCAUUCCAGUAUCUAAUUAACCUGACAAAAGUAAAAGGAAAGGAAAAAGGGAAAAAAUAGAAUAAUGUUCAAAUAAAAACGAGAAAAAAUAGCAUAAUGUUGAUGAAUCAUGAUAAGCAUCAAGGCAUGAUAGUGAGAGAGAGGAAAGAAGACAGUGUAAUUUGCAAUCCUGAUAAUCAUUAUAUAGCAGUAACUUUAAUCAUUUUUCUAUCACAGGGAACAUGACACUCAUCUUCCUAUGGAGAUAUUGCAUAAGUUUUUUUCUUUGUAUGUCAACACUAACCAAUGAAGCAUGUUAGCUGGUUUGAAACUGAAACUGUAGCCCUCUGUUUGGUUCUUGAAAAACUUGAGAGAAAAUGGAAGUAAAGUUAAAAGGAAAGAAAAAGUGAAAAAAAAUAAAAAUAGAUUGAAAGUUAACAAAUUAUUUUUACAUGUUCCCUCAAAUUUCUUUCACUUAUUUUUCCUUUUCUAUAUAAAGAUUAAAUGAUUUAAAAAUCAUAAAUUUCUAACUAAUUAUAACUAUAUUUGAUUUUCUUUCAUAUUUUCCAAGAUAAAGUCAGACAUGAGAAAAUCAUUUUCCUUAAAAAAGAAAUUCUUUCCUUUACAGUUUCUUAGAACCAAACCUGGCACAAAAGUCCAAAUUGGGGUUUCUCCAUGUUCCAUUUUUUAUGGCUACCUUUAUGGACCAUAUAAUAUAGAAUGUACUUCUGCAUACCUUCAAGAUCAAGCUGAACUAUAAGAAAAAGACAAGCCAUGGCCCACGGAGCAGGGAUACCAAGCUGCCUUCUCCUAGAUUAAGUUCCAAGAUUUCAGUCUUCAAACCUGCUAAAAGCUAAAGGCAUGUUUCCAGCCUGCGGCAGAUAACAUGCACUGUCCAACAAUAAAUUGCAAACACAUUCGAUGCAGUUUAUUAGUACAAUAAGAUUAAAUCCACCAAAUCUUUUACAGUUCAACCAACACUUGAACUAGUAGCUAGCUUCACUACUGGGUAAUAAUAUAUAAACCAAACUCUUGAUAGGAACCAACCUAUCGCAGAUCGAACUUCUUACAUCCACCAUGAAUUACUGAACCAAAAGAAGAAUCGAAGAGACUGCCAAGGAGGAAAGCCUUCCUAUAACUAGAUAUUUAUAUUCCAAAUUAGGGAGAGCACCCACUGCCCAGGCCUCGCCCAGCAUAAACAGAUAGUAUACAUAUACAUGCAAAAAGCUCCAACCUUCAAGAUUUUAACUAUUAACUUAACACAAUUAAAAAUGUAUCCAAAAAGCAAAUCCCCUUGAACUCCUGAAGCAAUUACUCCAACCAAAUAAAGAUUUUAAGAGUUCCAUGUUCAUAUCCUGCAAGGAAAUCAUUCAAUGUUCAGACCUCUAAUUUCUGUCUUUCUAAAUGCCCAGCCAAAAGGCAUAAAGUAUCAUCCAAAUUGGAUGCACAGCAUAUGUUCUUAAAUCAUGGGAUUUCACCAUAAGUUACUACACUCUAACAGGGCCCAGAAAUUGACCUCCAGAUAUGCCUAUCAAAAAAUUAUCCCCACAUACAUUUUUCUGCUGAAAAGACAAUAUUGUUACAUUUGACAUUCAACCACUACUUGAACUCAACAACCAGGGAAAAGAAUAUAGUAUUUCUACCAAUGAGGAUGAGAGGGGCUGGUGAAUUAACAGGUAAAAGUUUGUUUUGGGUUCAUUGUUUGCAUAAUAAUGUAAAAAUGGAGUAGUAUAUUAUAAAUUAAUGUAAAAAUGGAUUAGCAUAACAUAAAUUGCCAUAAGAGAACCACAAACUACAAAGAAACUUAUUUUCCAAACAAGGAAAAUUAUUCAUAGCCAUUAUUACAUAAGAAAGGAAAUUGAUAAAAUUAUUAUCCAGUUCCCCAUCAGGAAAUAUGAAAGUACUCCUAAAAGCCUCAAUUCUAACCAGAAAACCAUAGAAAUGUAUUAGAAAUAUUGUACAGGGUUCUCUCCAAUAUUAGCUUCAGUUGCUAAGGAGAUCAGAACCUUGAAAGUAAGUCACAAAGGUCGUGUGGGUUUCCCAGAGUCUUCAACAACCAGUAUUCACAUAUGUACACAUUAAAAUUAAAUAAAGCAGGUAUCAAUUCCACAGGCUUUAAGAUUUGAAUUGCUUCUCCCUGGAAUCAUACACCACUCAUAUUGUCACUGACUUUCAAUUACUUCUCCCUGCGAUCAUAUGCCACUCAUAUUGUCACUGCCUUAGGGAACAAAGUGAAAAUCUGCAAUUUCAAUUAAUUCCAACAUAAAAAUAAAAAUCAAUCCUCAAAAAAUGGAUUGCCAGGAGGUAAAUAUAAUAGAAGACGAACAACUCUCACAACCAAGUUAAAGAAACCAGCCGCUAGGUACCUUUGAGUUCUAUACUACCAGGAACAAAUUGGAUGAGAUUAUUUAAAGGCUAUUCCACAGUGGAAAUUCAUUCGUUCAAAAAACAUUUGUCAUGCAUAUAGGCAAUCUAUCCUAUGCAUUCAUACAUCAUGGUCUCAUGCAAUCUUAAUAAAAGUGGUCCUGGAAAAAGAGAGAAAAAAGUAAUUACAAGCCUGUGCGACCAGAUUUCUUUUGUUUUUUUUUUUUUUUUCCUUUGCCAAACAACCAUGUUCAUAGUUUCAGAAGUUCAUUCUGUCUUUAAGAGACCAUGGCAGUGACUUGGCCAUUCAGCUAAGANNNNNNNNNNNNNNNNNNNNNNNNNNNNNNNNNNNNNNNNNNNNNNNNNNNNNNNNNNNNNNNNNNNNNNNNNNNNNNNNNNNNNNNNNNNNNNNNNNNNUCACCAAGGACUCCUCAACCUCAAAAUAAUAGAGAAAGUCUAGGACACCAUGUCACUACUGAGGACAACCCAACACCACAACAUUUCAGUCCGUUCAAAAAGAGUAAUUGGAAUUGUUGCAAAAAAUGUUCAACUAGUCCCAACAGGAGGCAAAUUCCUCCAUUUCUUCAUCGGGUCCGGAUCCUUUGCUCAAAAAGGUAAUUUUCUUACUGCCCUAAAAGAAAAAGGGAAAAUGUGAGUCAUUGGAUUGUUGACUCAGGAGCUUUUGAUCACAUGACUAGAGUGCCACAAUUUUUCAAAAUUAUACACCUUGUUUUGGGGAUGAUACAAUUCGUAUGGCUGAUGGUUCUCUCUCAAAGGUGACUGGUACAAGUUUUAUUGUCAUCUCUAAGGACCUAACUCUUGACUCUAUUCUUUUGGUUCCAAACUUGGAUUGCAAUCUAUUGUCCAUUAGUAAACUCACUUAUGAAAAGAACUAUGUUACUAAAUUUUUCCCAAACCAUUGUGUUUUUUAGAAUUUGAAUUCGGGGAAGACGAUUGGCAAUGUUGAAGUGUGUUUAGGACUCUAUGCCUUCAAAGUGAAUUAUUAUAUUGAAAGACAAUCUUAACCAACAGUUGGUGAAAAAUGGUGUCUUUUUGUCUUUAGUUCUAAUAAAGAUAGUGAUGUUAUGUUAUAGCACUAUUGUCUAGGACAUCCUAGUUUCUUAUAUCUCAAAAAACUCUUUCCAUGGUUUUCAGUGUGAAAUUUGUCAACUAUCCAAGCAUCUUUGCAAGCCCUAUCCAUAGUUUUAAAAGACUUAAGGCACACCAAGACGCAAAGUCCUCUUGGAGCCUUAGGCGCAAGGCACACCUAAGGCGCGAACUUUAGUAAAGUGAGGUGCAUCCUGUUUUACAUAUAUAUUUUUAUAUAAUACAAUCAAGUGCCCGAAAAUUUUCCUCUAAUUUUCCCCUUCUUCUUCAUCCUCUUCUCUUCUUCACAUUGUUCGGGAGGCUAGGACAUUUUUUUUUUUUUACAUGUCUAAAACAAGCAUAUAUUGGGUUUUGGAAGAAGAACAAGCCAAAAUGACAUCGUUUUGGAGCCUAAUCUUUUAAAUAAAUAAAUAAAUAAAUAAAAACCAGCCAAAAAUGACACCGUUUUGGCCCCUGUUCUUUUAAAAGAACAAACCAAACAACGUCAUUUUGAUCUCAGGAAAUUAAAAAAACAAAACCCUCGUCAUUCUCCCUUUGCUACUCUACAACUCAUCGUCAAAGGGUAAAAAGAUGACCAAAAGAAGAAGAAGAAAAAAAAAAAACGACGACAGAGGAUAGAGGUGCACCUGUUGAGGGCGUUGCGCCUAGCCAAGAGGCGAGCGCCUUGCACACUUAAUCAACGCCUCUGUGAAGGGGCGGCUCCUGCAAUCAGGCGAAGCGCUGAAGGGUGAUGUCACAUCGUCUAGAGCCUAGGCGCACCUUUCACAACUAUGACCCUAUCCAACUCAACCAUACAAACCAUCUCAUCUUUUUUCCAUACAUAGUGAUGUUUGGAGGUCAUCUAAAAUAAAGAACAUAACAGGGACUAGAUGGUUGAUGAUCAUACUAGAAUUUCUUAGAUAUUUCUAAUGAAAAAAAAAUCAAAAAUUAGUCAAAUUUUCUAAAAGUGGACCAGAAUUUCUUUAUUGAAUUAAAAAGUUGAAAUUAAUAUUUUGGAAAAGUUAGGGCCGCUCAAGAGGUAGAAAUAGCGCUCGAGUGGUAGAAAUAGCGCUCGAGUGGUAGAAAUAGCCCUCAAGUGGUAGAAAUAGCGCUCAAGCGCUAGGACCGCUCAAGCACUUAACUAGCGCUUGAGCGCUCAUAUAGAAUCUGCCAGAAUAUGGAAGAAUAUUUUUUGGAUAAUCAUGAAAAUUGGAUUUGGAAACUUUAGAAUAUCAAUCUCCUUCGGCCUAGAGGUUUAUAUAAACCCUAUUAUAACCCUUUAGGGUUAAGAAAUUCACCAAGUGGUUUACCCUAACUUGUCAUACCAUUCCCGAUCUCUCAUCAAGGAAUCAAAGUGUUUAAUCUUGGGUUGUUUGAAGACCUGCAUCCCUUCAACAAGGCUAAGGUGUAUUCACUAGAACAAUUGAAAUUGUUGCAUUGCGGACAUGAAUCAAGUUGCAGGUUCUAGAGAGUAAGUCUUUAGAAUAAAGCAGACAAAGAGUUCUAUGUGACUUUAUCUCAUAUAGUGGAUUUAGCUUUGAGGUCUUAGACCUCGUGGGUUUUUAUCUCCAUAGUUAGUGUGGGGGUUUUCCACAUAAAAAUUAUUGUGUCUCUUGAUCUUAUGUUUGAUUUUAGAUAUUCUAUUUAUCCCUGAUAUCUCACAGGUUAACUUUAGGUUAAAAAUUCAACUCCCUAUUUAAUAAUUUUUAAAAUACACCCAUUCACGAGUGUUAUCCUACUGGACAUUGGUUUUUCACCAUAUAUAACACUCAUACCAAAACCCAUGCAACAUGGACUCCAACCUUAAGCUUAACUUUCUACGAAUGGAAAAAAAAAAAGACAUAACAUAAAUAGACAGAUUUAACAACAUGCUCCUAAUCAAGGUGAAUGUCCCUCUUUUUGAAAGAUAUGACCUUUUCCAUACGAGGAGCUUUCUUUAAAAUUUCACCUCUACCAAUUCCCAUGCCUUUACAAAGUUGUGGAAAGCUCCAAAGAGAAGGCCCAGACAUGUAAUGGGUAGAUUCCCUACCUUAGAACCUUACACCAAAGCUAAACCCCUAAUAUUUGUGACUUCUAUAAGAAUCAAUUCAUUUUUUUCCAUAUUUAUUUCUAAAUCAGACAUUGCCUCAAACCACAUGAAGUUAUAACUUGGAUGUUACAGAUGCUCUUAAUUAGUGUCACAAAAAAAUAGGGUAUCAUCAUCAAACAAGAAAUGUGACACUUCCAUCCCCUCCUCCUGUCUUCCUCCCACUUUGAAACUUGAGAUGUAACCCCUUUUAUCUAAUUCUCCUCAAAAUUCAAUUGAAAGCCUUCAUUGCCAAUAUGAAAAUGUAAGGGGAGAGAGGAUCUUUCUACCUCAAAUCCCUUGAGCUCUCAAAGAAACUGAAUAGGACACUAUUUACUAGAAUAGAGAAUUGAGUAGUGGAAAUGAACCAUUUGAUCCACCUCACCCACUUAUGAUCAAAGUCCAUUUUAUCCAACAUCAUUAACAAAAAGUUCCAAUUUACAUGGCCAUCGUCCUUUCCAAUGUCUAACUUGCAAAUUACCCCACUAUUGGGACUCUUUAACCUUGAAUCUAGAGCAUCAUUUAUGAUUAGAACUGCAUCUAGAAAUUGUCUGUCUUCCACAAAAGCAUGCAAAUAAACUAAAACUAUUUUACCCACCACAUUUUUUAGUCUUUUAGCCAAGACUUUUUCCAAUAGCUUGUACAAAAAAACCCCCAACUAAGCUAAUCAAUGUAAAAAAUUUUAGGUUCUCUGCUGCACCUAUAUUAGGGAUCAAGACCAAGAACAUGACAUUUAAAUUUUGCUCAAAGGAACAAUUAUCAAAAAACUCCCCAAGCUCAUUUGCCAAAAUAUUAUAAUAAAUCCAUUUGGCCCCUACAGCUUUAUCCCCACUCAAGCUAGACAAGGCAACAAGAAAUUCCUCAUCAAAGAAAGGUAACUCCAAUUUCCUAGAAUCAGCACAUAGCAUAACUUCAAAGGUCAUCCCAUUAAUGUUGAGUCUCCACUCGCCCAUAUCAGAUAGGAGAUUUUGGAAGGCCCUAAACUCCCCUUCCUUUAUAUUUGCUUCCCAAGCAACCAUUUUGCAUUCACUCAAAUUUUAAACAUGAAGUUUUUUAUUCUUUGGGCAUUGACCAUUUCAUGGAAAAUUUUGGUGUUUUUAUCCACCCCCUCUUUUAACCAAAUUUCUCUUUAUUUUUGCCCCCAUACAUAUAGAUUCUUCUAACAAGGCCCACUUGCUAAACUCAAUCACCACUAACCUUUGGCCUCAACGAUUUCAAGAGAUAAGGUAACUGCUCUCUACUUUGAGUCCCAGAAGUUGAUCCAGUUUAGCACCUCUAGGUUUUUUGUUGAGACAUUCCCAAAACCUUCUUCAUUCCAAGAUUUUAAAUCUCGUUUGACAGCCUUUAGUUUAACUUCCAAAAUAUGACCAUACAAGCCAUCCACAUUAUAACCAUCAACCAACUCCUCACAAAAUCUUUUAAGCCUUUUGUUUUAGGCUACAUAUUUUAAAAUGUAAACUGUGUUUUCCCACUCCUUAUCCUACCUCCAUCUAAAACUAUGGGGUAAUGACCAAAAAUUGGUUUAGGUAAAAUACUCUAGAUUAAAGUAGAAAAACGAUUCUACCAAUCAUCUGACACUAGGAAAUGGCCAAGCUAGCCUUGAAGAAGACAAAAGAUUAUGAACACCACUCCAAGUGAAUAGCCCUCCAACUAGCGAAAGAUCCCAAGGUCAAGUCCUCUAUGUCCUCUGAAAAGAACCUCAUAUCAAACAACAUUCUAAGGCAAUUCCUCCUUUUCAUGGGGAACUUGACCAUAUUAAAAUCCCCUCUGAAGCACUAGAGGUCAUCCCAAAGGCCUCUUAUGGCACCCAACUCUACCCAGAAAUCCACUCUUUCUCCCCUUUAAACCAACCCAUAAACUCUUACGUAUACCUAGACAAAGCUAUCUUCACAAUUCAUAGACAAGCAAUAGAGAAUGCUUCCACCUCCUUACCAAUUAACUCUAAUACCCUACUAUCUUGGAAAACCAAAAUGCCUACUAUCAAGCUUCUAACUUCCAAUACCAUUUCAAAAAUUUUCCUACUCCUAAACUCCUUACCAGUUGAACGAACAUCUAUCGAACCUUGGUUUCUUGUUAACAAACUAGAUCAACCCCUUGAGACCUUAUCAAUGACUUUAUUAUCAUAUACUUUUCCUCAUCAUUUGCUCAUUUGACAUUCCAAGACAGGAUUUUUAGCUUCAUCAUGCAACCUAUGUUGGAUCCUAACUGCUACUCUUGGAGCCCUUUUCCUUUUUGUUGAGCUUUUAUAAUUGACUAAGCAUCCCAACUUGUUGAGGUCCCUCUCAAACCAAGAUAUCGAGGUUAACUUCCUCUUCACCUCCAACGAAAAAACAGAAACCCCUCUCCUUAGCCUGCCACACAAGGGAAAAGAUCUCUUUUUCAAAUCCAUCAACUGGCAUUCUUGAGAAACUAUUGAAAUUUGCCAACUUACAAGAUAUACAAUUGGAGGAGUGCUUCUCUACCAAACAACUACUAAAAUUCACCUCAAAGGUGACCUUUUCCCCUGAUCUCUCCCCGGCCUCCAUACCCACUGACCCUUUCACAAAAUUUUCUAGAAUUUCCACUAUCAAGCCGUUACGGAGAACCAUCCUCAACAAACUCCUUUGACUAAUGUGAAAAACCCCACCCAAGAGCAUCUUCCAGAAGUUAACUUACAAGAUUAACUAUAAUCUUGUGAAGACUCGUUACCUAAUGGGUAAAAAAUUUGAAAUUCUAUUAGUAUAAUUCUUUUUAGGCACAAAAGCUGUGAAAAUAGCAUUGGUGCUCUAAUUAAUAACCCCAUAAUUAUUAAGCAAUAAAACAACUUUUAAUAAAUUCUCUUUCACCACAUCCCACCAAUCCUAAUGCAAAAAAGCUAGGAAAAAGUCAUCAUUGCUCUAAGCAUUUCUCCUCACUAGUUGAAAGACUGCUUUAUGAACUUCCUCUUCGACAAAAGGACAAUCCAACCAAUUAGCACCAUUUUCCAAAAUGAGAGACCAACCCCCACUCUUCUAUCCUCUAAGGAUCUUCAUAUAACCAUUAAUGCCUUUCUAUACCAGCUAGUAUAUAUCGGGUUUUGGGCAAGUCCUAUAAAUUGGUUUGAGUAAGAUUUUUAAUUACCCUGUUCUUUCUUUUUAGUUGAUAAAUAUGCAUAUAUGUAGUAAUUCAUACAUCAGAAAAGAUUUUGCUAAAACAAAAGAAUUGACAUGCAGAUAGUGACUUCUUGAUAAGAGUAAUAGCUUAAGGGAGGAAAAUGAACUCCUCCAGUGGCCCCAAAGUGGUAAGUUCCUUCAGAUCCCAUGUUGCUAUUCUGCAUUUCUUUGUGUUUUGGCAUCAGCCCUCUUAAUUAAUUCACUAUCCAGCUUCUCAAAUUCCUCGGAUUCUUCCCUUGUUCUUGUGGAAACAUCUGCAUCUUGUCCUUGCAUUGUUAUGGAUUGGUGAUUAUCAUUCUUUGAGAACUGUGUGGCAGCUGCUCGUGCACCAGCUAUGGCUGCAAGGAGACCUUCUGGUUUCUUGUCUUCAGCAGCUUUGGAGCCAUCAAAGCAAGAAACAAGUAAUCCUGGUUUCAAAGAGAGGGGAUCUUGUGGUUCUGGAAGCAGAAACUUGACAGGUAGUGGAGCUUGAACAGGACGAAGACCCCUAACUGCUGCCUCAUAUAUCUGCAACAAUUUCAGGGGGGAUAAGUAAUUAAAAAUCAGUCACUCUAUUGCAUUAGUUAGACUUGCUUUCAAUGCGAUAGCAAAGAAAGAAUCAUCAAUGAAAAAAGAAAAAAUAAAUGAAAAAGAACAAAAAGGAGAGGGAAAAAAAAAUGAUGGGUGCUCAAUUUGUACUUUUCUUUCCAGGUUAUAAAUACGUUGGUACCCGCGCAUCUCAAAUGGUAUGAUUAAUUUCUGCAUCAGGUCAGGAGAACUAAGUCCAUCAAUAUACUAAAAAGCAAAUAUACCAAAAGGCAAGCAAAAAUGUUUAACCAUCUUGAGUGUCAAACUCUCCAAGAAACUAUAUACUUUUAGCUGAAUGAAAACACAUGCCUGUGGUUGCUCACAGAGCCAGCAAAACUCUGUUUGCGCUUCUAGCCUUACCUACAAAUAGAGUUUAGGUUAUCCAACCAAAAUGGAGAUACAUCACACAAAACAAACUGUACCUAAUCAGUUUACGAAGGGGACGGGGGGAAGCAAAAAGCAAAAGUAAAUUUCUAAGAUGCCCACCCCUUCAGGUACCUCCUUCCAGCACGCCAGCUCUUCACAUUUAACACAACCAACUACUUCAAUACAACCUGUGGCAAGAAUAGAGUUUGUUGGAUUUAUUGUAGCAUGCCAUACAGAAAAAUUUAGCAUUUCAGUAAGAAUAAGAAUAAGAGAGCUACUUUCCACUAAAAUACGAAUCACCCAUCAACUGUUGCAAACAGACAACAAUGUGAAUAACAGGUUUUAUAUAUAUAUAUAUAGAGAGAGAGAGAGAGAGAGAGAGAGAGAGAGAUAGAUAGAUAUAGAGAGAGAGAGAGAGUCAAAUAAUAAUAAAGGACAAAAAUAUUUCUUUGAGAAAGACUAAUUAGAAAGAAGAAACAAAGAACCCACAUGAAAUCAAUUUAGAUAAGAGAAAUACCUUUAAGAAUCUAGUUCUUUUUGCAAAUUGCAACUUAGAAUUGGAAUGCCACAUAUUAUUAUAAGGUAUCACAAGAGAUUAUUGCUUCAUUUUUUUUCUUUGCCAGAUCAGUUUUAAUAAAUAUAAAUAUAAAAAUAUAAGCAUGUACACACACACACGCAAACACAUUAUGUGUGUAUGUUUAUGGAUAUGUAGAUAUAGGUUUUUAAUAAUAGAGCAUGAAAACAUAUCUAGUCAGAAAUUCCAAAAAUCCAAAACCAUUAGCAACACCUAACAGUCUUGAAACUGGGUAAUGUUCUGGAAACUUGAGGUCUGCUAUCCCAUUCACAGCAUAGAUCUCCCUGUAGAAAUUCUCCAUUGCUUUGAUUGUGUCUGAAUCUGGGACCUUACUAGCAGCAUGAAUCCAGAGUCGGCCUUCAUAAAACAAAACAUGUAUAUUAAGAAAUAUCCUUGUAGAACAGUAACAUUUUUGCCAGCAUGCAAUUCGUGUUAAUAAUCCUUGGUUCUCACCACUCAUUGUACAUUACAAUGUAAAGACCUAAUAAGCCCUAAUAUAGGUAGGUGUCUGUGCAGAGAGAGAGAGAGAGAGAGGGGAGGGGGGUGAAAGGAAAGAUGAUUAUAGAACAAAUACAAGUUGAAUCUCCUGAAAUAAUGUCCAUCAAGUUAUUUCCUAGCAACAAGUACUGAUUAUGCUUUUCCUGAUAACAUGAUUUUCUUUGCUAACAACCAUACUAUAUUUUAUCAAGAAAGAGUAGUGCAUGUGGCGUGCAUCAAGACCCAUUAGAGUUCCGCUAAACCUAUAGUUCUGUCAACGUUAUCAUUUACGUUUCCUCUAGAUAAUGGCAUUUUCCUCUAAAACUCUUGCACCAUUAGGCUUCAAGUCAAAAUUUCACAUGUGAACUUUGGAAAUUUUCUCCAUUUGCCCCUAAGGAUACAGUUAGAAUUGACUUAAAAUCCUGAUUGAUGUAUACUUUUAACCGAAGAAUAUUGUAUAUAAUAAUUGAAAUAUUGUUGAUUCAUCGUGGAAAUACAUUUUGUAAGGAAAGUUGUUAAGAAUUUAGUAUGCUAUAUGGAGAAAAAAGUCAUGACUUAAGGUUGAGUAUGUAUAUUCUAUAUCAAAUAUUAGGUAGGAAUGUGGAAAAGAGCAGAGUGUAAUUAUAAGAAACAAAGAAAUAUAAGAUAUUCUUGAAAGUGGAAAAUGUAAAAUGGCUAAAAGUCAAAUUUAUGAUGCAUAAGGGGGAUCAUGUCACAUAAGAAACUCAUGGCAUACCAAAUACGUGUGGUAUGGAGUAACAAUUUUGUUAAAAUAAGUUUCUCGUUGGAGUACAUUAGGUGACAAUUUUUUAAUAUCAAAUUAAAGAGUCAAGUGCAUCAAUGAAGUCAUAUGUAGAAAAUUUGUUUGUGACAUGUACCAUAAAGAUAAGAUUGACUUGAUAUAAUUUAGUCCAGGUAGGAGUUGUUAAAGGUGUCUCAAAUUUCUAAUUGAUAUAUAUUUUUUUCUAAAAAAAUAUUAUAUAGAUAUUUCAAUAAAUGAUUAAUUCUUUGUAAAAAUACUUACAUAAUAAAAAACAUCAUUAGAAAUAUCUCUAUAAAUAUUUUAAAUCACAAAAAGAAAAAAAAAAUCACUAUGAGAUAAUUAUAAACAUGCAACAUUGUACCAAGUAAACAGAAAUGUGAUAAAAAAAUUUUGAGAAACACUAAAUAAAGGAAGGGCUUGUAUAUCAAGAUGUAAAUAUAGAGAGCAAUAUUUUUAAUCAUAUGAUAGAAUUAUUUUCUCUCAUUCAUGAUUAUAAGCAAAAUUGGGAACCAUUAUAAAAUCUUGUACACCUCGUGUAAAUUGAUGUUUGUCUUCAUAUUUUACACCAACAAAUGACAUUGAAGUUGUCAUUGAUAAAAGGGAAAAGGCAUGGCCUCCACACCAUGUGCUUGAAUCGUAUGGUUCAAGUUUAAAGAAUUUUCUCCAUAAUUUGAAGAUCUAAAACAUUUUCACCUUUAAAUUUCAUUUAAUUAUUAAUAUCUACAAAAAAUAGUUAAAUACUCUUUCUAUUUUUGAGUUGUUGAAUUUUUUGAAAGUUUUUAUAUUUGUUAUCAAGAAUUUAUAUUUUAUUAAGUGUGAAUAUUUAUAAAUAAGAUAUUAUAUAAUAUUUGGAUAAGAGAGAAUGGUGGAAUAUAAUAAAGUUUUAAUCCUUCCCAAUUUUUAUCUUUUUUUUUUUUUUUUUUUAUAAUCGCCUUUCUCUUUCAAUCCUAUUAUCAGGUACCUUAUAUUUGCUGAUGCUAUCUGGAACUAAAUUCCAAUCAGACAUUGUCCAAUUACUAAUAGGACAGAUCAUGUCUCUCUGUUUCUAAACUAACAUGUAUCGUAAUGUGGCCUCAUAAGGAAGGCUAGGAAGAUGGAGGAUUUUGUGGGAAGCGACCAGAAUCAGAUGGAAGAGAGAUAGCCCUGUUGACCUAAUGGCUGUAAUAGGAGAAGCGUGUGGAUUUAUGGGACUUAACUGAUACUAAACCUAUAUGAUGCUUGGAGUGGUGUUUCUUUCAUUUUGUUAAGAAAAUAUGGCAGCAUACAUCCUUUCAAUUGAGUGCAUCAGAGCAUCCAUAAUAGAUGGUCUGCAACCCUAGGUGCAUGCCACUUUCUGACUGAUAAUGAAACUGUCAGGUACUUGGCCUUGACUAAGCUCAACAGCAUCACAUAAAAAGAAGCUUUCAUACUUAGAUUACUGUUUAAAGCUUUUGCUUAUUUGCUUUCUUAAUGCCAUUAUGACAUUAUUGUUUCAAUUCUGCUACCGAUUUUCGAAGUUCUGGGCAUCUACUGAUUGCAUCAUUAUAUGAGAAGUUGCAUGAGUUUAUGUAUCCUGUUAUUGCUCCUUUGCGAUUUCACUGCUCACGGGACUAACCUCUCCAUUCAGUCGAAAUGAAUUGUAAUUUCUUUACUGGUAGCAGUAGUACUUUUCAUAGCAAAGAUAAUAGUAAAUAUGAAAUAUAAAUAGAAGGAAAUCUGAAUUGUAGAUGGCACUAUAAGUAACACUCAAUAUUCACUACAUAAUAAAAUAGACAGUGUUACAAAGGUAGAGAAACCUACAAUGAGUACUCAUCACCAUUCUCAAACAGAAACAUAGCAGCGACUUAUACAUAGAACCUAUAGGCUUGCAGGGAAAGAAGGGAAAGAGUAACAUGAUAAGUUCACAGCGGGUAGCAGCUCUUAUUUUACGUAUUACUCAAAAUCUCAAACUAACCAAAGUCACUCAGUUGGGAUGGGUAGGAGAUGGUGGUUUGUGGGGUGGCUUCUGGGUAGGAGCUGGUGGCUUCUUUGUUGGAGUUGAAGGAGGCGUAAUCUUCUGAGGUGGCUUGUAUGAGUCUUCGGCACUCUCUGCAGGAGGGUGCCCAGGGUUGUGACCGGAAGGAGGUGGCUUCUGUCCCUUUGGUGGUUUGCCUAAUGGGCUUGGUGGCUUGUGCUCCGGGAGUUGUUUCUCUCCCUCGAGUAGGUUUCGAGUUUUGUCAGAUGGCUUGUGUUCUGGUGGUGGCUUCUCUCCCUGGGGUGGUUUGCCGAAUGGGCUUGGUGGCUUGUGUUCGGGGAGUGGCUUCUCUCCCUGGAGAAGGUUACGAGUUUUGUCAGAUGGCUUUUGUUCUGGUGGUGGCUUCUCUCCCUGGGGUGGUUUGCCAAAUGGGCUUGGUGGCUUGUGUUCGGGAACUGGCUUCUCUCCCUUGGGAGGUUCAUUUGGUGGCUGGUGUUCCGUAGGUGGUUCCUUCACCGGCGGCUUGUGCUCCGGAAGCGGCUUCUCUACCUGGAGAAGCUUACGAGUUUUGUCAGAUGGCUUGUGUUGUGGUGGGGGCUUCUCUCCCUGGGGUGGUUUGCCAAACGGACUUGGUGGCUUGUGUUCGGGGAGUGGCUUCUCUCCAUUGGGAGGUUUAAUUGGUGGUUGGUGUUCCGUAGGUGGUUUCUGAAGUGGGGGAUGCUUGGGGUAGUCAGCAAGAGACGAGGUAGUGAGAACCACCAGUCCCAGCAGCAACACUAGCAAGGAUGUGGAAGACAUCUUUGAGUUCAGGCUGAGAUCUGUGCAAGGAUAAAAGAUUUAGGUGGCCUUUUAUAGAGGGAUGGACCCAACACCCAUAUGACACGUGUCAUGCACUCAUGGUGACACAUAAAUUCUAUGGAACCAUUUGGGUCCUACAGAAGUUGCAAAGUUGGACUAUUGAGGUGUGAUCACAACUUUUGUCCUUCUUGCUUUCUCUGCGGCCAUUGCCCAAUUUCCUUUAGCAUCAUUUUCUUGGCUAAAUAAGCGUAUUAUAUUUGUGGCAGACCGUCCACGUGUCAUAGACAGAUAUAUUAUAAUAAUGUAGUAUGCUUUUCUUCAACGGAACAUGACACUCUUCUAAGUCUUGUUUUAAAUACUGUGCAGUAUUACGUUAUACGUUGCUUGUUCCAAGUCAAAAUUGGUGGGCAAACGUUGGCCUUUUUUCAUUUUCCCUAAGAUUAAUGCUCACCUGGGAUAGGCACUACAUGAUAUAUCUGCUCUUUUACUGUGAAGUUGCUUUGUGCAUGAGUUACACCUCCCCUGCACACCCUCAACAUUUGUUGCUCUGUUUUCCUUGUGUCCAGACGAGGAUAUUAAUUGGAGGCUGACAAAACGACUGCUAGCCAAGGAUUUACAAGGUCCUGGUUUGACGCUUCCGCGAAAGUAUUUUUGAAAAGAUACACAUAGAGAUUGCGCGUUCGGUGCAAUGCAACAAUGUGAGCCAUUCUGAAGUUUUUAAUUUCAGAUUAAUGAAUGCUACAAAAUUCUAAGAAGGGCCGUUUCCAAAUAUUUGAGUUCAUUUAUCCGAACAUCGGAUAAGUAAUGAUCAUAGAUUAUUAUCUGACGUUCUUAUAAUGGUUGGCAUUAUAAGAGGGUAUAUGCUUCUUUCUCUAGCCCCUCCUUCAAGGGAGGGACAAUGUGAUCUGUAUCGUUAGAAGCUAUUCCAUGUCAUCAUCUUUGGGCUUAAGUCAAUACUAAAAUAUAUGGGCGGGGCCCCUGUCAUUUUAUAUUUCUUCUAGAAGGUUUGUUCUGGAAAUCUUUCACCGAAACAUAUCUUUUUCUUCUCUACGUGAUCCGGUUUGAAAGUUGGAAAAAUGGGUCCGUUAACAAGACACCGAGUUGAAAAGUUGGAAAAAUGGCAACACCGCCAACCUCUUGUAUUCGAUGGUUAAAUAAAAGGUCACUGGAAGUGAGAUCCCUUUUGGCCUCUUGAUUUUCAUUCCAGCAUCUCUAUGGCCUGAUAAACUAAAAAACUAAAAAAAAGACAGUACGUGGGUUGGUGUUAAGCAUCAAGAGUCAAGACAUGAUAAUGGAGAGAAAGGAUAUUCAAAUUCCAGUUCUGACAGCAUGAUUUUCUUUGCUGAACAACCAUAUUAUAUUUGAUCAAGAAAGAGUAGUGCAUGUGGCCAGGAUCAAGACAUACAUUAAUUUCCACAUGAUCAAGACAGUUUCUUCUAAAGCUCUUGCGCCAGUAGGCUUCAAGUCAAAAUUUCCCAUGUAAACACUGGUUUUUCUUUAAUUGCCACUAAGGAUGCAGUUAAAAUUGACUUAAAAUCCUACGUGAUAUAUUUUUUUAACAAAAGUAUAUUGUAUAUAAUAUUUGAAAUAAUGUUGAUUCGUUGUGGAAAUAUGUUUGUAAGGAAAGUUGUUGACAAUUUAAUAUAGUAUAAGAAGAAAAAAGCUAUCAGCUAGAGAUGAGUAUGUAAAGUGAGGCUCCCGAUUCAACGCGUAAAUAUAAGAUAUUUUAAGGCUCAAUAGUUAUGAUAUCUAUUUUAUUUUUUGUAUCUCAUAUAUUCAAAGAUAUAGUAAAAUGAUUUUAUAUAUAUAAACAUAGCUGAUUGUAUCAUGUUAAAACCUGGUAUGACUUUUUGUGCCAAUUGAUUUUUAUCUUUAUUUUGUAUAUUAGUAAUUAGUAUUAAAGUUUUUACUAAUAUAAUAACUAAUAUAAAAACUUUUUCUAAAAGAGUCAACAGAGCAAAACAUUUAUUGUAAAAAAAAAAUUAAAAUAUUAUUUUUUCUAUUUAGAAAAAGUUAUAUAUUUUAUUUUUUCUAUUUAGUAAAAAGUUUAUAAUAAGUCAUAAAAAAAAGUAGAAAAACAAACCACCUAAAUUCUGAAAACAAAUUAUUUUCAAUAAAAAGUCAAAAAAAUAAACACUAUCUUAACUAAACAAGCAUAUAUUAUAUUUGGUUAAAGAGUAGAGUGUAUAUGGCACACAUCAAGGAAGAGAAACAAAAUAAGUGGAAGACAAUCAAGGGAACAUGUAUGGUCUGCCUUUUUCUGAUGUUAUGUUUGUCUCUAAUUCUGUUCCAUGUCAUGGUAAAUGUUCACAUUGCUUGUAUGGAACAAAGGCUUCAUAUUGGGUUCAAUGCUUUUAAUGUGUUCAUUGGACAAAUCUGAAUUAUCAUACGCAUUUAGAUAAGAACAAUAAUGUGAAACCCUAGUUACACCUCCCCUGCAUAACCCCAACCCUGCUUGCUCUAUUUCAGUUUAUUCACACAAGUUUUACUGGUUCUUAUAAGUCAAGAAAAAGCCACUGAUGUUGGAUCGACUCUCUUCCAUGUAAAAAAAAGCAACUUUUAUAAAUAUAAAAGAACUUCUUCCCCUCACGAAUGUGGGAUAUCAUAGAUUUAUUCUGGAAACACAUCAAAGGAACAUCUUUUCUCUUGGGUGACCCUAAGUGGUGGGUCAGACCAUUUGCAUGCCAUUGAGUUGCACAGUUGGAUAAAUGCACCUACCUCCUGGGCUCCAGAGUAAAAGGGUGGAUCCCUGGAUUGCAACCCUCCUGGCAUCUUGGUUUCUAUUCCAACAUCCACAUGACUUGACAAAACAAAAAACAGAAUAAAAUCAGCACUAUAUUCAUGCUAAGCACCAAUACAUGAUGGAAAUCAUUGCUUAAAGAUUUGGGGUCGUUUAGGUUUUGACUGCCUCCUACCACCUCACCUAAUGACAAGUUUUUAUGCUUACAAAUCAAAUAUCAUUCUUCAUUAUAUUAAAAUCAUUUUAAGAUUUCAGAUCCAUCUGCUAAUUAUGAUUAUGAUAACAUUAAUUCACCUGUGCUUCUCAUUUUCGACACACAAGGCAUCUAGGUUUGCAGGAUUUCCUUAUUAGAUGAGAUAAAUGAGUACGCAUGGUUAUGUAUGCAGCAUUCAUUAACCAUGGUAUGUGACAUUUAGAAUUAAGAUAGCAAGCAAACUUUCCCUGCAGCUUGAGUAAAUUGUGAUUUCUUAGCCUCUAUGAGUGGUUCCCAAAUCAAAUUAACAUAGUGAAAUAUACGUAGUCCAGUGAAAGGAAAUGUAAAUUAUAAACUAACAGCACUACACUACUGGUAACACUCGAUACUCUCUAUAUAAUGCAAUAAACAAUGUCAAUGCUCAUUGCCUACAAGCAAGGCACAAACACUAGAACAAGUAAAGCACAAACCUUUCCCAACAGUUCCCAGUGACUGAUGCAUAGCAUACCCUCAACUCACAGAAGGGGAUGAUAUCAGUGCACUGCAGCACUUAUUUUACACAUACUACCACUACUACUACUACUACUACUACUACUACUCAUUAGCCAAAGUCACUCAGUUGGGAUGAGUGGAAGGUGGAGGCUUGUGGGGUGCUAUGUGGAAAGGAGUUUGGCUUCUUCUCAGGAGAUGGUAGCUUCGUUGCGCGAGUUGAAGGAGGCUUAAUCUUCUGUGGUGGAUUGUAUGAGUCUUUGGCACUCUCUUCUCUCGUUCAGGUGAGUACCCAGGGGUGUAUCCAUAAUGCGGUGGCUUCUAUCCCUUAGGUGGUUUGCCAAAUUCAAAAUCGAAGGAUUUUUUUUUUUUUAAGUAAACAUCUCUUUGAAAGCUUUUAUUUUGUAUGGCAAAUGGAAUGAGACGAGCUGUCAUAUUCUAUUUGGCCAGAGCGACAUAUCACAAAUGAACAAGCUAUUUACUGCCACACUGGGCAAAACAUACAUAAUCCUUGUACUUCAAACAUCCAUGAAUUCUCAUCAUUUUCAGGACAUGUUGCAUGGUUUAUCAUUCUAUAUGUCGGCAUAGUAAGUGCAGCUAAUAAGCCUAUUCAGAGCCGAAAUUCAAAAUCUAUUCACAGGAUAAUGACCUUAUUAUUGGAUUUUGCUCACUGUCAUACACACAUAUCAGAUAAAGCCCCACAUGCUCAUAAGCUACAAGCAACCUACAAGCACUAAAUGAGUGUUAGACGUAUGAAACAUUCCCCAAUACUAGUAGUAUUCCCUGUUCCAUAGGACACUAAAUUAGAAGAGAGAAGAUGUGAGACUCCAGCUUUUCUUUCUACAUAUUACUCAUAUCAAGUCGGAAUAGUUAGGUGGUAGAGGCUUGGGGUGCCUUGUGUAGUCUAGGCAGCUUCUCUCAGAAGUUGAUUUCGUCUUAAUCUGGAUGUCCAGGUUUCAUCCUUUCGAAUUUCCCAUGCAACUCAGCAUUCUCCUUGGGAAACUUCACUCCAUUGGGAAACUUCACUCCAUUGGGAAACUUGUGUGAAUCUUUGGCAUUCUCUACCAGAGAAGGCCCAGGGUAGUGACCAUAAGGUGGUGGCCUUUUUUCAGGUGGUGGCUCCUCUCCCACUGGAGGCUUGUGGUAAUCAGCAAGAGAGGCAGUGGAGAGAAUCAUCACCCCAAGGAACAGCACUAGCAAGUAUGUGUGAGCCAUAUUUGGGAUCUGAUGAUGAAGACUAGAAGAUAGGAGUGGCCUCUUAUAAUGGGUUGGAGACUAUAUCUCAAGGGGACGUGUAUUUAUGCAUAUGAUCUAUAUAGGACCUUCCUCCUAAUAUUUUCAAAAUAAUGUUAUUGUCUCUCUUGGGUGACGGUUUGAUUUGGUCUAUUUCCAUGCCACUGAGUCGAAAAGUUUGACAAUUGGCUACACCACCCACCAGGAUUCCAUGGUUGAAAGUGAAGAUCAGUACAGUGUGAUCACACUUGGCCUCUUGUUCUCCAUUCCAGUAUCUACUUAACCUGACAAAAGAAAAAGAAAAAGAAAAAGGGGAAAAAUAGCAUAAUGUUCAAAUAAAAACGAGAAAAAAUAGCAUAAUGUUCAUGAAUCAUGAUAAGCAUCAAGGCAUGAUAGUGAGAGAGAGGAAAGAAGACAGUGUAAUUUGCAAUCCUGAUAAUCAUUAUAUAGCAGUGACUUUAAUCAUUUUUUUAUCACAGGGAACAUGACACUCAUCUUCCUAUGGAGAUAUUGCAUAGGUUUUUUUCUUUGUAUGUCAACACUAACCAAUGAAGCAUGUUAGCUGGUUUGAAACUGAAAUUGUAGCCCUAUGUUUGGUUCUUGAAAAACUUGAGAGACAAUGGAAGUUAAAAGGAAAGAAAAAGUGAAAAAAAAAUAAAAAUAGAUUGAAAGUUAACAAAUUAUUUUUACAUGUUUCUUCAAACUUCUUUCACUUAUUUUUCCUUUUCUAUGUAAAGCUUAAAUGAUUUAAAAAUCAUAAAUUUCUAACUAAUUAUAAUUAUAUUUGAUUUUCUUUCAUAUUUUCCAAGGUAAAGCCAAACAUGAGAAAAUCAUUUUCCUUAAAAGCUGAAUUAUUUCCUUUACAGUUUCUUAGAACCAAACAUGGAAUAAAAGUCCAAAUUGGGGUUUCUCCAUGUUCCAUUUUUUAUGGCUACCUUUAUAGACCAUAUAAUAUAGAAUGUACUUGUGCAUACCUUCAAGAUCAAGCUGAACUAUAAGAAAAAGACAAGCCAUGCAUGGCCCACGGAGCAGGGGUACCAAGCUGCCUUCUCCUAGGUUAAGUUCCAAGAUUUCAGUCUUCAAACCUGCUAAAAGCUAAAGGCAUGUUUCCAGCCUGCGAGAGAUAACAUGCACUGUCCAACAAUAAAUUGCAAACACAUUCGAUGCAGUUUAUUAGUACAAUAAGAUUAAAUCCACCAAAUCUUUUACAGUUCAACCAACACUUGAACUAGUAGCUUCACUACUGGGUAAUAAUAUAUAAACCAAACUCUUGAUAGGAACCAACCUAUCGCAGAUCGAACUUCUUACAUCCACCAUGAAUUACUGAACCAAAAGAAGAAGAGGCUGCCAAGGAGGAAAGCCUUCCUAUAACUAGAUAUUUAUAUUCCAAAUUAGGGAGAGCACCCACUGCCCAGGCCUCACCCAGCAUAAACAGAUAGUAUACAUAUACAUGCAAAAAGCUCCAACCUUCAAGAUUUUAACUAUUAACUUAACACAAUUAAAAAUGUAUCCAAAAAGCAAAUCCCCUUGAACUCCUGAAGCAAUUACUCCAACCAAAUAAAGAUUUUAAGAGUUCCAUGUUCAUAUCCUGCAAGGAAAUCAUUCAAUGUUCAGACCUCUAAUUUCUGUCUUUCUAAAUGCCCAGCCAAAAGGCAUGAAGUAUCAUCCAAAUUGGAUGCACAGCAUAUGUUCUUAAAUCAUGGGAUUUCACCAUGAGUUACUACACUCUAACAGGGCCCAGAAAUUGACCUCCAGAUAUGCCUAUCAAAAAAUCAUCCCCACAUACAUUUUUCUGCUCAAAAGACAAUAUUGUUACAUGUGACGUUCAACCACCACUUGAACUCAACAACCAGGGAAAAGAAUAUAGUAUUUCUACCAAUCAGGAUGAGAGGGGCUGGUGAAUUAACAGGUAAAAGUUUGUUUUGGGUUAUUGUUUGCAUAAUAAAUGCAACCUAUGACACAAUGCUUCAAAACCAAGCUAAGUCAGUCACAUGGAUGGGCAGGAUGCCAUUUAGGAUUUGUCCAAAAGCAUGAAGACCACUUGAGUCAGCCUGGUUGCCCUCAAUUCAGAAAUCAGCAAGUAAUACAGUGUAAUUCAGCUUCAUCACUGUAAAAUAACUAUUUAUAUUCUAGCUAAAGUUACCAAAUUGUAAUUCGUCUUGCGUAUUUUUCCUCAUUCUCAACCUAUUUGAUGUACCUAUUACAUUUCAUAUAUACAUUUGUUCUUUUAAGAUUUUCAAUCACUCCAAUUAACCAAAAUUUUCAGAAUUUAAUACACCAGGCAAUAAUAGAGUAAUUCCAUUGUUGACCAAAGGCACAAAGGCAUCAGCGCUAUUCAAACUUCAUGCUCUUUCUUAUGCUAUUGAGUAGUAUAUUAUAAAUUAAUGUAAAAAUGGAUUAGCAUAACAUAUAUUGCCAUAAGAGAACCACAUACUACAAAGAAACUUAUUUUCCAAACAAGGAAAAUUAUUCAUAGCCAUUAUUACAUAAGAAAGGAAAUUGAUAAAAUUAUUAUCCAGUUCCCCAUCAGGAAAUAUGAAAGUACUCCUAAAAGCCUCAAUUCUAACCAGGAAACCAUAGGAAUGUAUUAGAAAUAUUGUACAGGGUUCUCUCCAAUAUUAUCUUCAGUUGCUAAGGAGAUCAGAACCUUGAAAGUAAGUCACAAAGGUCGUGUGGGUUUCCCAGAGUCUUCAACAACCAGUAUUCACAUAUGUACACAUUAAAAUUAAAUAAAGCAGGUAUAAAUUCCACAGGCUUUAAGAUUUGAAUUGCUUCUCCCUGGAAUCAUACACCACUCAUAUUGUCACUGACUUUCAAUUACUUCUCCCUGCGAUCAUAUGCCACUCAUAUUGUCACUGCCUUAGGGAACAAAGUGAAAAUCUGCAAUUUCAAUUAAUUCCAACAUAAAAAUAAAAAUCAAUCCUCAAAAAAUGGAUUGCCAGGAGGUAAAUAUAAUAGAAGACGAACAACUCUCACAACCAAGUUAAAGAAACCAGCCGCUAGGUACCUUUGAGUUCUAUACUACCAGGAACAAAUUGGAUGAGAUUAUUUAAAGGCUAUUCCACAGUGGAAAUUCAUUCGUUCAAAAAACAUUUGUCAUGCAUAUAGGCAAUCUAUCCUAUGCAUUCAUACAUCAUGGUCUCAUGCAAUCUUAAUAAAAGUGGUCCUGGAAAAAGAGAGAAAAAAGUAAUUACAAGCCUGUGCGACCAGAUUUCUUUUGUUUUUUUUUUUUUUCCUUUGCCAAACAACCAUGUUCAUAGUUUCAGAAGUUCAUUCUGUCUUUAAGAGACCCAUGGCAGUGACUUGGCCAUUCAGCUAAGAAGGUGAAACUUCACAUUUUCACACAUAAUCCAUUUCUUUCUCUAACAUAAUUCAAAUGAAAACCCUUAACAAUUGGAGUACGAAGUUCAAAUGGAAAACUUUCUGAAGAGAGGCACCCUAGCUUUCAUCUAUGAAGUAGCAUGAAUCCAUCAACCUAAUUCCUAGUCCAGCAAGGAUAUCAAUUAUCUGAAGAUCUUGUGUUGCAACAGAUACCAUUUCCAUGAAAAAGCACAAGCCAUGGAGUAGCCUCAAAUUGUUAAUCCCUGUUGAGAUACAUGUGCUUUAUGUCACACUCGAUAAAAGUCGAACAAAAUUUGUGGAAAUCCGGAGGAAAUCCAGAAGGUACAGCUGUGUUAGAGCUGUAUCACAGUUGUGAUAUAGUUGUUUCCUAUUCUAAUUUCAUUUCCUGAUUUUAUGAGACUUUCUCCUAAAAUCAAGGAUUAGAUUUCUUUUUCUAAGGCAAAUGACCUCAGUCAUUCAUGUAUAAAUAUCAAUGCAAGAAUCAAUUUGAAAGAUGAGAGAAAAAUAAAAGCUCCCUCAAAUUUCUUCAUCGUAUUAGAGCUAAUUCUAACCCAUUCAAUCUGUCCAUAACCAAAUACGGAAUGGUCACCAAGGACUCCUCAACCUCAAAAUAAUAGAGAAAGUCUAGGACACCAUGUCACUACUGAGGACAACCCAACACCACAACAUUUCAGUCCGUUCAAAAAGAGUAAUUGGAAUUGUUGCAAAAAAUGUUCAACUAGUCCCAACAGGAGGCAAAUUCCUCCAUUUCUUCAUCGGGUCCGGAUCCUUUGCUCAAAAAGGUAAUUUUCUUACUGCCCUAAAAGAAAAAGGGAAAAUGUGAGUCAUUGGAUUGUUGACUCAGGAGCUUUUGAUCACAUGACUAGAGUGCCACAAUUUUUCAAAAUUAUACACCUUGUUUUGGGGAUGAUACAAUUCGUAUGGCUGAUGGUUCUCUCUCAAAGGUGACUGGUACAAGUUUUAUUGUCAUCUCUAAGGACCUAACUCUUGACUCUAUUCUUUUGGUUCCAAACUUGGAUUGCAAUCUAUUGUCCAUUAGUAAACUCACUUAUGAAAAGAACUAUGUUACUAAAUUUUUCCCAAACCAUUAUGUUUUUUAGAAUUUGAAUUCGGGGAAGACGAUUGACAAUGUUGAAGUGUGUUCAGGACUCUAUGCCUUCAAAGUGAAUUAUUAUAUUGAAAGACAACCUUAACCAAUAGUUGGUGAAAAAUGGUGUCUUUUUGUCUUUAGUUCUAAUAAAGAUAGUGAUGUUAUGUUAUAGCACUAUCGUCUAGGACAUCCUAGUUUCUUGUAUCUCAAAAAACUCUUUCCAUCAUUAUUCACUAAAAGCUCAGAUGGUUUUCAGUGUGAAAUUUGUCAAUUAUCCAAGCAUGUUUGCAAGCCCUAUCCAUAGUUUUAAAAGACUUAAGGCGCACCAAGACGCAAAGUCCUCUUGGAGCUUCAGGCGCAAGGCACACCUAAGGCACAAACUUUAGUAAAGUGAGGCGCAUCCUAUUUUACAUAUAUAUUUUUAUAUAAUAUAAUCAAGUGCCCAAAAAUUUUCCUCUAUUUUUCCCCUUCUUCUUCAUCCUCUUCUCUUCUUCACAUUGUUCGGGAGGCUGGGGCUUUUUUUUUUUUUUUUUUUUUUUUACAAGUCCAAAACGAGCAUAUAUUGGGUUUUGGAAGAAGAACAAGCCAAAACGACAUCAUUUUGGAGCCUAAUUUUUUAAAUAAAUAAAUAAAUAAAAACAGGCCAAAAAUGACACCGUUUUGGCCCCUGUUCUUUUAAAAGAACAAACCAAACAACGUCAUUUUGAUCUCAGGAAAUUAAAAAAACAAAACCCUCAUCAUUCUCCCUUUGCCACUCUACAACUCGUCGUCAAAGGGUAAGAAGAUGACCAAAAGAAGAAGAAGAAAAAAAAAAAAACGACGACAGAGGAUAGAGGUGCACCUGUUGAGGGCGUUGCGCCUAGCCAAGAGGCGAGCGCCUUGCACACUUAAUCAACAUCUCCGUGAAGGGGUGGCGCCUACAUUCAGGCGAGGCGCUAAAGGGUGAUGUCACGCCGUCUAGAGCCUAGGCACGCCUUUCACAACUAUGACCCUAUCCAAUUCAACCAUACAAACCAUCUCAUCUUUUUUCCAUACAUAGUGAUGUUUGGAGGUCUUCUAAAAUAAAGAACAUAACAGGAACUAGAUGGUUGAUGAUCAUACUAGAAUUUCUUAGAUAUUUCUAAUGAAAAAAAAAAUCAGAAAUUAGUCAAAUUUUCUAAAAGUGGAUCAGAAUUUCUUUAUUGAAUUAAAAAGUUGAAAUUAAUAUUUUGGAAAAGUUAGGGGCGCUCGAGUGGUAGAAAUAGCGCUCAAGCGCUAGGACCGCUCAAGCACUUAACUAGCACUUGAGCGCUCAUAUAGAAUCUGCCAGAAUAUGGAAGAAUAUUUUUUGGAUAAUCAUGAAAAUUGGAUUUGGAAACUUUAGAAUAUCAAUCUCCUUCGGCCUAGAGGUUUAUAUAAACCCUAUUAUAACCCUUUAGGGUUAAGAAAUUCACCAAGUGGUUUACCCUAACUUGUCAUACCAUUCCCGAUCUCUCAUCAAGGAAUCAAAGUGUUUAAUCUUGGGUUGUUUGAAGACCUACAUCCCUUCAACAAGGCUAAGGUGUAUUCACUAGAACAAUUGAAAUUGUUGCAUCGCGGACAUGAAUCAAGUUGCAGGUUCUAGAGAGUAAGUCUUUAGAAUAAAGCAGACAAAGAGUUCUAUGUGACUUGAUCUCAUAUAGUGGAUUUAGCUUUGCAGUCUUAGACCUCGUGGGUUUUUAUCUCCACAGUUAGUGUGGGGGUUUUCCACAUAAAAAUUCUUGUGUCUCUUGAUCUUAUGUUUGAUUUUGGAUAUUCUAUUUAUCCCUGAUAUCUCACAGGUUAACUUUAGGUUAAAAAUUCAACUCCCUAUUCAAUAAUUUUUAAAAUACACUCAUUCACGAGUGUUAUCCUACUGGAAAUUGGUUUUUCACCAUAUAUAACACUCAUACCAAAACCCAUGCAACAUGGACUCCAACCUUAAGCUUAACUUUCUACGAAUGGAAAAAAAAAAAAAAAAAAAAAAGACAUAACAUAAAUAGACAGAUUUAACAACAUGCUCCUAAUCAAAGUGAAUGUCCCUCUUUUUGAAAGAUAUGACCUUUUCCAUACGAGGAGCUUUCUCUAUAAUUUCACCUCUACCAAUUCCCAUGCCUUUACAAAGUUGUGGAAAGCUCCAAAGAGAAGGCCCAGACAUGUAAUGGGUAGAUUCCCUACCUUAGAACCUAACACCAAAGCUAAACCCCUAAUAUUUGUGACUUCUAUAAGAAUCAAUUCAUUUUUUUCCAUAUUUAUUUCUAAAUCAGACAUUGCCUCAAACCACAUGAAGUUCUAACUUGGAUGCUACAGAUGCUCUUAAUUAGUGUCACAAAAAAAUAGGGUAUCAUCAUCAACCAAGAAAUGUGACACUUCCAUCCCCUCCCCCCGUCUUCCUCCCACUUUGAAACUUGAGAUGUAACCCCUUUUAUCUAAUUCUCCUCAGAAUUCAAUUGAAAGCCUUCAUUGCCAAUAUGAAAAUAUAAGGGGAGAGAGGAUCUUUCUACCUCAAAUCCCUUGAGCUCUCAAAGAAACUGAAUAGGACACUCUUUACUAGAAUAGAGAAUUUAGUAGUGGAAAUGUACCAUUUGAUCCACCUUACCCACUUAUGAUCAAAGUCCAUUUUAUCCAACAUCGUUAACAAAAAGAUCCAAUUUACAUGGCCAUCGUCCUUUCCAAUGUCUAACUUGCAAAUUACCCCACUAUUGGGACUCUUUAGCCUUGAAUCUAGAGCAUCAUUUAUUAUUAGAACUACAUCUAGAAAUUGUCUGUCUUCCACAAAAGCAUGCAAAUAAACUAAAACUAUUUUACCCACCACAUUUUUUAGUCUUUUAGCCAAGACUUUUUCCAGUAGCUUGUACAAAAAACCCCCCAACUAAGCUAAUCAAUGUAAAAUUUUUCAGGUUCUCUACUGCACCUAUAUUAGGGAUCAAGACCAAGAAUGUGACAUUUAAAUUUUGCUCAAAGGAACAAUUAUCAAAAAACUCCCCAAGCUCAUUUGCCAAAAUAUUAUAAUAAAUCCAUUUGGCCCCUACAGCUUUCUCCCCACUCAAGCUAGACAAGGCAACAAGAAAUUCCUCAUCAAAGAAAGGUAACUCCAAUUUCCUAGAAUCAGCACAUAGCAUAACUUCAAAGCUCAUCCCAUUAAUGUUGAGUCUCCAAUCGCCCAUUUCAGAUAGGAGAUUUUGGAAGGCCCUAAACUCCCCUUCCUUUAUAUUUGCUUCCCAAGCAAUCAUUUUGCAUUCACUCAAACUUUAAACAUGAAGUUUUUUAUUCUUUGGGCAUUGACCAUUUCAUGGAAAAAUUUGGUGUUUUUAUCCACACCACCCCCCCCCCUCUAACCAAAUUUCUCUUUAUUUUUGCCCCCAUACAUAUAGAUUCUUCUAACAAGGCCCACUUGCUAAACUCAAUCACCACUAACCUUUUGGCCUCAACAUUUUCAAGAGAUAAGGUAACUGCUCUCUACUUUGAGUCCCAGAAGUUGAUCCAGUUUAGCACCUCUAGGUUUUUUGUUGAGACAUUCCCAAAACCUUCUUCAUUCCAAGAUUUUAAAUCUCGUUUGACAACCUUUAGCUUCACUUCCAAAAUAUGACCAUACAAGCCAUCCACAUUAUAACCAUCAACCAACUCCUCACAAAAUCUUUUAAGCCUUUUGUUUUAGGGCACAUAUUUUAAAAUGUAAAGUGUGUUUUCCCACUACUUAUCCUACCUCCAUCUAAAACUAUGGGGUAGUGACCUAAAAUUGCUUUAGGUAAAACACUCUGGAUUAAAGUAGAAAAACGAUUCUACCAAUCAUCUGACACUAGGAAAUGGCCAAGCCUUGAAGAAGACAAAAGAUUAUGAACACCACUCCAAGUGAAUAGCCCUCCAACUAGCGAAGGAUCCCAAGGUCAAGUCCUCUAUGUCCUCUGAAAAGAACCUCAUAUCAAACAACAUUCUAAGGCAAUUCCUCCUAUUCAUGGGGAACUUGACCAUAUUAAAAUCCUCUGAAGCACUAGAGGUCAUCCCAAAGGCCUCUUAUGGCACCCAACUCUACCCAGAAAUCCACUCUUUCUCCCCUUUAAACCAACCCAUAAACUCUUAAGUAUACCUAGACAAAGCUAUCUUCACAAUUCAUAGACAAGCAAUAAAGAAUGCUUCCACCUCCUUACCAAUUAACUCUAAUACCCUACUAUCUUGGAAAACCAAAAUGCCUGCUAUCAAGCUUCUAACUUCCAGUACCAUUUCAAAAAUCUUCCUACUCCUAAACUCCUUACCAGUUGAACGAACAUCUAUUGAACCUUGGUUUCUUGUUAACAAACUAGAUCAACCCCUUGAGACCUUAUCAAUGACUUUAUUAUCAUAUACUUUUCCUCAUCAUUUGCUCCUUUGACAUUCCAAGACAGGAUUUUUAGCUCCAUCAUGCAACCUAUGUUGGAUCCUAAUUGCUACUCUUGUAGCCCUUUUCUUUUUUGUUGAGCUUUUAUAAUUGACUAAGCAUCCCAACUUGCUGAGGUCCCUCUCAAACCAAGAUAUCGAGGUUAACUUCCUCUUCACCCCCAAUGAAAAAACAGAAAGCCCUCUCCUUAGCCUGCCACACAAGGGAAAAGAUCUCUUUUUCAAAUCCAUCAACUGGCAUUCUUAAGAAACUAUUGAAAUUUGCCAACUUACAAGAUAUACAAUUGGAGGAGUGCUCUUUUACCAAACAACUACUAAAAUUCACCUCAAAGGUGACCUUUUCCCCUGAUCUCUCCCCGGCCUCCAUUCCCACUGACCCUUUCACGAAAUUUUCUAGAAGUUCCACUGUCGAGCCUUUACGGAGAACCAUCCUCAACAAACUCCUUUGACUAGUGUGAAAAACCCCACCCAAGACCAUCUUCCAGAAGUUAACUUACAAGAUUAGCUAUAAUCUUGUGAAGACUCGUUACCUAAUGGGUAAAAAAUUUGAAAUUCUAAGAUGUGAAAAUAGCAUUGGUGCUCUAAUUAAUAACCCCAUAAUUAUUAAGCAAUAAAACAACUUUUAAUAAAUUCUCUUCCACCACAUCCCACCAAUCCUAAUGCAAAAAAGCUAGGAAAAAGUCAUCAUUGCUCUAAGCAUUUCUCCUCUCUAGUUGAAAGACUGCUUUAUGAACUUCCUCUUUGACAAAAGGACAAUCCAACCAAUUAGCACCAUUUUCCAAAAUGAGAGACCAAUCCCCACUCUUCUAUCCUCUAAGGAUCUUCAUAUAACCAUUAAUGCCUUUCUAUACCAGCUAGUAUAUAUCGGGUUUUGGGCAAGUCCUAUAAAUGGGUUUGAGUAAGAUUUUUAAUUACCUUGUUCUUUCUUUUUAGUUGAUAAAUAUGCAUAUAAGUAUUAAUUCACACAUCAGAAAAGAUUUUGCUAAAACAAAAUAAUUGACAUGCAGAUAGUGACUUCUUGAUAAGAGUAAUAGCUUAAGGGAGGAAAAUGAACACCUCCAGCAGCCCCAAAGUGGUAAGUUCCUUCAGAUCCCAUGUUGCUAUUCUGCAUUUCUUUGUGUUUUGGCAUCAGCCCUCUUAAUUAAUUCACUAUCCAGCUUCUCAAAUUCCUCGGAUUCUUCCCUUGUUCUUGUGGAAACAUCUGCAUCUUGUCCUUGCAUUGUUAUGGAUUGGUGAUUAUCAUUCUUUGAGAACUGUGUGGCAGCUGCUCGUGCACCAGCUAUGGCUGCAAGGAGACCUUCUGGUUUCUUGUCUUCAGCAGCUUUAGAGCCAUCAAAGCAAGAAACAAGUGAUCCUGGUUUCAAAGAGAGAGGAUCUUGUGGUUCUGGAAGCAGAAACUUGACAGGUAGUGGAGCUUGAACAGGACGAAGACCCCUAACUGCUGCCUCAUAUAUCUGCAACAAUUUCAGGGGGGAUAAGUAAUUAAAAAUCAGUCACUCUAUUGCAUUAGUUAGACUUGCUUUCAAUGCGAUAGCAAAGAAAGAAUCAUCAAUGAAAAAAGAAAAAAUAAAUGAAAAAGAACAAAAAGGAGAGGGAAAAAAAAAUGAUGGGUGCUCAAUUUGUACUUUUCUUUCCAGGUUAUAAAUACGUUGGUACCCGCGCAUCUCAAAUGGUAUGAUUAAUUUCUGCACCAGGUCAGGAGAACUAAGUCCAUCAAUAUACUAAAAAGAAAAUAUACCAAAAAGCAAGCAAAAAUGUUUAACCAUCUUGAGUGUCAAACUCUCCAAGAAACUAUAUACUAUUAGCUGAAUGAAAACACAUGCCUGUGGUUGCUCACAGAGCCAGCAAAACUCUGUUUGCGCUUCUAGCCUUACCUACAAAUAGAGUUUAGGUUAUCCAACCAAAAUGGAUAUACAUUACACAAAACAAACUGUACCUAAUCAGUUUACGAAGGGGACAGGGGGAAGUAAAAAGCAAAAGUAAAUUUCUAAGAUGCCCACCCCUUCAGGUACCUCCUUCCAGCACGCCAGCUCUUCACAUUUAACACAACCAACUACUUCAACACAACCUGUGGCAAGAAUAGAGCUUGUUGGAUUUAUUGUAGCAUGCCAUACAGAAAAACUUAGCAUUUCAGUAAGAAUAAGAAUAAGAGAGCUACUUUCCACUAAAAUACGAAUCACCCAUCAACUGUUGCAAACAGACAACAAUGUGGAUAACAGGUUUUAUAUAGAUAUAUAUAUAUAGAUAGAUAGAUAGAUAUAUAUAUAUAUAUAUAUAUAUAUAUAUAGAGAGAGAGAGAGAGAGAGAGAGAGAGAGAGAGAGAGAGAGAGAGUCAAAUAAUAAUAAAGGACAUAAAAAUAUUUCUUUGAAAAAGACUAAUUAGAAAGAAGAAACAAAGAACCCACAUGAAUUCAAUUUAGAUAAGAGAAAUACCUUCAAGAAUCUAGUUCUUUUUGCAAAUUGCAACUUAGACAUGGAAUGCCACAUAUUAUUAUAAGGUAUCACAAGAGAUUAUUGCUUCAUUUUUUUUCUUUGCCAGAUCAGUUUUAAUAAAUAUAAAUAUAAAAAUAUAAGCAUGUACACACACACGCACACACGCAAACACAUUAUGUGUGUAUGUUUAUGGAUAUGUAGAUAUAGGUUUUUAAUAAUAGAGCAUGAAAACAUAUCUAGUCAGGAAUUCCAAAAAUUCAAAACCAUUAGCAACACCUAACAGUCUUGAAACUGGGUAAUGUUCUGGAAACUUGAGGUCUGCUAUCCCAUUCACAGCAUAGAUCUCCCUGUAGAAAUUCUCCAUUGCUUUGAUUGUGUCUGAAUCUGGGACCUUACUAGCAGCAUGAAUCCAAAGUCGGCCUUCAUAAAACAAAAACAUGUAUAUUAAGAAAUAUCCUUGUAGAACAGUAACAUUUUUGCCAGCAUGCAAUUCGUGUUAAUAAUCCUUGGUUCUCACCACUCAUUGUACAUUACAAUGUAAAGACCUAAUAAGCCCUAAUAUAGGUACCUGUGCAGAGAGAGAGAGAGAGGAGGGGGGUGAAAGGAAAGAUGAUUAUAGAACAAAUACAAGUUGAAUCUCCUGAAAUAAUGUCCAUCAAGUUAUUUCCUAGCAACAAGUACUGAUUAUGCUUUUCCAAAAGUGUCAUUUUUAAUAAUUCAAUAAUGUAGAUACUUGAAUUUCGCAUUCACACAUACACACAAAUAUGUAUAUACACACAAGAUUAUGCACCACGUGAUCAGGGUGAAUGCUGGGAGGCGUGGUCCCAAUAAGAGGCACAUGGUCUCAGGUUCGAAUCCUGCAACUGAUGAUACCCUAAUUUACCCGGUGCUGAUUUUUACGGGCUCGUUCAGCACCCCGAGGUUUGGGUCCCCAUGGAGAGUCCUAAGGGCUUGGCCAUGGAAGGUUCCUCGAUUAUCAAAAAAAAAAAAGUUAAAUGAGGAGGUCACAUCAUUAGUAGCACCGCUACAAAUUGCAAACUGUUGAAUAUAAUGAAUUUAUAGUGUACAAUCUUUCCUUUUUUUUAAUAUAGGUCACAUGUAUGGUUGUUAGGACUCCUAGCCUUGUAUAUAUAUAUUUUCUCAAUUGUAAGUAGAUACUAUAUCAAUGAGAAUCAAGGUUUUCUUCUCUCUCUCUCUUAACAUGGUAUCAGAGCCAAGGGAGAAAACCUAAUUCUUUCCAAUUUCCCCGUGUCAUCAAUUCCGGGAAACCUUCCUGUGACCGUGUUUCAUUCCAGUCACCUUCCCCAGACCCCAAAGCUUUCCGAUCGGUCGAAUCGUUGUCAGAAAACAUUCACCGCCGACGACAUUUCCGGCGACGUCUUUUUCCAACACUGCAAGGAGCGCCUAGAAGAGAUCUCCAAUUUUUCCCAAAGCACCGAAGCCAGAAAACCACCCAUGCGUCGGCCACGUGCAUUUUUCCGACCGGCGACUGCAUCUCACGCGCCAGCACAUGAGGGCGCGUGAGCCACUUUCCGGCGACACGCUUCCUCCUCCAGCCUCGCCCGACGCCGACUAGCCACCCUUCAUACCUGUUUCUGCCAUCCGAGCCCUGCACGUGCCUCUUUUGGGGUUCUUUUGCCUCCGUCGGCCCUCCGAACAGUUUUUCCGGCGUCCUCCGGCUAUUUUUUCUCAACCCCAAUCCCUGCACGUGCCUUGGGAAGUGUUCUUCUACCUUUCCGGUGGUGCCACGGUUGUUUUUCUUUUCUAUUUGGUCUCUUACACGGGCGAUUCUUCAGUUUUUCCUUCUUCAGCAGCAUAUGAAGCCGUAUUAAGGCUCUCUUCGAUCCAAAUAUACUUCAUUCUCCAGAUAAGUGGAUAUGGCUACUAAAACUUCCAUUUUUUCCUCUGUCAUAUCUGGAUCUCCUAUGAUUACUUCAGAGAAAUUAGUUGGCAGUGAAAAUUAUCUUUCUUGGUCUGCCUCUGUUGAACUUUGGUUUAUGGGACAAGGAUAUGAGGAUCACUUAGUUACACAGGAGGCAGAUAUCCCUGAGGUUGAGCGCGUACAGUGGAGAAAGCUAGAUGCCCAGUUAUGUAGUGUAUUAUGGCAAUCAGUUGAUCCCAAUAUCCUUCUUCAUCUUCGGGCCUACAAAACUUGUUUUAAAUUUUGGACUCAGGCCAAAGGAUUAUACACGAAUGAUAUCCAGCGUCUUUAUAAGGUGGCUUCUGCUAUUAUCCAUAUCAGCCAACAGGACUUGGAUCUAUCUACUUAUAUUGGCCAGAUUGCCUCUCUUAAGGAGGAGUUUUUGACUGUGAUGCCUCUUACUCCUGAUGUUGGGGCUCAACAAACACAGCUUGAUAAGUUCUUCAUGGUCCUUACUCUUAUUGGCCUCCGUCCGGAUCUUGAGCCUGUACGCGAUCAAAUUCUUAGUAGUUCAUCAGUUCCGUCCUUGGAUGAUGUGUUUGCUCGCCUCCUUCGUAUCUCGUCCACUCAGACUUUGCCAUCUGAUAGCAUUUCAGAUUCUUCUGUGUUAGUUUCUCACACUACCUCUCGAGGAGGACGCAGUGGUAACCAAGGUAGAGGCCAACGUCCUCAUUGCACCUAUUGCAAUUGUUGAAUAUAAUGUAUGUAUAGUAUACUAUCUUUCCUUGUUAAUAUAGGUCACAUGUAUGGUAGUUAGGACUCCUAGCCUUGUAUAUAUAUAUAUCUCUCAAUUGUAAGUAAAGAUUACAAUGAAUGAGAAUAAGGUUUUUCUCCUCUCUCUCUCUCUCUCUCUCUCAACAUGGUAUCAGAGCCAAAGGAGAAAACCUAAUUUUUCGGUUUAGCCGUGUACUCAAUUUCGGCGAACCGUCCAGUGACCAUGUUUUCACUCCGGUCCCCUCACUCUCUUUCCGAACCACCCCGGACAACCUCAUCGUCGUCGGAUCUCCACCACGCCGGCAACCUUUUCCGGCGAAAUUUUCCGGCGACCUUUUUUCCGGGCAAAGACCACAUAUUCCGAACCGCCGGAGGCUGAUCUACACGCCAGUGGAAACCCCACCGGCAACCGGCAUCUCACGCACCCCCACGCGCCGCCCUUCUCCUCCGGACUAUCACCCACGCGCCGGCGCGUGACGGCGCGUGGCUCACUUUCCGGCCACUUCUGACACCUCUCCAGGCUCGUCCGGCGCCGUCUUGGCCUUCUAGCCCUCCGGCAGUCCUCCCCGAGCCCUGCAUCUCCAUUUUUUCCCUGUUUUUGGCUUUCUUGCCAUUCCGGCCACCUCCGACAGGGCUCCCCCUCCAUCCCCGAGGCUUGGGUGUUGCUUCUCUUCCUCUCCAGGCACGUCACGACCUUUUUUUCUCCAUUGAUUGCACCUCUCACAGCCGUGGUUUCACUGUUUUUCUCUCUCCGCCGAAAUCUGAACCCAUCUUAGGGCUCUCUUCGAUCCAAAUACGUGAAUAUGACCACCAAAAAUCAGAUCUUUACGUCUGUUCUCUCUAGAUCUCCUCUGAUUACCUCAGAGAAAUUGGUUGGCAGUGAGAAUUAUCUCUCCUGGUCUGCCUCUGUUGAACUUUGGUUUAUGGGUCAAGGAUAUGAGGAUCACUUGGUUACCCAGGAGGCAGAUAUCCCUGAGGUUGACCGCGUACAGUGGAGGAAGAUAGAUGCACAGUUGUGUAGUGUAUUAUGGCAAUCGGUUGAUCCCCGGAUUCUUCUUCAUCUUCAGGCCUAUAAAACUUGUUUUAAAUUUUGGACUCAGGCCAAAGGAUUAUACACGAAUGAUAUUCAGCGUCUUUAUAAGGUGGCUUCUGCUAUUGUCUAUCUCAGCCAACAGGACUUGGAUCUAUCUACUUAUAUUGGUCAGAUUGCCUCUCUUAAGGAGCAGUUCUUGACUGUGAUGCCUCUUACUCCUGAUGUUGGGGCUCAACAAACACAGCUUGACAAGUUCUUCAUGGUCCUUACUCUUAUUGGCCUCCGUCCGGAUCUUGAGCCUAUUCGUGAUCAGAUUCUUGGUAGUUCAUCAGUUCCGUCCUUAGAUGAUGUGUUUGCUCGCCUCCUCCGUAUCUCGUCCACUCAGACUUUGCCAUCUGAUAGCGCUUCAGAUUCUUCUGUGUUAGUUUCUCAAACUACCUCUCGAGGAGGACGCAGUGGUACCCGAGGUAGAGGCCAACGUCCUCAUUACACCUAUUGCAAUAAACUUGGCCACACUCGCGAUCGUUGCUAUCAGUUACAUGGAAGACCUCCUCGCACUGCCCAUAUGGCCCAGUCCUCUGAUUCUCCGCUGCCUUAGCCUUCGAGCUCCUCCGCAUCUCAGACAUCUCAGGCUUCUAUUGCCUCUGUUGCCCAGCCUGGUAAUGCCUCUGCCUGCCUUACCCACACAUCUUCUCUUGGACCCUGGAUUCUAGAUUCUGGAGCAUCUGAUCACCUAUCUGGUAAUAAGGAUCUUUUCUCCUCUAUUACUACUACCUCUGAUUUACCUACUAUUACCUUAGCUAAUAGUUCUCAAACUGUGGCUAAAGGUAUUGGUUUGGCCCUUCCUCUGCCUUCUCUACCUCUCACUUCUGUCCUUUAUACUCCUGAAUGUCCUUUUAAUCUUAUUUCCAUCAGCAAAAUCACUCGUACUCUUAAUUGUUCUAUUACCUUUUCUGAUAAAUUUGUGACCUUGCAGGACCGGAGUACGGGGAAGACGAUUGGCAUAGGACGUGAGUCUCAAGGCCUCUAUCACCUCACCUCAGAUUCAUCUCCUGCAGUUUGCAUUUCCACUGAUGCUCCUCUCCUCAUUCACAAUCGUCUGGGCCACCCUAGUCUCUCCAAGUUCCAGAAGAUGGUUCCUCGUUUUUCAACUUUGUCGUCGCUUCCGUGUGAGUCAUGUCAGCUUGGGAAACAUACUCGUGUCUCGUUCCCAAAGCGUUUGAAUAAUCGGGCAAAGUCUCCUUUUGAGCUUGUCCACACUGAUGUUUGGGGUCCUUGUCGGACUGCGUCUACUUUAGGAUUUCAGUAUUUUGUCACUUUCAUUGAUGACUAUUCUCGAUGUACUUGGUUAUUUUUAAUGAAAAAUCGAGCUGAGUUAUUCUCUAUUUUCCAGAAAUUUUAUACUGAAAUCCAAACCCAGUUCAAUAUUUCUAUUCGUGUGUUACGCAGUGACAAUGCCAGGGAAUAUUUUUCAGCCCAAUUUACUUCGUUUAUGUCUCAUCAUGGGAUUCUUCAUCAGUCUUCUUGUGCUCAUACUCCUCAACAAAAUGGGGUAGCUGAACGCAAGAAUCGACAUCUUGUUGAGACAGCUCGUACUCUCCUCCUCCAUAGUCAUGUUCCUUUUCGCUUUUGGGGGGACGCUGUUCUUACCGCUUGUUAUUUGAUUAAUCGUAUGCCCUCCUCUGUCUUACACGAUCAGAUUCUUCACUCCCUUCUUUUCCCUGACCAACCACUUUAUUUCCUUCCUCCUCGUGUCUUUGGUUGUACUUGCUUUGUUCAUAUUCUCACUCCUGGACAGGACAAGCUUUCCGCCAAAGCCAUGAAGUGCCUCUUCUUGGGAUAUUCCAGACUUCAGAAGGGUUAUCGUUGUUAUUCCCUUGAGACUCAUCGGUACUUUAUCUCCGCUAAUGUCACCUUCUUUGAGGACUCACCAUUCUUUUCCACCACUUCUGAGUCUCUUCCUGUUUCUGAAGUCUUGCCCAUUCCCAUUGUCUCCCCACCUGAUGCUAUGCCCCCUCGACCACUUCAGGUUUAUCAUCGUCGCCCUCGUGUCGUUGCUCCUCUCCCUUUUCCUGAGGCACCUGCUGACUCACUUCCUAUCCCUUCAGCUUCACCUGCCCCGGCUCUGCCUUCUCCUAAUGACUUACCUAUUGCUGUUCGGAAAAGUACUCGCUCUACUCGUAAUCCUCAUCCUAUUUACAAUUUUUUGAGUUAUCAUCGAUUAUCUUCACCCUAUUCUGCUUUUGUUUCUGCUAUAUCCUCUGUUUCUCUUCCAAAGAGCACCCAUGAAGCUCUUUCCCAUCCAGGCUGGCGACAGGCAAUGGUGGAUGAAAUGGCUGCUCUGCACUCUAAUGGCACUUGGGAUCUUGUUGUUUUACCCUCUGGUAAAUCUACAGUUGGUUGUCGUUGGGUCUAUGCAGUUAAGGUUGGUCCUGAUGGUCAGGUUGAUCGCCUUAAGGCCCGUUUAGUUGCUAAAGGCUAUACUCAAGUUUAUGGUUCUGAUUAUGGUGACACAUUCUCCCCUGUUGCCAAGAUUGCUUCUGUCCGCUUGCUUCUCUCCAUGGUUGCUAUGUGUUCUUGGCCUCUUUAUCAGUUGGAUAUUAAAAAUGUCUUCCUUCAUGGUGAUCUUGCCGAGGAAGUUUAUAUGGAGCAACCUCCUGGUUUUGUUGCUCAGGGGGAGUCUGGUUUAGUGUGCAGGUUACGUCGUUCUCUAUAUGGCUUGAAACAAUCUCCUCGAGCAUGGUUUAGCCGUUUUAGUUUUGUUGUUCAAGAGUUUGGCAUGCUUCGCAGUACAGCAGACCAUUCAGUUUUUUAUCAUCAUAACUCCUUGGGGCAGUGUAUUUAUCUGGUUGUUUAUGUGGACGACAUCGUCAUUACAGGCAGUGAUCAGGAUGGUAUUCAAAAACUAAAGCAACAUCUUUUUACCCACUUUCAGACCAAAGACUUGGGGAAACUCAAGUAUUUCUUGGGAAUUGAGAUAGCUCAAUCCAGUUCCGGUGUGGUCCUUUCCCAAAGGAAGUAUGCUUUAGACAUCCUGGAAGAAACCGGUAUGUUAGACUGUAAACCGGUAGACACACCUAUGGAUCCGAAUGUCAAACUUGUACCAGGACAGGGGGAGCCUUUAGGAGACCCCGGGAGAUAUCGACGGCUCGUAGGUAAAUUGAACUAUCUCACCAUUACUCGUCCAGACAUUUCUUUUCCUGUGAGUGUUGUUAGUCAAUUCCUACAGUCACCAUGUGAUAGCCAUUGGGAUGCCGUAAUCCGUAUCCUUCGAUAUAUCAAAAGUACACCAGGCCAAGGUGUAUUGUACGAGAACAGAGGUCAUACUCAAGUUGUUGGUUACACAGAUGCAGAUUGGGCUGGCUCACCCACAGAUAGACGUUCCACUUCAGGGUACUGUGUUUUUAUUGGAGGUAAUCUAAUAUCUUGAAAGAGUAAGAAACAAGAUGUAGUGGUCAGAUCUAGCGCUGAAGCCGAGUAUCGAGCUAUGGCUUUGGCAACAUGUGAACUCAUAUGGUUGAGACAUCUUCUUCAGGAGUUGAGAUUUGGAAAGGAUGAACAGAUGAAACUCAUCUGUGAUAACCAGGCCGCAUUACAUAUUGCAUCCAAUCCAGUCUUUCAUGAAAGGACCAAGCAUAUUGAAGUUGAUUGUCAUUUCAUUAGAGAGAAGAUCGCAUCAGGAUGUGUUGCUACAAGUUUUGUCAAUUCAAAUGAUCAACUAGCAGACAUCUUCACUAAAUCUCUCAGAGGUCCUAGGAUUAAAUAUAUUUGUAACAAGCUUGGUGCAUAUGACGUAUAUGCUCCAGCUUGAGGGGGAGUGUUAAAUAUAAUGUAUGUAUAGUAUACUAUCUUUCCUUGUUAAUAUAGGUCACAUGUAUGGUAGUUAGGACUCCUAGCCUUGUAUAUAUAUAUCUCUCAAUUGUAAGUAGAGAUUACAAUGAAUAAGAAUAAGGUUUUUCUCCUCUCUCUCUCUCUCUCUCUCUCUCUCAACAGCAAUAAACUUGGCCACACUCGCGAUCGUUGCUAUCAGUUACAUGGACGGCCUCCUCGCACUACCCAUGUGGCCCAGUCCUCUGAUUCUCAGCUGCCUCAGCCUCCGAGCUCCUCCGCAUCUCAGGCAUCUCAGGCUUCUGUUGCCUCUGUUGCCCAGCCUGGUAAUGCUUCUGCCUGCCUUACCCACACAUCUUCUCUUGGACCCUGGAUUCUAGAUUCUGGAGCAUCUGAUCACCUAUCUGGUAAUAAGGAUCUUUUCUCCUCUAUUACUACUAUCUCUGCUUUACCUACUGUUACCUUAGCUAAUGGUUCUCAAACUGUAGCUAAAGGUAUUGGUUUGGCCCUCCCUCUGCCUUCUCUACCUCUCACUUCUGUUCUUUAUACUCCUGAAUGUCCUUUUAAUCUUAUUUCCAUCAACAAAAUCACUCGUACUCUUAAUUGCUCUAUUACCUUUUCUAAUAAAUUUGUGACCUUGCAGGACCGGAGUACGGGGAAGACGAUUGGCAUAGGACGUAAGUCUCAAGGCCUCUAUCACCUCACCUCGGAUUCAUCUCCUGCAGUUUGCAUUUCCAUUGAUGCUCCUCUCCUCAUUCACAGUCGUUUGGGUCACCCUAGUCUCUCCAAGUUCCAGAAGAUGGUUGAUUACUACUCAAAACAUGCUAUUUUGUAGCUUGUAAUUAGCUCUUUUAAACACCAUUGAGUAGUAAUUAUUACCUUUUAACCCAAUUAGCAUGUUAGGAGCCCUUGCAAUCGUUUCUAACAAUUGUGUUAAGUUUUGGUGCUUUUUGAUAGCUUUAUGCUCACCAAAGCAAUUUAAGAAUGAAAGAGAGCUAUUUGUAGUUCAGGGCAAAGCUUUUGAAAGCUUAAAUUUAUGAAGAAAUCAAGCUAUGGAGCCUCAUAAUCCUUUGCCUUAAUCGUUCAAAGUUUACAAGGGAGAAACAAUGGAGAAGAAGAAAACAGGGGAUGAAAACAGGGGACACAGCUGCAGUCUUUUAGUGCACUUUUGGAGCACUUCCCAAAGUCCAUUCUUUACAUUCUAUAUACCAUUUCGAAGCUCAGAAAGUCAAGAAUCCAAUGGUUCAAACCACGUAUGAUUUGGAGCUGAAAUGAGGAAGUUAUGGACUUCGGAAGACAACAGCAUCAAGCUGAGGGACAAUUUCGCACACCACUGUUUAAGGUGCGAAAUCCUCAGUCCACUGUGCGAGAAUUUCGCACACCUCAAACCAACAUGCGAAAUUGGAACUCAGCAUGCGAAAAUUGGAUAUUUUUGCCGACUCUUUUUCUUCUGAUAUUUUUGUGUUUAAAGUUCCAUUUUCUCCUUGUAUUCAACCAACCAUGUAAUUCCUUAGCUAGGAAGUAUCCAAGGAAGGGUAAAACUACCUUCCUAUAUAAAUUCUCUUGUAAUCACUGAAAAUAUAUCUUUCGGGGAGCUUUCUCCAGGAGACCAACUAUUGUAAAUUUGUUACUUAGUGAAAUACAGAGAUCUCUUUUACUUUCUUUUCUCUUCUAUUUUCUAUUUUCUUGCAAGCCAAACACCCUCUGAGGAUGUUUUCCCAGAGGAUGAGAGGCUAAACAUUUAGUUUCUUGGAGUGAAGGAAGCUAGGUGAAAAGUCCAGAUUAAAAGGUGGAAAGUUUCCGUGCAUUGAAUUCAGGUGGUUGGAGUCCAUAAAUGGCUUUUAAAGCCAAGGUUUUGCCUUAAAUCCCUUAGGAUCACUUUGACUGGCCAAUACAUGGUAAGCUUAAGGUCUCUGUGGAUGCUUAUUGCUAGAUCCAUAUCAGUCCAUUAGUUAUCAUGUACGAGCCAUUGGAAAGUGAUUCAAGGUGAUAGCCCAUAGUGUCUUAAGCCAUUAAUGGACCUUGACUACCAUCUCUAGUGACUUUUUAUGGAUUAAAACUUCAUUGUCAAACCUAUACCGGUUCGGGAAAUAACUAUAGGUUAAAUCCCCAAUGCGAGGAGAAAAAUCCGGAAUUUUCCACUUUGCAUCUGGAACUUAAACCUAGCAACCUUUAGCUCUGGGAGACUUUCUUUCUUCUACCUUUUUACUUAGUUCUAUGUGAGUUUAGUUUAAAUUACCACUUUCAAAACAAUUUUAUUUUCUUUUAAAUUUCAAGUUUGUGCUAAAGGAAAUCAUCAGAAUCAAUUUCUAAUUUAGAGUCUAUCAUUGGUAGAGUGAAAACCCAUCCCUGAGUUCGACCCUAGAACCACUAUAUUAUAGUAGCUUUGCUACGCCAGUAUAAGGUCAUAGGUUUUAUAAAUGUUUUUGAUUAAAAGAUCCGGCUGGGAAGUCAAGCAACACAGCAAUCAAUGGUCCCUCGUUUUUCCACUUUGUCGUCGCUUUCGUGUGAAUCAUGUCAGCUUGGGAAACAUACUCGUGUCUCGUUCCCAAAGCGUUUGAAUAAUCGGGCAAAGUCUCUUUUUGAGCUUGUCCACACUGAUGUUUGGGGUCCUUGUCGGACUGCGUCUACUUUAGGAUUUCAGUAUUUUGUCACUUUCAUUGAUGACUAUUCUCGAUGUACUUUGUUAUUUUUAAUGAAAAAUCGAGCUGAGUUAUUCUCUAUUUUCCAGAAAUUUUAUACUAAAAUCCAAACCCAGUUCAAUAUUUCUAUUCGUGUGUUACGCAGUGAUAAUGCCAGGGAAUAUUUUUCAGCCCCAUUUACUUCAUUUAUGUCUCAUCAUGGGAUUCUUCAUCGGUCUUCUUGUGCUCAUACUCCUCAACAAAAUGGGGUAGCUGAACGCAAGAAUCGACAUCUUGUUGAGACAGCUCGUACUAUCCUCCUCCAUAGUAAUGUUCCUUUUCGUUUUUGGGGGGACGUUGUUCUUAGCGCUUGUUAUUUGAUUAAUCGUAUGCCCUCCUCUGUUUUACAUGAUCAGAUUCCUCAUUUCCUUCUUUUCCCUGACCAACCACUUUAUUUCCUUCCUCCUCGUGUCUUUGGUUGUACUUGCUUUGUUCAUAUUCUCACUCUUGGACAGGACAAGUUUGCCACCAAAGCCAUGAAGUGCCUCUUCUUAGGAUAUUCCAGACUUCAGAAGGGUUAUCGUUGUUAUUCCCUUGAGACUUAUCGAUACUUUAUCUCCGCUGAUGUCACUUUCUUUGAGGAUUCACCAUUCUUUUCCACCACUUCUGAGUCUCUUCCUGUUUCUGAAGUCUUGCCCCUUCCCAUUGUCUCCCCAUCUGAUGUUGUGCCUCCUCGACCACUUCAGGUUUAUCAUCGUCGCCCUCGUGUCGCUGCUCCUCUCCCUUUUGCUGAGGAACUUGCUGACUCACUUCCUAUCCCUUCGGCUUCUCCUGCCCCGGCUCUGCCUUCUCCUGAUGAUUUACCCAUUGCUAUUCAGAAAGGUACUCGCUCUACUCGUAAUCCUCAUCCUAUUUACAAUUUUUUGAGUUAUCAUCGAUUAUCUUCACCCUAUUCUGCUUUUGUUUCUGCUAUAUCCUCUAUUUCUCUUCCAAAGAGCACCCAUGAAGCUCUUUCCCAUCCAGGCUGGCGACAGGCAAUGGUGGAUGAAAUGGCUGCUCUGCACUCUAAUGGCACUUAGGAUCUUGUUGUUUUACCCUCUGGUAAAUCUACAGUUGGCUAUCGUUGGGUCUAUGCAGUUAAGGUUGGUCCUGAUGGUCAAGUUGAUCGCCUUAAGGCCCGCUUAGUUGCUAAAGGUUAUACUCAGGUUUAUGGUUCUGAUUAUGGUAACACAUUCUCCCCUGUUGCCAAGAUUGCUUCUGUCCGCUUGCUUCUCUCCAUGGAUGCUAUGUGUUCUUGGCCUCUUUAUCAGUUGGAUAUUAAAAAUGUCUUCCUUCAUGGUGAUCUUGCCAAGGAAGUUUAUAUGGAGCAACCUCCUGGUUUUAUUGCUCAGGGGGAGUCUGGUUUAGUGUGCAGGUUAUGUUGUUCUCUACAUGGCUUGAAACAAUCUCCUCGAGUAUGAUUUGGUCGUUUUAGUUCUGUUGUUCAAGAGUUUGGCAUGCUUCGCAGUACAGCAGACCAUUCAAUUUUCUAUCAUCAUAACUCCUUGGGAUAGUGUAUUUAUCUGGUUGUUUAUGUGGACGACAUCGUCAGUACAGGCAGUGAUCAGGAUGGUAUUCAAAAACUAAAGCAACAUCUUUUUACCCACUUUCAGACCAAAGACUUGGGGAAACUCAAGUAUUUCUUGGGAAUUGAGAUAGCUCAAUCCAGUUCCGGUGUGGUCCUUUCCCAAAGGAAGUAUGCUUUAGACAUCCUGGAAGAAACUGGUAUGUUAGACUGUAAACCGAUAGACACACCUAUGGAUCCGAAUGUCAAACUUGUACCAGGACAGGGGGAGCCUUUAGGAGACCCUGGGAGAUAUCGACAGCUCGUAAGUAAAUUGAACUAUCUCACCAUUACUCGUCCAGACAUUUCUUUUCCUGUGAGUGUUGUUAGUCAAUUCCUACAGUCACCAUGUGAUAGCCAUUGGGAUGUCGUAAUCCGCAUUCUUCGAUAUAUCAAAAGUACACCAGGCCAAGGUGUGUUGUACGAGAACAGAGGUCAUACUCAGGUUGUUGGUUACACAGAUGCAGAUUAGGCUGGCUCACCCACAGAUAGACGUUCCACUUCAGGGUACUGUGUUUUUAUUGGAGGUAAUCUAAUAUCUUGGAAGAGUAAGAAACAAGAUGUAGUGGUCAGAUCUAGUGCUGAAGCUGAGUAUCGAACUAUGGCUUUGGCAACAUGUGAACUCAUAUGGUUGAGACAUCUUCUUCGAGAGUUGAGAUUUGGAAAGAAUGAAUAGAUGAAACUCAUCUGUGAUAACCAGGCCGCAUUACAUAUUGCAUCCAAUCCAGUCUUUCAUGAAAUGACCAAACAUAUUGAAGUUGAUUGUCACUUCAUUAGAGAGAAGAUCGCAUCAGGAUGUGUUGUUACAAGUUUUGUUAAUUCAAAUGAUCAACUAGUAGACAUCUUCACUAAAUCUUUCAUAGGUCCUAAGAUUAAAUACAUUUGUAACAAGCUCGGUGGAUAUGACGUAUAUGCUCCAGCUUGAGGGGGAGUGUUGAAUAUAAUAAAUUUAUAGUGUACAAUCUUUCCUUUUUUUUAAUAUAGGUCACAUGUAUGGUAGUUAGGACUCCUAACCUUGUAUAUAUAUAUUUUCUCAAUUGUAAGUAGAUACUAUAUGAAUGAGAAUCAAGGUUUUCUUCUCUCUCUCUCUUAACACAAACCUAUGCACCUCACUACCAAUAACAGUGCCUACUAUCAGUUUUUCUACAAUUGCUAGUUUGACAACAUAGAGAAUACAUGUUAUCUCCAACUCAAUUCAUGAGAGAGCAUUCAUAUUGUGCUAUAAAUGAAGGGUGGGAUACAUCAACAUGCUAAGGUGAGCAAUGAGAACUCACUUUCCCACCUUCAAUUGAUGGCUUCUCUACCUUUCUCUUACUCCAUCAAGAGGAUAUUUCUAAUGGUUGGUUCUACACAGUGAUAAAAACUGAUUUCAUUGAUGCUGAACAAUUGAGAUUACAUUAGGAUAUAUACACAGCUGUUAGUAUGUUCUAGGAAACUACAAAUUCUAUCUAUCCAUAAUUCUAGGGUCAAUGACAUAUAUACAGCUCUUAAUCUAUUCCAGGAUAUUACAUAUCCAAUCUAUGCAUAAUUCUAGUGUCAACAACAGCCUACAUGUUUUCUGGAUCAUUACAAUUAAAGACAAAAUACAUAUAAGGAAAGAUAAAAAAAAUUAAUAUGGCAGAAUUUCAACACACACCCCUCCAAAAGGGGUUUGCCCAGUCAAGCUAUCAUUGUAUCAAGAGAGCUUCUCCACUUUCACUGAAUUCUCAGAGGCAUGCCACCCAGAUGCAUCAUGCCAACCCAAAUCAAGAGUAGUGCUAGGGAAGCCCAAAUGAGCUUGGUGCACAUUGGUGAUGGACUUACCCUCCCCCGUCAUCAAGAAUACAGGAUGGUUCAAUGGUUUCGGUUUAGAAGCUACAAUUGGAGGUCCACCAAGGCAAAAUUAAGCCAAAUAUCGUUGAUCUUGUUUCUGCCUAAUUAGGAUGGAGAGGGCCCACUUAGCAAGACACAUGUAGUUGCUAUUACAUGCUUCUCCAAUGAAUCCAUCAAGUGCACACACGAUAGCAUGUGCAGUCCACCUAUCAUACUCGAAAAGGAAAGAAGCCCCACUUUGGCCCCAUAUUCACAAGGGUUUAUAUUUGUGUUCAACAUGGCACUCCACUCAUUUUCAACUAACCAUGUAACCAAAAAAAAAAAAAAAACCAAGAAAAAAAUAAUCAUAGGGAACAUUUGAGAAUUAAGAAUUUGUUUCUUUUAAUGAGUUGGGCAUGCCCAGCAAGCAUCCACCAGAUAAGAGGAAUAAUAGGCAUUGAACAAAUCCAUGCAAACCUUGCAUCAUGUUUGACAUGAGUAUUUCAUGCACUUUGAAGUUUCCAAAUAAUAUUCAUGUAGGACAGUAGAAAGAAACGAAUGUAGAGAAGAGAGAGAGAAGUAGAAGAGAGGAUUCUAAGUAAUUAUAAAUAUUAUUGUUAAAAAGUUUCCAGUUUUUAACAUCACUGGGCCCAUGAUAGAUGGACAAUCAUAACUCUAGUAGGAAACUAAUUUUAAUAAUCCUACCUCCAACAAAACUUUAUCACUAAUAAUACUAACCCUAAAACAAAUAUUAAAUAAAAAAAAAAUAUCAUCACUUCCCAUAUUUGCAUCUAAUCUAAGUGUGUAAUUUAACAUCUUUAUCUCUAUCAUUUUCUCUCAUUUGAAAAUAACUUGAUUCUGGUAAAUUGUAUUUGCAAACAUUGAUCUAAAAGAUCAAGAUCCAAUCGACAAAACUCCUCAUUAGUAAUUCAAGUAUGAUUAAUAGGAGGACCUUUCCAUUGAAUGAGGAAGUGUUGACCACCACUAGAUGGGAAAGUAACACACCCUUAUAGUUUUAAAAAGAGCAAGGCACACCUAAGGUGCCAAAGUUUCCUACAGCUUAGGUGCAAGGCACAACACAAGGUGCGCGCCUAAGUGAAGUGAAACGUGACCUAGGAUGCAUAUCAAUUUUCUAAAUAUGAUCCAAAAUCUAAUCCAAUCAAUAAAAUACUUAAGAUUUAAUAUUUAAAAGAAGCAUUCAAUAAAAAAUUAAUGAAAUUAUAUAAAUUCCAAUAUAUAGUUAGAAAUUUCAAGAAUAAAAGUAUUUAAAAAGUAAAAUAAAGUAGACAAGGCGCGUCUCUCAAACAAGGUGCAUACCUUGGCAAGUGACCCAUGAUAACAAGGGAGUGGUUGUGCCUCGGGUCUAAGUGCACCUUUCAAGACUAUGAACACACCAAUCCACUAAUAAAUCCACAAUCACAUUAGUUAGCACCAAUAAAACAAAGGAGCAAGAAGCACCAAAUUGGAGGAAGGCUCUACAGAAACAGAAGAAGGUAAAACUCGAGGCUUGAAUGUGCCUCAAUAUGGAAAUAAAUUUGCCACACCGAAAAUUGGACUUACAAUUCUGUGUGAUGGCAAAUCAAGUAAAUAUACAUUAGAUCCAAGUAAUUGAAUGAUAGGGAAUGGGCCAAGUCAGUGGACAAGAAGUUUCUUAAUGGAAUUUUUAGGUAACGCUUAGGACAAAUGAAACCAUAGCAUAACCACUAAACUAUUUAUACCUAUGAUGUGCAUCAAUAGCAAAUUUAUAAUCUUCACUAAAGGCAAUUUUUCAUUAUAUCUCAACAUGUAAGUCACAAAUAUGGUCCUAAGUAGAAUCAGAAGGAUAGUAAUCAAUUGGCAAAGGAACAAAAUCAAUGGGUUGACGAGGCAAAAAACCAUUAACAACUUCAAAAUGACUUUUUGUUGUGGACCGAUUAACCGAGUUAUUAUAAGCAAACUCAGCAAUAGGUAAAACAAGAUACGAAUUGCCAAGUUUCCCACCAACUUGGCACCUAAGCAAGUUAAUCAAAUAAUGAUUAACAACUUUUAUCUGACAGUCUAUUUGAGGAUAGAAAGCAAACGAAUACUUCAAAGUAGUAUCAAACAAUUUUCAAAGUGACUUCCAAAAAUAGCUAAGGAACUUGACAUCCCUAUCACACACUAUUAGAAGGCAAACCACUUAACCUUCAAUUUCAUUCAAAAAUAGCAUUGCCACAUAAGAAGCAUCAAUGGUCUUAGAACACGGGAUAAAAUGGGUCAUCUUAGAAAAUCUAUCCACAAUUGCCAAAAUGGAAUCAUGACCUCUAGUAGUCUUUGACAAUCCUAAGACAAAAUCCAUGCUAAGAUGACACCAAUGUGCACUUAUGUUAGGCAUAAAUAUAAGACGUCAUAAUAUUUUAUUUUAUUAUUUACUAUUUAUUAAGGGUAAUUAUUAUUUAGUGAUAAAAAUUUAUUAGAGUUAUUAAAAUUAGUUUCCUACAAGAAUUAGGAUUAUUUAUCUGUAUAUAAGCCUAGUGAUGUUAAACACUAGAGACUAUUGAUCAAUAAUAUUUAUAAUUAUUUGGAAUUCCCUCUUCUAAUCCUAUUUCUCUCCUCCAUAUUCUUUACUCGCAAUUUUAAGGAAUGUUUCCUCAAUAAGGCUAAAGAGCAGCUUAAUAUACAUAUGCAACCCACACCAACAUUGGCAAAUAUCUGUAGCAAUAGCCACUAGCCAGUUCUUCUUGAUUGGUUUAAGCUCAAAAAAAGAAUGGUGCACAACUUUCCUAGCUUCACAAGAACCCUAAUUGAUUGCUCUAAGCUCAAAAAAGUAGUGUGCACAGUUUUCCCACGUUCAGAAGAACACUCACUGAUUGCUUUAAACUCAAAUAAAGAAUUAUGCAUAUUUUUCCUAUCUUCUCAAGAACACUCACAAUAUCUAGUAGAAAAUGAAAUAGUGGAACUUUCAUGGCUUCUUUGGCUCAAGGGGUUCAUGCCCUCACCUGAAAAAUCAAAACAAAACACCAAAAAGAUCAUGGUUUGAUUGAUCCGCAAGAGCCAAAUUUGCUUGCCACCCAACUAAACAAUGCAGUUGUAUUAAAUUUUUCCUCCACUGAAAUAAAUCUCAUUCUUUUCCACCUCCCACCUCACCUGCCCUAGAAUGAAUUCUUGGCUCUGCCACUGUCCUUGGUCCUUAGGAGCUAAAACCCAUGCAAAUCUCCUAGUAUCAAAUCCUAUAAAUUUGCUGGUGGGGUGGUGGUUGCAUUUUCAAAACUGAGUUUCCUAGGUGUUAUCAUAUCCGAAAAUCAAGAAUAUGAACUAUGGAAACAAACUACAGUGAGUCUAGAAACACAGAAAUCAGCAUGAGCAAUCAAUAUGGCCUAACAGGACUGCUAAAAACUUAGAACUAGCUUAGGGCAUAUUUGCAAACAUAUUCACAGAAAAACAGCUUCUAAUGACCAAAACUUAUGCCAGUAGCCUAUGAUAGGUGAGAGAUUUCAAGGGCUACAAUAGAUCAUGAAAAUGUGAAGUAACCUGAACCAAUAGCUCUCCUUCAAACUCAAUAGCGACCCAACCAAAGCAGCAGAAUAGCCAGUAAUUACAGCAUAACUUUAGACACUAUUUUGAACAGCUAAUAGCAUAUCCUUCUCCUUUUCUAUCAACAUUUCUGCAAUCAGAGUGGACACACUGCAGUCCAACGCAAUUCUCAAGUCAACAAAACCUUUGCCCCAGUUGUUUUUGUUACGCCACUUGAAUCCCAAUUAACAAUUCCACUUUACACAACGCCCACUCUCCCAAAAACCAUACCCAGAUCACCAAUAUGCCUUUCCUCUCCUAUCUUGCCCUUACGCAAAUAAUUAGCUUAGAGCUUUCUUUGAAGUCUAAAAAAAGAGGUUAUUGUACGCCUGAUCACUAUUAAACUCUGUUUUGAAUUAAAGGGUCUUUGCAUAUUCAAGAGUCACCAACAGGUUGAAGACUCAAAUUCUUGAAUUUUCAGGAUGAAUUGAGAAUGAUGUGGGACAACCAAACAUGGGGCGUUGCCGAAAUUACCUCUGAGAGGAGCAGGCCACGAUCGUCCUUCGACGCGCUUAAUACCAUAAACCAACAAUGAAGCCCAUGGUUGAUGCAACGUGAGACAUGGGUUUGUGUAGUUGCCCUUACUGCGACUUCCCAUUUGCCCUCUUCACAAAUUCUGAUUGCUGGCAGAUUGGCCUCCUGGUACUUUGCACAACACAUCUAUGGAACACCCCCGUUCCUUGAGCCUUAGGUUGCAUUUGGCACCUAAAAAAUAUUAAUGGAAAUGGGAUUAAAUGAAUCACUCUAGAAGAAACGAAUCAAAAUCCAAUAAAAAUAGGAUUUGAUUUCUAUAGCAAUCAGAUUAAAACAAUCCAAACACAUUAAUAAAUAAAUGGAAAUGAUAUUAAUUUUUUGUUAAAAUAAUUUAUUAAAAGGGAUGAAAUAUAAAUAUUUCUCAUAUUUAUCAAUUAUCCAUUCUCAUAUAUUUAUUUAAAAAGUACCCAUUUUUGACAUAAAUAUAUUUUAUUAUUUCAAAUAUUUACAAUAUGUUUUAAAAUAAAUUGUUGUUUUUACAAGAAAAUAAUAAAGACAUUUUUAUCAAAAUAAAGUCAAAAAAUAAUAAAGGGUUAAACUUUCAAAUUUAGGUUUCUAAUGACAAUUUUAAUUAAAUAACUUCUUUUUAUUUCCAAUUAUUCCAAAUAUAAUCAUACGGUACUAUAAUCUAUUAUAAAUUUAUUUUACUAUGUUUUUUUUUUUUUGGUCAAAUCAUUUGAGGCCUUCUAUCUAUUAAAGUAUGAAAUUUUGGUUUAAAGUUAGGUAAAUGUUUAAUUCUUAUCAUUCCUUCUUCCAUGUUGAAAAAAAAAAUAAGAAGAAGGAAUUCUAUGAGUGGAGUAUUUUAUAAGGUGUAUGUUAGCAUUAGCCAUUGACCUAAAAUUUAUUGAGAUAUAAUAUAUUGCAUAUAUAUAUUACCAUUAUUUUAUCCAGUGGUAUAUGUCAUAUCAUAUUUAUAUUUAAUUUAUGAAAAAAAAAACAUAUUAUUUUUUAAUUUUAAUGUUCAAUAAUUUGUUUAAAAUGAAAAUUAAAUCAUGCCUUAGUAUUUAUGAUUAAAAAAUAUGAAAUUUCUCAUAUAUUUAAUAUUAUUUAAAAAUCAUUUUAUAAUAAGUAAUUUUUAUUUCUUAAUUAGUAAUAUUCAUGAUUAAAAUAUUUAAAAUUUAUAAAUUAAAAAAAAUUAUAUUGUGUUGUUAAAUAUACAAAAAUAGUAUAUUAUCUAUAUAUAUAUAUAUAUAUAUAUAGAUAUAUAGAUAUAACUACUAGUAUUUUUAUUGACAAUGCUUUUAUGGUGAAUAUUUUUAUUGAGGAUUAGAUAAUAAUUUGAUAUAAAUAAAUAAAAAAUGGGUUCUAAAAUAAUUUUUAGUAAUAGGAUACAUAACAAAAAAGAUGUAAUAAUUCCAAAGAACUCAACUAAGCACUAGUGUUUACAUUACUAUUCAACUCUCUCCAUCUAACUUUGAUUUGAACUCAGCAUUGAAGUAUGAAUGAGAGUCCUUUUAUAGAUGAUCUAAAAUAGAAUUAAAAGAGUCUAAAAUAUGUGGGGUUGAAGUAGUUUGAAGUUUGUGGAAUUAAAACGCUUUUAAGUUUGAAAAAAAAAAUUGUAAUAUCCAUUGUUAAGUUCUAAAAAAAUUGUAAUAUCCAUGAAUUAAAAAACUCUUAAGUUUAGAAAAAGUUGUAAUAUAUAAGAAUUCUACCUUUUGAAAAGUCUUUUGUCUCUUCCCAUUUUUUUUUUUUUAUUGUUUAAUCAUUUCGCCUUAAUAAGGGAUAUCUAGAGUCAUAGGUAAAAAGUAUAGAGAAUGUAAGGUUAAAGUAUUUGUUAAAAGUUAGAAAAUUCUUUAAAAACUAGGUCUAUGCUUCUAGAGAAUAUUCAAAGUUAAAGUAUAAAGAUGGCAUGAAACAUUUGAAGCAUAUGAGAUAAUUAUAAAGCAAUUUUGAUCAAAACUAAAGUCAAUUGUUCUCUUCUAAAAAAAUGAUAUUUGAAGCAUAUAUUUUAUUAUAUGAAACCAAGGCUUCUUUCUACUUAUUAAAUUUUGAAAGGUGAAAAUUACUAGAUGCCUAAUUGGUUAUCAUAUCACUCACACACACACACACACACACACACAUAGUGGAGCCAGCAAUUUGAUUUGAGGGGGGCAACUUUUAAUGCAUAUAUUGGUUUUAGCCCAAUAGUCACGACUUGUCAUUGUUAGGGGGGCAUUAUCAAUCUUAUGUUCGAAUCCGCCCCCUAGACCCUACCUGGCUCCACCAAUGUAAAUAGACAAAGAUAUAAAAAAGAGUAUGAUAAAAAGAAAAGAGAGAUUUGUGAAAAAGUGGAAUGUGUGAAAGAAUAUAUACCAUUUAAAGUAAGAGAUACCGCCCCCUAGACCCUACCUGGCUCCGCCAGUGUGAGUAGACAAAGAUAUAAAAAAGAGUAUGAUAAAAGGAAAAGAAAUAUUUGUGAAAAAGUGAAAUGUGUGAAAGAAUAUAUACCAUUUAAAGUAAGAGAUAGAAACAUAAAACAUAUUUUAAUACUUGGAGAUUAUAUUUGUUUGCUUAUUAUAUAAUAAUCUUAGUACAUGGGCCUUAGCCCAAUGGUCUUAACCCAACGAGCCUUUUAAUGCAUACAUGGGUCUUAACCCAAUGGUCAAAACUUGUCAUUGUUAGGAGAACAUUAUCAAUCUUAUGUUCGAAUCCACCCCUUAGGCCAUAUCUGACUCCGCUAGUGUGAGUUGGCAAAGAUAUAAGAAAUAGUAUGAUAGAAGGAAAAGAAAGAUUUGUGAAAAAGUGGAAUGUGUGAAAGAAUAUAUACCAUUUAAAGUAAGAGAUAGAAAUAUAAGACAUUUUAAUGGUCGAUGAUUAUAUUUGUUUGUUUAUUAUAUAAUAGUCUUACUACAUGUUAAAAAAAAAAAAAAAACUUCUCUUGUUAUAAUUAAUAUGCCAAUGGAUGGUAUUAAUGAUAUUUUAUAUUCAAUAAAAUGUUACAUGUUUUUUCUUAAUAAUUAAAACAUAAAAAAAAACCUAAACUUGAUUUGAUCACAAAAAAGAAGAAAGAAAACGAAAUUGUUUAAGAAAUGUUUUUUUUUUUUAUAAUAGUUCUCAAAAAGUAAUUUUUGAGAACGAUUCUAUGAUGUUUUUUAAAAUGAAAGUUUUGCUUGAAAAUUGGACCCAUUUGACCAUGUUUUUUGUAAAACUUGUUUUUAAAAACUGGUUGUUAUUCUUUAACUUAAAAACAGUUUUUAAAAACAAAUUUAAAAAAAUAUGGUCAAAUAAGUUUAUAUUUUUCUUUUGUUUUUAAAAACUAGUGAAAACAAUUUCCAUUUAUCUUCUAAAAAUUGUUUUAUAUUUCAUUUUAUUUUUAAAAAUUAUUUUUCGAGAACAAAGACCAAACAAUAUUAGAAAAUUUUAAAAAUAGUUUUCUAUUUUUAAAAUUAAAAUUGUUUUUAAAUCACAUAACCAAACAAACUCUUAGAAAAAAACUCAUUUUUUAUGUUUCCAAAUAUUUUUAAAAUUAAGCUUUAUUUAUAAUGUUUUAUUUUUAAUCAUUGUCUAUAUUUAUAUAAUUAUUUUUUAAGUUAACCCCCCAAAAAAUGAAAAUAAAUAAAAUAUGUUAUAAGAAAAUAUCCAAUUUUCAAAAAAAAUAUUUUUUGUGACAAAUUGUUUAACAUGUUUUCAAAUAUGAAAAACUAUUUUAAUAACAAUUACUAAAUGAUAUUUCACCUUUUUUUUCAUAAUAGAAAUAAAAAAAAUAUAAUUUCAAAUGGUUUAUAUUUCUAGGAAGAAAGAAUAUUACCCUUUUUAAUACUUUAAACCACACAAGGCCACAUACUCCAAGAAAGAUUUGGGAAUGGUUUGGGCCUCUCGAUUGAUCAGAUGCUCUUCUCUUUUUCUUAUUUGGGGAAGUUGACAAAUCUUAUUUGCAUCCAAUAUGAUUGUUUUGGAAUUUAUUCUGCCAAAAGGAUAUCAAAUUCGGAUGGGAAGGCAUAUAUUUAAUUUGAGUGUGACAUAUUAAAUCAUCACCCAAGAUCGGAUGAAAGGCACUGGCCCAAAUGUACAAAAAAAAAAAAAAGUGGCCGUGAUUAAAAUUCAAAAGCAUCUCCCUUUUUUAAUUUUUCCCUUGCAUAUUCUUGGGAACACUUUAUUCCACACCCUAAAAAAGCUGACACAGAACAAAGUUAUGAAAAAAUUGAUUGAUUGUGGUCGCAUUGUGAAACGAUUGGCUGUGUCUGUCUCUCAACCAAGCAUCUGUUACAUGGUACAUCCACAAUGGGUCUCUUUUUGAGUAUGAUUAGAACUUUGGAAUAUUUUAGGUAGUAGCAUCUAUGGGCAUGACAUGUGUGAUAGAUGAAAAAAGAUGAAAUAGGGGAUGAAAAUGAAUAUUUUGUUUUUAUUUUUAAUUUUUUAAAUAAAAGAAUUUAGUGAUUUUAAUUCUUAUAUUUAGAUUAAUUUAAAAUAUUUAGUAAUAGUAAAAAUAAGAAUGAAAAUGAAAUAAAUUGAGAAUAAUACAUUUAUAUUUGAAAGUUUUUUAGAAUAAGUAAAAAAAAAAAACAUAUUUGAAAGUUAAUUUUUUUUAAUCAAUAAAGUGUUUUUUUUAAUUAACUUUAUAUUAUAAAUAUAUAAAUAAAUUUCAUAUGCAUAAUUCCUUUAAAUUAAAAAAAUUAUUUCAUUUUGAAAAUUUUACAUUAGUUAUAAUUUUUUUAAACAAAUGAUGACUUUGUAACUAUAUGUAAAUAUAUUAAUUUCAAUAAUUUAAGGAAGAAGAAAGAGUUUGUGGGUGGGGGUGUGGUGGUUGGGUAGGGCUCACUUUUAUGGAAAUAUAAAAAACAGUUGGGAAAAUAUAAAAAGAAUAAGGGAAAAAUAUGAAAAAUAAUCUAUUAUUUGAAUAGUAAAAAAAUAAUGAAAACAUAUUUUUAUUAUUCUAAAAAAAAUGGUUUUUGAGAACACGAAAAACAAAAAAAACAAAAACACACAUCUUUCUACAAACAAAUUUUUUGUUUUUAAGAACAAAAAAUAGUUAUUGAAAACAGUAUCCAAACAAAGCCUAAAAAUAUCAAAUAUAAGUCGGAGUGAAAGCUAUGGUAAAAUGACUUUUAGUUUCGCUUAAAAAUCAACACAGAUGAAAAGGGGAAAGUAGUCCAACCUCUUUUGAGUUGUGAUGAAGUUGUUGGCUAAUGGCCUUGUAGUCCAACAACAUUUUUAAAACGUGACACUAAUCUCAUUCAAAGUUUCAAUUUACAUAUAAUGACAAGAUAAGACGUUGACAUUAUCCAAUUUUUUGCUAUUUGAUUUUUCAAGAAGGUUUUGUUUUUAAAAGUAGACGUAAUGAGAUCGCUAAAAUGGAGAAUAAUUGAAAAUAAAUUAAUACAUAUAUAAAUAACUUUUAAUAAAAUUUUUAAAAUAUAAAAAAUAGGUUAAAGACAUUUCAUAUUUUUUAACAGAGUUUUGUUUUAUAAAACAUUAAAAACGAUUUAAAAACUAUUCUUAAAUGUCAUGCUUCAAAUUUUUUUUGAAAGGUGUUCCUAAAUAAGGUUAUGCAAAAAUUGAAAACAUGAAUUUGAUAUUUUUAGAGUUAUUUUAAGAAAAGUGGAGACAAUUUUCUAAGAAGUAAAAAUACAAAAAUAAAUAAAACAAUUUAAAACAAAUAAAAAGAAUAUGAAUGUUUACAAUAAUAUUACGUUCUUUUUUUUGUCUUUUUUUUACUAAUAAAAUAUUAUAUUUUUAUAUUAAGAUCAAAAUAUGCCUAAUUAAUCAAUUCAUUUAUUAAUAUAAUUUAGUUAUUUCAUUAAUCCAUGUAAAAAAGAAUAUAAUUGGUCAAUUCCUUGGUUAAUUAUAGCUAUAAUAUAUUUUUCAAUUAUACUAUUAAAAUAACUAAUAAAGAAAAGAAAAAUAAAAAAAAUAUUCAUUAUUUCUCAUAUAAAAAAAAAAUCAGUACCAAAUAAAGUUCACCAAUUUUCGUUAUUUAAACCAAACGUUAAGAAAAAAAAAACAUAGAAAAUAAAAACUGCUUUUAAAAAAUAAAAAUAGAAAAUGAAAGCUUCAAGGAAUCAAACGGCAACCUUAAAAUGCAAGGUUUUGAGAAUAAUAUUCCGAGGCCCAAGUAUUUUAAGUUCAAAUUGAGAUGGGCCCAAACUCAUAUUUGGGCUUAUCGUCUUCUCACCCAUUUGGUACCCCGUGACACAAUAUUAGUAAUUUUAAUAUAUAGUCAAUGCGGCUAUGAUAAUUUAAUAAGAUGCAAGAAGAAAGAUUCCAUUUCACCAUUCCCAUGAGUAUCUCAAAGCUUCACACUCAAUGGCUAAAAUAUUUUAUUUUAUUUAUAAGAAAAUUUCGAUUCCUCGACUUCAUCCCAUUUUAUUAUUAUUAUUAUCUUUUUGUUAUGUUCUGUUUUGAAAGUAUCAAAGAAAAUGUAAGAAAAAAAUAAGAAUGGACAAAAAAAAUAAAAAGUAGAUUUAAAUCAAUAAAUUAUUUUUAUAUAUUAUUUGUAAAGUGUGUAAUAGAAUUUGAAUAAUAGAUUUUUUUAUAUUUUAUUAUUAUUAUUUUAUAAUUAUAUAUUCUAAUUAAAAGGGAAAUAAAAGGAAAGAGAUAUUUUUAUAAUUUAAAUUCGAUUUAAUAAGAAAAUGAAUGUUAUGUUUCAUUUAAAAAAAAUAUAAGAGUGAAGACAAAAUAUAAGAGUGAAUACCUUGCAAAAUAGAAAAAAAGAAAUAAAAAAUAAAUUUAAAAUUAUUAAAUUAAGUAUAUAUUUUAAACUAAUUUUAUUUAUUUUUAUAAAAAAAUAAAUAUUUCGUUAACCAAACACACCAUCAAGGAAAGAAAGGUUUUUCACCUGUAAAAUAUGAUUAUAUUUUUGUAAUUAAAAAAAAAAAAAAAAGGGAAAAAGAGGUGAUUGCCGAUUGGUUGGGCGGGUGGAACCGGGAACAGGAGGGCGAUCGCACCUCGGUUUCAACAUGUGAAAGAGGAGUCAUAGACGGCCGCAUUAUAUUGAGGGUGUGCGUACUACGCACCACAGAACCCCACCCACACUCUGACUGAGCUCUUUCUGUUUCUUCUCUCUAUAAAAGAAUCUCUCUCUUUCCCUCUUUCUUCCCUUCUCUCUCCCUAUUCUUUGCUUUUCCUAUUCAGCUCUCUUCAAAGCCAGGAAUGUUUCUCAAAGCUUUUUCCACCACCGACCCCUCCUUUCUUUCCCUCUAUCUCUCCUUCUUUGAGCCAUGCUAAUAUUCACACUCCAAACCCCGGACAAUAUCCAGGACCACCCUCUUUCAUCCCCUCUUCUGCUUCUUCAAUUUUGGAAUCCAAUUUGCUGCUAAUUUCCACACCCAGUUAUGGAACCUGCCGUUCUUGACGAUAUUAUCGAAAGGUUACUUGCCGUCAAAGCCAGGCCAGGGAAGCAAGUGCAGCUUUCUGAGGCCGAGAUCAGGCAGCUUUGUGUUGCUUCCAAGGAUAUUUUCCUGAGACAGCCCAAUCUAUUGGAGCUCCAAGCCCCCGUCAAGAUCUGCGGUACUCCUUUUCUUAUUUAUUUAUUUUUAAAGAAUGACUAUGGUUGUAUUUAUAUGAAUUUCAUCUUUGCUUUUUUUUUUUUUUUAUGGGUAUUGUUUUGAAGCGGGUCUUCUUCAAUUCCUCAAUUUGCCUUGAGGAAAUUGGUUGUGUAAGUGUAUUGUUUUGAAGUGGGUUUUCUUCAAUUCCUGAGUUUGACUCGGGAAAUUUCUUUUUGGUGAGGUUUAGAUGGCAUUUUCUCUAGUUUAUUGUGUUCAAACUUUGAGUUUGGUGGUAAAAUUGCAAAGGGUUCAUGAGAUGUUUGGGUUAAUCUGCUAAACGUGAAGGGUAUCUUGCCCAUUUCUUGUUAAGGGUGUGGGUCGAAUUGCAUCUUCUGAAGGUAUAUUCUGUCUGAAUUGUUCAUAAUAUAAUUUGUUAAGCAUACUGAUUAAAAUUGAGUUUUCUCUUAAACUGUCUUAGUUUUGCAAUGGGUAUAUGGUCUAUUUUUGACAGAUAAUAUAUCCUGAUCAGUUCUCGAGUUUGACCUUCGAAUUCCUAUUAUACAUGUCAGAUUACCUUACAACUCGUGUGGUGUAUUAGCUUGAUGCUACAACUUCAAUAACAUAAUUAAAAUGAUGUACAUUUCUUGAAAUUUAUCAGCGGUUUCAGUCUUAAUUGCUAAUUUUCAAAUUCAUUGUUUUGAUUUUGAAAAUUUGGGGUUAGGAAAUCUUCUUCUUUGUUGUGUCAGACUGCAUCUUCCAAAAAUAUGCUGGUUUUUGACUUAUUUCAGCCAUAAAAAUUUGUUUGUAUCAAUGAUAAAUUGCUUCUGAAAUUUUAUAGGUAGACACCAAGGGUUUAAUCUAGAAAUCUGUCAUUAUAAUGAGGUUUGCUUCACAUUAGAAUGAGUUGUGAUGUUAUUCUAACAAUAUUUCCUCUUGCGUGACUUCCACUGCUAAAACUGCCCUAUUAUUCACUAAUUCAACUUAUUUUUGUUUGAAAAUUGGCUAUGCAUAAAUUCCAAGUGGACAGAAAUGUGUUAUUAUGUUGAUGAAGUCACCUUCCUUUUAAAAGGCACAACUGCAUAGAGACAGGGGGCAUAUCUAUUAUUAUUUCAAACAAAAAUGCAUGGGAGUAGUUUUGAUGGUUGUACUUAGAUUAUAAUUCUUUGAUCUGCAUAUUUGUAGAAAAAAAAUUUCUAUCUACUUUUGGUGCUCAUGGAGUGAAAAUUAUUUGGUUUGUCCCUGGCCUUAGAAAUGUUAACGAUCAAUGGUAUGUAGGUGCUUAUGAUAAUUGCCAUACCUUACUUGAUUCCUUUGAAAGUGUGGAAUAGAGCCUCCCUCUUUCUCUGUAACUAUUAAAAGGAAUUACGUGAAAAGCAUGCUUGUGGGAAAGAUUAAACAAACAACAAAAUAAAAAGAAAAAAAGCAACCAACAAUGUAUGGAGAAAACAGAAAAAAUAUAGAUUUGUAUGGAUUCACUUAGCUUCAAGAUUGGAUGCUGUUUAUUCUGAGAAUCCUUCAAUGGCACUUUUCAGAGGCAGGAUGAACUACCAAGUGUUUUAUUCCACUUGACUAAGCCAAAGAUUUAUUGUCUAUAGGUGUCAAAGAUUGACUCUUCUUAGAUAGUGUUCUACAAUUUGGAUGCUAGUUUGCAUUUUAACUUAUGUAGUUAAUGAUUCUCAGCAGCUCUUAUCGAUGGUGGCUUGAUGUAUUGAGACAAAUUGUUGGUUUUCUCUAAGCAUUAGGAAUAUUGCAUCUGGGUCUGCUUUGGGGCUCAACCUUAUGAGUUUAUGCUACAUCUCUGCAUGCAUCAACCUGGGUGCUUCACAUUUUCCUCAUUGAUGAACCAUAUUGCAGUAGGAUUUAUUAUCUAAUAAAAUAUAAAAGAUCAUUCAUACCAAAUAUAUUUACAGCACCUAUUCUUCUUUGCCCCAUCUCCACUUGUUACAACCUGUCAGAGAAAUGAACUUUUCACUACUUUGGCGAUCUGCUUUCAAAUGCAUGUUGUUGUGCUGAUCAAUCUCUUGGAUGAUGCUGACUCCAAUUUUCUAGAGUCUGCAGCUGGAAGCUUCACUUAACCCUUGAAAAAAUUAAAUUUUUUGAUUCUCUGUCCAGAGGAUGCAGCGCUUAAUGUGAAUUUGCAUAGCUUGUUGAACUGUAAGGUUUGGAAUUCUCCAAAGGGAAAUAUUAUAUUUUCUAGAGUGUAGCAAUCGAUGUGCAUUUAAUACUGUUUAGGGAAACGCAAUGUUUGAAUUUCUUUGGGACGAUCCAUUUAUCUAAAUAAAUUCAUUUUUUAAGGGUUUUUGCCCCUUUUGUCUUCCUAACUAGAGUUUGAAACACAUUGUUCUUGAACAUAUUCUAACAUUCUUUGUAUCUCCCAGGGGACAUUCAUGGUCAGUAUUCGGAUCUUCUAAGGCUUUUUGACUAUGGUGGACUGCCGCCUGAAUCCAAUUACUUGUUCUUAGGGGACUAUGUAGAUCGAGGAAAGCAAAGCCUGGAAACUAUAUGCCUUCUGCUUGCAUAUAAAAUAAGAUACCCUGAGAACUUUUUCCUAUUGAGGGGCAACCAUGAAUGUGCUUCUAUAAACCGUAUCUAUGGAUUUUAUGACGAGUGUAAGAGAAGAUUCAAUGUCAGAUUGUGGAAAGUGUUCACAGAUUGUUUCAAUUGCCUACCUGUGGCUGCUCUCAUUGAUGAAAAGAUACUCUGCAUGCAUGGUGGGCUUUCCCCUGAUCUGCGGAGUUUAGAUCAAAUAAGGAAUUUGCAGCGGCCUACUGAUGUUCCAGAUGCUGGUUUGCUAUGCGAUCUUCUCUGGUCUGAUCCUAGUAAUGAUGUUCGAGGUUGGGGGAUGAAUGAUAGAGGCGUUUCUUAUGUCUUUGGCCCUGAUAAGGUGACAGAGCUUCUUCAGAAGCAUGAUCUGGACCUUAUUUGUCGUGCCCACCAGGUUUCAGCUCUGUUUUAGCUUUUUGCAUUUUUUUUUUGGUCACCUUUAAACCUCUCAGGCAUUUUUCUCUUACUACAUAUUUCCUUGUUGUGCAGGUUGUGGAAGAUGGAUACGAGUUUUUUGCUAAUAGACAACUUGUAACCAUAUUUUCAGCACCUAAUUACUGUGGUGAGUUUGAUAAUGCGGGUGCCAUGAUGAGUGUGGAUGACACUCUCAUGUGUUCUUUCCAAGUAUUAAAACCUGCAGAAAAGAAUAAAAAAUUUAGCUUUGGAAGCACUACUACAGCUAAGCCUGGCAGCUGUCCUGCAAGACUCAAGGUACAUUCAUCAUUUCACUUCAAAUACAGAGAAGAUUUAAUCUAGUGAUUAUAUCAUUAUACUAAGAAAUGUGAAAUUUUUUCUAUUUAUCUGCAAUUCACAGUAAACAGGGAGGCAUGUACAUUUUAAUGAAUCUUAAGUGGAUGCUGGAUUUGUUGGAAACAUAAGAAUGGAAAGUGCUUAGAGUUAGAGCUAAAGAAUGGACACGCUCAAAAUUUGUUAAUAGUUGCAGUAUGAAUUAAUGAAAAAGACCUACCAGCCAUUGAUGAAAAUCAAAAUGAAGGAGAGCAACAUGAAAUAACAGGUCAAUGUCACCAUGAGAAAUAAUAAAAUGUCAUACUACAAUGGAUAAUUAGAGCAUAUUUCCUCAUGUUAUCCUUAACCAUCCAACCAUAUUCUAUUGCCAUUCUUACCAAAGGAUGUCAUAUAUUGAUAUCCUAUGAUCUUGGGUAUUGAUGACAUUUUUUGCAAAUUACAACUCAUGCUCAUAUAGAUGUUAGGAUUCAGGGUAUACUGGCUGCAAGUGUCUUUUCGUGUUGGAUCCUAAUUCCUACUCUUAAGGUAUAGGAACGGAACUGAACAGGCAAGGUUUCUAAAUAUAUAUAUAUAUAUAUAUAUAUUUUUUUUUUUAUACUGGGUUAAGAUCUCGUGUCAUUGUGUCAAUGCCUAAGGAGCUUCUAGUGAACAAAUGAUGUGUCCCUCGCCCUUUUCUUACAUGCCUAUUGGGUCUAUUUGUGUGAGAGGUGGCAUGUUUGACAGAUAUCCUUACCUCAUCAUUCACACCGUGCUCUGUUUGACUAAGGUGCUUCACACAUUUUGAAAUGUCUACAUAAUGUGGCUCAAGCUUUCUCAUAGACAGGUCAUCAUUGUCUUUGUCAUAGUCCUUUGUCAGAGAAGCUUCUUGCCUGAGUUAUAAAAUUGAUGGAUUACUGUGCUGUUGUCCUGUCCCAGGUUUUAUCAUUCUUCUUUGCCAAGGGGAAGCUUCUCCUGUCAAGCUGUCCAAUGUGAAUAAUGUUAGCAACUUUGUUUUGUUUCUGUUUGCACUUGCUCUUCUUUAAGGAUGGGUGUUUGAUACUCAAGAGUGGGUAUCUCUUUUCUGGAGAUGUCCUUGUUUAUCUCUAUUCCUCAUGGCUUUUUAGCUGGUAUUUGGCAGAACUUUAACUCAAAUAGAUUGCAUCACCCUUUACAGUUUGCUUUUAACUUAUUUUGAUAUUUCUUUAAGCACGACAAUUUUUGUUUUCCCUUCCAGUCUAUCCUUGGUGCAAAAGUAUGAAAGAUGUGGUCUUUUUGAAGGAGAGAGCUGUCCUGGAUCAGAGGUGAUGGUAAUAACAUAGCCAAAGUGACUGUUCAAGAAAUUGGGGUUUCUGUUCAUUUCAUUAUGAGUAAGUGUAAAAAUUGGGGAUCCUUGUAGGCAAAGAGUGCAGAUGAUUUUCAGCCACCAUGCACAGAAGUUUGGAAGGCUGUAAUUUAUCUGUCUCACUCUUCUCAUGUAUAAUACUAGUUGCUACAACAAUGGAUUCGUGUUUCUUUACCCCUUUCUUGUUCCCUUGUCUCCCUUCUCUUGCUUCUAUGAUUCUAUCCCACCUGUUCUCCUUAUAUUAUGACCAAAACAUGAAACUCUAAUGGGGAUCCCUUGGAAAGUUUCAAAUCGUGGAAUUUAAUCUUGCAUUUGGGCUCUGUCCAUUGUGCUUCUAAAUGAGUAUUACGUUCUUCUAACCCUUCUUUGAAAUGAGAUAUCCUUAAAGCUUCGAAAGUUAAAUCAUUUUUAUCGGUUAUUAUUGUUUUGGCAAUUGUAUAAAUCCUUCAAGAACUGGCUGGUAACUGGUACACAUUUCUGAUUUCAUGUGUGGACAUUGAAAUCAAAGGCCGUGGCACACGCUACUAUGAUGUGUUGCAAUCAGAUUUACAAUUUGGUUCAUAGAACACAUGGAUGAAGCAAUCAAUACAGCCAUUAUGAAACAACGCCUGGUAAUGCUUACCAGGAGUGACGCACAAAAAUUGAAAUUGUGUGCUUAUUGGUCUUUAGCCACAAAUAAGUUUCUUUUGUGGAGUAGCUGAACUAGCAUACAAGACUGCUGGUGGAGAAUGACCUAUAUUAAAAAAGAAAAAAGAAAAAAAACACCCAAUAACAACAAUAAAAGCUGGUGUAAAUGGGAAACAGUAGUGUGAACUUCAAUGUAAUUUUCUCUAUUAUUGGCAAUGGGUUGUUGAGAAGUAAACAUAGAGUGGAUAAUAUGUCAUUAUUGGUGACCUUUUGUGUCCCCUUGAUACACAAAGUUGGCCUAUCAGUUUAAUGGUACUCGUCACUGUUUCAGUGAGAAUCCCUUUCAGUGCAAAUCAAAAGUAAGUUGUAUAACUGUCAUGACUAGAGUGCUACCAAAUAUUCAAAGUUUGAACAAAUCAAGUUGAGUUACAGUCUUGCUGCAGAACCAAACAUGGUUAAGUGUUAGGAAGUUAGUGUAAGUGGGUUUUGGAUAAACUUAAUAAUUAUUAAUUAAUGAAUUAAGUUGAUUUUAAAUUAAAAUUUUCUUUUAAGUUAUUUAUUUAUUUUUUACUUCAAAUAUUGAAGUUAUUUGAUAAUAUUAACUUAAAUUUUUUAUUUUAUAUCAUCAAAUUGACAUAUUUAUUUUUAUUAAUUUAAAUUAAUAUUUAUAUUUUUUAAAUAUGGUUAAAUGAGGUAAAACGUUUUUAAAAUUAAAAAUAAGUUAAUUUAUUUUUAUUUAAUAUUUAAAAUUAUUUUUAAUUUUAAAUUGAGAUAUUUAUUAUUAAGUGAUUUUAUCAAAAUUAAGUCAUUAAAUCGUAUGGAGCCAUUAAAUUGAUUUGAUGGAAUGAGUGGCUAGUUACUAACCUGAUAAUGAUUUAUGAAAAAAUGAUGUUGCUUCCAGGUCUUGCGGAUGUAAGUCAAAUCAGAAUCCCUGCUUCUCAUCUUCUUCAUCUGCAUGAUUCUCUUCUAGUGGAGCUGGCAAGAAUUUAGUCCCAAGUCUUGGAGGAAGAGCUCGUGUUUCUCCAAUGGAGGACAAGUCCAGCAAGUUGGUUGUGCAUCUUUUUUUAUGAAAUAGACCAGACUCAACUAGAUGAUCGAACUAGUGACAACAGUGAUGGUGUGCAUUACACCAUACAUGUAAUCAGUUGAUGAAGUCUUCUUGGUUCAAAUACUAAAUUUCGUGGUCCCAAUUUGCAACCUUGUCGGCUGUGAAUACUGCCAAUUGCCAACCAAUUAUUAUUUUUGAAAACUUCGCCCCCUCUGAACCUUAGUUCAAUACUUCUUGUAUGGUGGCGGUGGAGGAUUCCACAUAUUUCCAAUUGUCUUUACAUCAAAAGACGAUAAUAAUUAUAACUACUAAAAAUGCAAUGGUUAGUGAGAGGAGACGGCUUCAAGUAGAUUGUGUGAUAUCUAGGAAGAGGCCUUGCUUUUCAAAGCACAACCCAGAAAGUGUAUGAAUUGGAGCUGGUUGGCCUGUCAUUUUGUGUUACAAGCUUUCUCGCGUGAUCACAACGCCCACACGACAUUGACCAACUUCGUCACUUCAUAAUUCAUAUAUCCCUUUUUAUAACCUUUCUUCUCACUUGCCCUUUGUCUGAGUAACGCCUUUUCACAUCCUAUGGCAUCAGUUCAUACCCAUUAUCAGAUUUUUCGUGUUUUAUAGUUUCAACUUUGGUAUUGUGUAUUUUAUUUCUGCAUUUCGUUGAGAUUCUUUAAUUGAUACACCCAAACUUCUGAAACCAUUGCAUCGAACCGACCCUUCUCAUAGUGUCAUCCCUGCAAUUUGCAAUGCAGCAGCAGACUUUUUUAGUGUAAAGAUUACAAUUUACUUUUUCAAGCAAAUACAGUACAGCAAAAAAAUAUUUUUAAUUUUGUAUAAAAAGUAUAUUCCAUGCCAUCGGAUCCAUCAGAGAAAUAAGUUGAAAAAUACCAACGGAAUUUUUUUUUUUUUAAAUUGAUAUGAACUGUAAUCAAAUGUCUUAAAUUAAAAGAGACGUUGAUCCCCACGUCUAAAUCUAAAAGUCAAAUAGUUUUAUAAGAGAGAAUUUGGCAAUUUGCCAGCGGUUUGAUUGCUUUGAAGUACGCCAUGACCGAGUAGUGUCGUCAGACAGAAAUGUUAUACCAUUUGAGCACCCGGGUUGGUUUCAUAUGCGCCUUUCGAAUGGCUAACCCUCUCAUCAUCGUCAAAUUGAGGAUUUUGACUGGCCAUUGGAGUGGAGAAAGGUUGGAGUUUAUGGUAGGUGACGCGGUUGACUUUUUGGAAUGCAAGCAAAAGUGUAGUGUCAUUUGGGUUUUAGUUGCCGGAUACAGCGCAGUCGCAUAUCCACUGGAUUGCAGAUCAAAUUAAUUAAUAAUCAUAAAAUAGGUCAACUUGUGU